UCAUAUGAAUGAAGUUUACUCACUUCAACAGAAAGGACAGCAGGAGUAUCCCGUAUAUUACUUUCAAGGUAAAAUGAUGAGUCCUAAACUAAUUGAGUUGCAGCAUUUGAAAUAUUUGGACCUUUCUUCCAUUAACUUCACUGGGACCCAGCUUCCAGAUUUCAUUGGUUCUCUUUCCAAUUUAAGACACCUCGAUCUCUGGUAUGCUUCUUUUGGUGGUCGAAUUCCAACUCAGAUUGGAAACCUUACUCACUUGCAAUAUCUUGAUCUCAGAUCCAAUCACUUUGCUAAUGUAGAAAAUAUCAAUUCAUGGCUACCUCAUCUUUCUUCUUUAACAUAUUUGGACCUGAGUUACAACAAUCUUAGUAAUGUUCCUGACUGGUUGGAAAUAGUUAGUAAGCUCCCUAAACUUACUAACUUGUCUCUGUCUUAUUGUAGUCUUCCUUCUCUUCUAAUUCAUUCCAGUACUCUUUUUAACAUAAAUUCUUCUAAAUCUCUUGCUCAUGUUGAUCUCAGUGAUAACCAACUCACUUCUUCCAUAUUUCUUUGGUUGUCCAAAUACAAUGCCAGCCUUGUUCAUCUUGAUCUCAAAUACAAUAACUUUGCUAAUGUAGAAAAUCUGAAUUCAUGGCUGCCUCAUCUUUCUGCUUUAACAUAUUUGGACCUAAGUUACAGCAAUCUCAGUAAUGUUCCUGACUGGAUCGAAGCAGUUAAUAAUCUCCCUAAACUUACAAACUUGUCUCUGUCUUAUUGCAGUCUUCCUUCUCCUCUAAUUCAUUCCAGUACUCUUUUUAACAUAAAUUCUUCUAAAUCUCUUGCUCAUGUUGAUCUCAGUGACAACCAACUCACAUCUUCUUCCACAUUUCUUUGGUUGUCCAAAUACAAUGCCAGCCUUGUUCAUCUUGAUCUCAAAUACAAUAACUUUGCUAAUGUAGAAAAUCUGAAUUCAUGGCUGCCUCAUCUUUCUGCUUUAACAUAUUUGGACCUGAGUUACAGCAAUCUCAGUAAUGUUCCUGACUGGAUGGAAGCAGUUAAUAAGCAUCCUAAACUUACAAAUUUGUCUCUGUCUAAUUGUGGUCUUCCUUCUCCUCUAAUUCAUUCCAGUACUCUUUUUAACAUAAAUUCUUCUAAAUCUCUUGCUCAUGUUGAUCUCAGUUACAACCAACUCACUUCUUCCAUAUUUCUUUGGUUGUCCAAAUAUAAUUCCAGCCUUGUUCAUCUUGACCUCUCUUACAACCAGUUAACUGGCUUAUUUCCCGAUGUCAUUGGAAACAUGAGCUCUCUUGCAUAUCUAGAUCUCUCUUCUAACCAAUUUAAAGGGGUGAUUUCAGAAAGUCAUUUCUCGGGUCUCUCCAGAUUAAGAUCUUUGUCUCUGUCCUCUACCUCACUAACUUUAAACUUCCAUUCUAAAUGGGUUCCUCCCUUCCAAUUGGAUGUCAUAUUCUUGAGGUCUUGCAAGAUGGGUCCACAUUUUCCAAAUUGGCUUCAAACUCAGAAAAGUUAUCGGACGCUUGAUAUUUCUAAUGCUGGAAUUUCUGAUAUCCUUCCAAGUUGGUUUUGGGAAAGGCUGUCUCAUGCUCCUGAAAUUGGUUAUGUAGAUCUCUCCAACAACCAAAUUAGAGGAACAAUUCCAAACUCGCAAAUCAAUUUUGUAUGUUUCUCUCGUCAACUAAAUUUGAGUUGGAACCAAUUGGAAGGUCAAGUCCCUCCAUUCCUAUUGAAAGCUUCGUCAUCUCUCUUUCUCUCCCACAAUAAAUUUUCAGGGUUGUUUUCUUUCUUGCUUCCAGUUAACGCAAGUCAUUUAAGAUUGCUUGAUCUCUCGAGCAACCAUUUACAUGGAGAACUUCCCGAUUGCUGGACUCAUUUCAAAAAUCUUUUAAUUCUUGAUUUGAGUGACAACCUUUUUUCUGGGAGAAUUCCUGCCACAAUGGGCUCUUUAUCUUCAAUUCAAACAUUGAACCUAAACACUAAUGGACUUGUGGGAGAAUUGCCUUCAUCUUUGAAGAACUGUACAAGUCUCAUAGUUUUUGAUGUUGGAGAAAAUAAAUUAUCAGGUUUGAUACCUGAAUGGUUAGGGGUUGGACUUCCAAAUUUGACUAUCCUUAUCCUCCGUUCUAAUCACUUCUAUGGAAGCAUUCCAUCACAAUUGUGUAAUAUGGGAAGCAUUCAAAUUCUGGAUUUCUCGAUGAAUAACAUCUCCGGAAGUAUACCCAAAUGUCUCAACAAUUUGACUAAUUUGGCUCUAAGAGGAAGUUCAAGUCUAACUAUCACUCACCUAUUUAAGGCAACCUCCACUGAUAUUGCUGUCAGUAUUUUUGAUUAUGAAGACGAAGCAUCCUUGAUAUGGAAUGGAAUAAUGUCCAAAUACAAAAGUACCCUGGGGCUUGUAAAGAGUAUCCAUCUGUCAAGUAAUCGAUUAACGGGGGAGAUUCCUAGUGAAGUCACUGAUCUUGUGGGGCUGGUUUCUUUAAACCUAUCAAGAAAUAACUUAACAGGUCAAAUAACUCCAAAAAUAGGAAAGUUGCAGUCUUUAGAUUUGCUUGAUUUGUCAAACAACCAAAUACAUGGUACAAUUCCAACAAGUCUCAUUGGAAUAUCUGGCCUUGGUAAGUUGGACCUGUCCAACAACAACCUAUCUGGAAAAAUUCCCAUCGGGUCUCAACUUCAACCCUAUGACGCCACUGUUUUUGCUGGAAAUCCUCUCCUUUGUGGAAUUCCACUUGAACAUAUGUGCUCUCCUAAGGAAACAACACUGGAGGAGCAACCAGUGGUAGACAAUCAAGAUGAAGAUGAUGACGGGUUUAUAACACCUGGAUUUUACAUGAGUUUGGGGCUUGGAUUUAUCAUUGGAUUCUGGGGAGUUUGUGGGAGUUUGAUAUUCAACAGGUCAUGGAGAUACAUGUACUUCAAACUCUUGAAUGGUUUAAAUGAUUGGCUUUAUAUCAAGGUGGCAUUGUUCAUGCAACGAAGAAUGCUCGAUGAAUAAGCUGUAAGUAUACUGUCACAUAAUGAAUAAUACUGCAAUUAACAUACAUGUCCUCCUCUCUUUUAAACUCCCGGCUAACGGCUAACGCCUGUAAUUUACUUGAAUUUUUGUAGCUCGUCCAUCGGCUUGUGUGGUACGACAUGCUAACCCCUUCGGCUUUUGGGUUGAGAAGGAGCCUGAAGGACAAUAGCUUUUAAGUUAUGGUGGAAUUUCUCCAAAUUCAUGAGUGGGAAAUGUAUUUGGUUCAUUGUCGAGUUGUAAUUUUACACAAAUAUUUAUGGUUUUAGUUUCAAUUUUUCCCAAUUUGUUAUGAAUUAAUGGAUGAAUAGACUGCGUUCCAAAUUGAAAGCCAGGAUUGAAGAGCUGUGUACAAGAGACUAAAAAGAGUGGCACUAAACGAAGACCAAAAAGAGUGCCACUAAACAAUGGACAUGAAUUAAAAUUUCAAAACUACAUUGAACUUGUUAAACAAAUUCAAAAAUAAGUGAGACGACCAGUUUGUGUAAUCUCAUACAAGCUUGUGAUAAACGAACAAGUUUGGCUCAUGAAAACAAAGGCAAAAUUAUUAUUAUUUUUAUUUAUUUGUUGCCUUAACAUACCAAACAGAAGCCCCCAAAAUCCAACUCCGGCUAAUUACCCCAACAAAAGAAGAUUAAAUUAUGAAGAAGGGAAAAAAUAAUUAUGUUUGGGUCCAAAUAAAUGAGAAUUGGAACUCUUGGUAGCCUGUUAGCAUCUGGUCAAAAUUGUUCCAGCCUGUGGCUGAUGAGAGUUUUGUUCGAGCCGUUUCCACUCUGGAUGUACUCCUGUAUGCACGAGAGGUAAGAGGAGUAAAAGGGAAUGUAAUGCUGAGUAAGUGCUCUACAGUUUAUUGUUUGUGGCUUGUUUUGAUCCUUCAGUAGAACGAUGCAGAAGCAGAUAAAACAGUGUAUUCAAAUAUUGAUCAAACAUUCAGGAUUGGUACAAUACUAGUGGAAUUAAGCUUGUCUGGGUGCGGGAAUAUCACUAAUCAAAUAGCUAAUGCACAGCUAACUUGACUGAAAAGGGAAGGGAGGAAAUAACGAUGUCCAUAUCAAUUCCUCUCACUUAGUAAAAUAAGAACGUGAUAGAAACAGAACAGCCAAUUAUGAAUAACCAGGAAUACGAAAAAAAAUUCUAAUGCAUAAUAUCAAUCAGCCCAUGAAAAAAAAAGAGAUUUUGGAAAACCACAUGUAGGAGACAGGAAAACAGAUUAUACUUUCCAACUUUCGCUCCACAACUAUAUGCUUUUACGGAUAUCAUAUGGUAAAGAGGAAUGUUGAAAAAACAAUUUCUUUUCGGGUUGCAUAGGUAAGUUUCACAGACCCACCGGGAUUAGCACUCGCCCUCCACCCUUGGUCUUAAGGAACAUGGCAUGUCAUUAGGUUCAAAAGCUAGUUGAAAGGAGAAACAUGUAAAGCAUUUGUAACCUUACCAAAAGAAACGAAAAUACCUUAGCACAGAUUUACUUAUGUGACAAUAGAUUAUGUAUCAGGAAAAAAACAAUGGUAGAAGCUUUCGGAAGGGAACAAAAAAGUAAGAAGAAAGAGAACAUACAAGCAUAUCUUCUGAAAGAACUGUUUCCAUUAAUGGAAAAUGUUACAGGCCUCCUUUCCUGACCCAAAGAUAGGAUCUCUUGCAUCCUUUCAGGCCAGUCUGAAUUUAACCUCCGAGCAAAAUCUUCAACCUCCCUGAACAACGAUUUAAGAAAAUAUGUAACAUUAGCAAGAACCAAGUUUUGUCUCUAUAAAUUGCGUAUUUACAUGCAGAACCAUGGUGGAGGAUGCAACUUGAAAUUCCAGUUACAUCCUUAUCAGAAAAUAAAAUAAACACUGACGAGAGAAAAAGACUUGCAGAACCAGAAGAGUGGGCGACCGGAACCAUGUUUCACAACAGAUGCUUAAUGGUGAUGACCAGAAUGAGAGCUCUUUUUCUUUAUAAACAUAAACAAAUAUUUAUUUAAAAUGUCCAAACAACUAUUGCACACAGAAAAUCAAAAACCAACAUCUCUCAAAGCCACCAUAAAGAGCUAGCAAAGGCAAAACAUUAUCCCCAAUGUUUACUCAUUUUUAUCACAGACCAACUUUUUUAAGCAACCUUUUUCAUCUUCUUAGCUGGGUGAGGAGUGGAUUUGAACAUGGGACAGUUUAAAAAAGAAGUGGAGAAAUACCACUACAUUAAUAGCUAUUUAGUUUUUAAGCAAACUCUGCAACAUUGAAAAACAAAUGACAAUUUGAAAUUCUUUUGCAGUUAUCAAAUUUCAUCUUCUAAUUGCAUAUCUUCAAUUUCAGAACUGCGUUCACAAAAAUAAAAUAAAAAAAGCAACGAAGUUGCACCAUAAUGAGAUCCACCAUUCUGUUUCCUUAAGCUUUCCAUAACUAAAGUCAUCAUCGACAAAGUUAUUACCACUGAGUUCAAUUCAGUACUUUUUCUUCCACAUGUUGCUCAACGUGAUAUAUUUUUUUUUUUCAUCCACUAAAAUUAAAAAAGAUGAUAUUAUAUUGCAAAUCGUGUAAUAACCCAAAAUAGUUGCAGACAAACCUAUCAAUUUUUUCCUUCAAUGCCGGAUCAAUCUCAUCAUCAAUAUCACCUUCAUCAAACCCAAUCAUAUCCUCCACCCUAUCAUCCUUUAGAUCUUGUAGCUUUAAUGUCAAACUAGAACUAGGCGUAAAUUUGUUGAGUUCAUCACUGGGGCAAGCAAAGUUAAGAUUGCUCGACACCUAAAACAUUUGGGCGAAAAGAAAAAUGAAGAAAAACUAGCUACCCAACAACUCAAGCAGAAAAGUACAAGUUCAAGACCGAAUUAGUGAUUCAAACCUCAUGGAUCUCAUUGGCCUCAUAUAGACACGUGCUUUUCUGCUGAUCUUUUCUCCUGCGAUUCUUCUUUUUGUUCUUGGAAGUUUUAAUUCCUUUGGAAUCUGUGAAACAUAAUUUCCUUACCUCCAAUGAGGCCUUCAAAAGGAAAUAAAGUAAAAAUAGACGACUAAGACACUACACUUCAAAUCCCAUUUAAAGGAAUCUUAAGUACUUCCAAGUACAGUAUAAUGUGGGCUAAUGCAAUCCUGAAAAAGAUUAGUAUCAAGUGUGCAUUGUGCAAUUUGCUCGUUGGAACUACAACCUACUCAAUGAUAAAUCCAAUUUCUCAAUUAACAAUAACCAUGCAGUCAAGGAAUAAGAGAGCAAUUACUCAGGUAUACCUCCAAUUUCUCCAUUAAUGAAUGACAAGAGAUCAUCAACUGAACGUUCAUCGUUUUGCUCUUCUUCGAGAUGACAAGAGAUCAUCAACUGAACGUUCAUCGUUUUGCUCUUCUUCGAGCUCGUCAUUCUGAAAAGUAUGGAAGGUUCAAUAAUGACUACCAAUAAGAAGGAUAUAUUAUUUAGCAUAGUAUAAAAGCCAGAAAACAUAUUAUGUAGUACGUUUUGAAUUUAGAUUCAUCAAAUACCAAACUCACCUUCAAUUUCUCUCUUUCCUGAAGUUCCCUCCUCUUUCUUGCAUAUAAUCGAUUCAAAAGUCGAAUGCGUGGAUCGUCAGUUGAAUUUUUCAAAGGCUCCAACUUCUCUUCCUGGAUGAUUUCUUAGUGGUGUUAAAAACAACAAAGAAACACCAAGUUUUUGCUAAGCAUACACAGAAAUCUCAAGCAUCGGAGACCUCUGUAAGAUCAUCAGGGAGAUGAAAUAUUUCACGUAUCUCCUCAGGUGUUUUCCCUUCAAUUAUUCGUGCAAGAGCACGACUAGUAAGAUCCACCAAUGGUUUUAAUUGGAGGCUGUCAGCUGCUGAAGUCAACUCACAGAGCAACUUUGCGUCCAUUCGGAUGUAUUUUUCAUCAAAAGCCUUGCAUUCCUACAUAAACGAGUGGUGCCGAGUCAUAUGAGCGUGCCAAGUUUACACCAGCAUCAGAGUAAACAUUUAAUCCAGUGUGCAGGUGGAGAUUAAUGUCCUCAAUAGCUCAAAUUUAUGCAAAACAGACAGAGGGCAUAGACUCAGAAAGAAGUAAAACAGAAUGACAUUCCAAAAACAUGUAGAACCUUGUUCGAGCGACCUGGUACUUGAUGAAAUCGGCAGUAAUCAAGAAUUAAGCUCAACAUUGCAGUACCGACUCUUUCAGGAAGAGAUAUUGCAUGGUUCUUGGAAGCUCCCAUCCCUUUCUGUAUAUUUUCUUUGCAUAUCAUAGGGCAAUACACGUGUUCGCUCCCUAAAUCCGCCAUGGCGCCUUGCGGGCAAGCCGGGGAUUUACUUCACAUAUGAGAUUGGUGGGUGCGGGCGUGCCACUACUAGAUGCCGCUAGUAGACGGGAUUUGAGUGAUUGAGGUUGCGCCUGAAUUUGCCCGAAUCAAGAGAUUGUGUCAUUUGAGUGGGAGUUGCUCAAAUUAAGGUUCUUUGUUUGCCUUAAAAAUAAGGACUUUACUUAUAUGGAGAGAUAGAACAAUAUGUAAAUGAUAAGGUUGCUUGGAAAUAUAAAUGACAGAGGAAAGUGACUAAAAUUGCAGAUUGCUUGUAAUUUAUAUGGCUGGAAAUGAGUACAUAACAGCUACAAAUGAGAUCGAUACCGCAAGUGAGCAGCAGAGCUAAUAAACUAGAUAAAAGAAGGCUUUUUGGUGAAGGUUUAUCCCGAAUGGGAUGAAGGUUUGGGCUGACUACAGCUUCGUUGAAGGCAAAUCUGGCUUGAGCAGAGUUUUGGCUUUUGUUUGUUUGUUUGAGUGUCCAUAAUCCUUGUGCAUCUGCUCCUUUUUAUAGAGGUCUGGAGGAAACCCUCCUGCUGAGGUUUUGUAUCUGCCCGAAAAAAGCUUGGGCAGCUUGUAUUCCAUUGCUUUAGACAGCUUGCAUGCUUUUCACUUGCCAACUUGCAUGGAGAAAUAAUAUUAAAAGGGGAACUUGCAUUUCCACCACAAGCUUUUAGCACAUGUUUUCCCACUUGUAAUAAACUAACAUUUAAAAGAAGCAAGUUGGAUUCUUUCACAUGUUCCUUGCCCGAAAGCUUGCUGAUGCUUUUCCAUCCACUUGCAAUACAUGCAUGUACCUUGAUUAAACAAAUGCUAGACAAACCUCCACCACCCAAACAAAUAGGAGAAACAAUAUUAUAGUGUCCAACCCCUCCACUUGCAUCUAAAUAUCUUUCCAAGUUAGCUUUCUUGCAUAUUAAUCCUCCAAAUGCCAUAUUUUACCCAAAUUGCCCAAAUAAGUAAAAAUGUGUAUAUUUUGAGUGCAAACAGUGCCCCCCAAGUUUUACAAAUUUGAGCAAAGUUUGUGAAACUUACAACCCCAAUGCUGCCAGGAUUGAUGUCGAAGGAAGAGGCACGUCUACAUCUUCAGUCCUUUCGUCGUUGAGAAACUUGGCAAGAUAUGUUCGCUCCCUAAAUCCGCCAUGGCGCCUUGCGGGCAAGCCGGGGAUUUACUUCACAUAUGAGAUUGGUGGGUGCGGGCGUGCCACUACUAGAUGCCGCUAGUAGACGGGAUUUGAGUGAUUGAGGUUGCGCCUGAAUUUGCCCGAAUCAAGAGAUUGUGUCAUUUGAGUGGGAGUUGCUCAAAUUAAGAUUCUUUGUUUGCCUUAAAAAUAAGGACUUUACUUAUAUGGAGAGAUAGAACAAUAUGUAAAUGAUAAGGUUGCUUGGAAAUAUAAAUGACAGAGGAAAGUGACUAAAAUUGCAGAUUGCUUGUAAUUUAUAUGGCUGGAAAUGAGUACAUAACAGCUACAAAUGAGAUCGAUACCGCAAGUGAGCAGCAGAGCUAAUAAACUAGAUAAAAGAAGGCUUUUUGGUGAAGGUUUAUCCCGAAUGGGAUGAAGGCUUGGGCUGACUACAGCUUCGUUGAAGGCAAAUCUGGCUUGAGCAGAGUUUUGGCUUUUGUUUGUUUGUUUGAGUGUCCAUAAUCCUUGUGCAUCUGCUCCUUUUUAUAGAGGUCUGGAGGAAACCCUCCUGCUGAGGUUUUGUAUCUGCCCGAAAGAAGCUUGGGCAACUUGUAUUCCAUUGCUUUAGACAGCUUGCAUGCUUUUCACUUGCCAACUUGCAUGGAGAAAUAAUAUUAAAAGGGGAACUUGCAUUUCCACCACAAGCUUUUAGCACAUGUUUUCCCACUUGUAAUAAACUAACAUUUAAAAGAAGCAAGUUGGCUUCUUUCACAUGUUCCUUGCUCGAAAGCUUGCUGAUGCUUUUCCAUCCACUUGCAAUACAUGCAUGUAUCUUGAUUAUACAAAUGCUAGACAAACCUCCACCACCCAAACAAAUAGGAGAAACAAUAUUAUAGUGUCCAACCCCUCCACUUGCAUCUAAAUAUCUUUCCAAGUUAGCUUUCUUGCAUAUUAAUCCUCCAAAUGCCAUAUUUUACCCAAAUUGCCCAAAUAAGUAAAAAUGGGUAUAUUUUGAGUGCAAACAGUGCCCCCCAAGUUUUACAAAUUUGAGCAAAGUUUGUGAAACUUACAACCCCAAUGCUGCCAGGAUUGAUGUCGAAGGAAGAGGCACGUCUACAUCUUCAGUCCUUUCGUCGUUGAGAAACUUGGCAAGAUGAGCAAGGCAAUUGGUAGUGUAACUAGCAUUGGAAAGAAUGUUGUCUGACUUGUGCAUCCUUCUUGUUGAUACCAAAAAACAUGGGAGCAACCUCACUGAUUACAUAGAUAAUAAAUUGGACAAAUGCUCGAAGUCGGGCAAACUGGAGAACAAGGAUAAAACAUAAAUAAACUUGGGCAACUAUUUAUUUUUUGUCUUUUUCUUUUGGCCUCUUUUCAUAUGUAAUAUAAUAUAUAAUACAAAUACAUAUAUAUAUAUAUAUAAUAUAGCCCACUCGGCAAAGAGAACAGAAAGAGACAAGAAGAAAGAGAAAGGAAGGAAAAGAAAAUAAAUAAAUAAAGAAAAAGGAAGAAAGAGAAGAGGACCCUUUCGGGCAAGAAGGGAACGGAAGAGACAGAAGAGAAAGAAAGGGGAAAGGAAAAGGGAGAGAGGGAAAGAAAUAAUAAAAAAGUAAGGAAAGAACCUUUCUUUCUUAGGCCGAGCCAAGUGAAGGACAGACCUUGAGAAAGGGACAAGGAACAGAAAGCAAGAGAAAAGAAAAAAGAAAAGGAAAAAGAAAGAGAUAGAUAGAGAGAAAAAGAUACCCACGUUCUCUAGCCUUUCCUUUUCUCCAAAAGAGAAGCUGUUUCUCUGUUCGAGGCACCACUUAAAGAUCAAGGUGCGGCAACCAAAAUCCAAGUCUGAGAGAGAGAGAGAGAGAGAGAGAGCAAUCCUUGUUCGUUCCCAAAUUUUGCCUCUUUGGAAUUAAGAGAAGUGGAAAGAUGCCUCUUAAGCUAGCCGACGCCACCAUCUCCACCUUCGAUUGUGUGUUUGACAAAUUCAAAGUAGAAGCUCUAAACAACAAAAUCAAUUUCAUCCUUUUCUUGGCUGACAAUGACCCUUCUACCUCUUGGUGCCCUGAUUGUGUGAGAUCUGAGCUUGUAAUCUACAAAAGGCUAGAAGCUAUACCAGAUGAUGUUGCACUGUUGAGGAAAUCAAACUCCUCUGGUGUUAUUUUGUUCAGAGCCCUCAUAGUCUUUCACACGCGAUCCUCAUCAGAUAGAGCAACCUUCUAGCUGACCAUAGUACCUCAGCUUUGAUUGAAGUAGGAGCAGGCCCUCCUCCUUGGUUCUGUUCAUGCAAAUUAAGCCUGAUUUGCAUCUUGCUGUUUGUGACCAAACCGAUCACCAGACUUUUUGUUCUUCCGGAGAGCACCCGAUGACCGUACUCUUUAAGGCAGGAAUUGGUGUAGAAGUGCCACGCCAAACUCGGCUAUUGGGCUCCGAAUAAUCAAUUUUAGGCUGGAGAUGGAGCUGGAGAUUUGGUAGAAUGGUUUUUGCAUGACCUCAGUUCUGAUCUUCACCACUGGAAUUUCAUCAGGGAGCAAAACAGCUUCCCUAAGCUGUAGUUGAUUCUUUGGGACGGAGUGAGAUGCAUAGUGCGCUAGCACACUCCCCUCCCUAACCAGCAAAAAUCCAGACUUUUCUUCCCAUACUGAGAGAUAAUUAGGGAAACUAGAAAUCCCCGAGAUUGGGGAAUGGAAGAAUAUCACCUGCAAUUGUUGCUUAUUGAUCCAUUCCAUUGAGGUCGGGAGCUAUACUAGACUUUGAUCCGCUGUUUGAUGUUCUUUGCCCGAGCUGCGGUUCCAAGACACCACCCAUGGAUUCGUUUUUGGAGUAACAAUACCACAUCGGGCUCAUGGGAGUUUGCAAUAACCCUGCUGUCGAAAGCAUUGUUGGAAUUAAGAUCGUUAUCACUUCCAACAUGAUGUUGCAGCGCAGGUUUUGGCUGGAAUUUGUUGGGAGGUAACGACGAGCAGCUGUGAGCUACGAUGUUGUUGGUUGACUUGUUUUUCACAGAAGCUUGCUCUGUCCACCAUUUAAGCAAUUUUUGGGCUAGGAAGCCAUUGACAGGUUUGUUGGGGGAGUCGGUGUAAUUUCCAGCAUCUCCUUCAGGGGCAGCUAUGGCACGAGCACUUCAAAUACGUUUGCCCGAUCAAACAUGGGGCCCCAUGUCUAAUUGACAACAUCUAAAUAAAUUGUAGCAGAGAAAAAGUCUUGCUCAUCGGGCAAGAUUAUAGCUCCAUCGGGCAAUAGCAACAUACUUUCAUCAAGCAUUCGGGCAAACUGCAAAAACAAUUCUGCACCCACCAUCCAACCUCCACGGUUUAAUCGUAGCCUCAAUGGUAGUCGUCGAAGUAGCCCGACCCUUGGUUGUAGGAGCUGGUGAGAGUUAGGGAGACAUGCAGAGUCUGUUGGUGGUGAACAGGGAAGACGUCACUUCCGUCGGGCAUGGUUAUGGUGGUCUCAUCGGGCACCACCAAUCGGGCAAGAUAACCCCCCUGCUCUUUUGCAAUAGCCAUUGAGAAGCUGUCUGAUAGAUUUUUGCACAGGAAAGCCAUGAUUUGGCUUUUUAUAAAACCUCCAAUUCCAAGAUUCUGGGUGAGAUUUUGUGGAAAAUGUAGUUUUAUUGUAUGGUUUUGGGUUCGGGCUAAAUACACCCAUUGGAUAAGAGAAAAGGUGGAAAGAAGGGUAAAAAUGGCUACUCACAAACUGCCCAACUCUUUAUAUUUUCUGUAAAAUUCCCCAGCAAGAAAACAAAAAGGGAAAGAAAGCAAGAAAAAACAAAGCAAGAAAGCAAAAUGUUUUUGUAAUUUUUGGAAUUUUUAAUUUUUAUAUCUUUUUCUUUGUAACAACACAAGAAACACACCAAGAAAACAGAGCCCUUUCGGGCAAACAGAAAAAGGAAAUUAAAGGCCUGUCAAGCAAGUUGGAAAAAGACAAAUAAAAAGAAAGACUUGUCAGACUUUCUUUAAAAAGAGUAAAACAUAAAAUGGACAAAAGCCCUUUCGGGCAAACCAACACCAAAGGAAGAAAUAUAAUCUUUUUAUUUUUCUUUGUUGUCCUUUUUUUUUUAAAAGCUAUACAUAUAAUAUAAUAAAAUAUACACCUACGAAAAGCCUUCGGGCAAAACACUUUUAUCAUAUAAUAUAAUAUAAUAAAUAUAGAUAUAUAGAUAUAAAAGUGUUUUGGGCAGCAGAAAGACAGGUGAGAGAGAGACAAGAAGGAAAAGAAAGGAAGAAAGAAAGAAAGAAAAAGAAAAGGAAAGAAAAAGGAAAAGGAGGAGAAGGGUACUGGAGAAAAAUGCACAAAAGAAUAACAUAAAAGAAAGCCAUUCGGGCAAAUUGGAUGAAGCCCCUUGGCUACUCAAGUGUUAUUUUUCUCUCAACACUCAAAUCUUUUUCUCUUUUUAAAAUUGAGUGUAGAGAGAUCAAACCCACCAUUUAAAUUGGCCAUGCUAUGUAGCUUGGGAACCAUAGGAGGUGGCCAUUCAUGUUUGAUCCCAAGCUUUGUCCUCAUUGAGAUCUCGAUGCGGACAACAUGCUUGUGUUGGCGGGGAAGAUUAUAGGAGCUAUUUUCUUCUUCUUCGGGCUCCACAUGAGGUGUGGGCUCAUGCCCCCCGAGCGUUGGUGUUUGGCCUACAACGGCUUGGACUUCUACAACCAUAUCCAUUUUCAUGGAUUUUUCCUUGGGUGGGGCCAUUGUUUGGCCUUCAUCAACAUGUAUGAUCUGUUCUUCCUUGGUUGUAGUAGGGUGAGUGUGCUUUGUAGAGGGGAUUUGACACAUUUGAUCUAUCAACUUUCCCAAAGUUUCUCCAAAAGUUGUAUAGCUUUCCUCCACCUUUUUAAAACACUUAGUCAUCUCUUCACCAUAUUCGAUGCUUGCCACAUGGAGUUUUGACACCUUCUCUAAUUUGCCCACAUCCUCUUUGUAGAGCUCUUCAUCCGAAUGAUCAUGAGUUGGCAUCUUAUAUAUUGGCUUUAUGUACUUAUUGGAAGUCUUUUGAUACUCAAAGCCAUUUGUUGGCCUAUCAUAGUAUUCAUGAAUAUGAUUGUCUUCAAAAGAAUAAUAACCUUCAUCAUAACCAUAAGUUGGCCAAUCUGUAAGAUCAUUAUUUAUUUGAUGGCCAUUAGUUGGCCGACAAUCAUGUUCCAUGGGACUUGAGUACUUUUCAGCCAUGUACCCAUAAGUUGGCAACUCAUAGGUUGGCUCUAUGUGAUAGCCAUAGCUUGGGCGCUCUUCCACACCAUCAUCUUCCGAAAAAGCAGAAAAAUCAUGAACAUAAGGAUUGUUCAUGAUCUAACUCCAUAUAAGGAUCCCACCGGGCGUGCCAAAAUAUGUUCGCUCCCUAAAUCCGCCAUGGCGCCUUGCGGGCAAGCCGGGGAUUUACUUCACAUAUGAGAUUGGUGGGUGCGGGCGUGCCACUACUAGAUGCCGCUAGUAGACGGGAUUUGAGUGAUUGAGGUUGCGCCUGAAUUUGCCCGAAUCAAGAGAUUGUGUCAUUUGAGUGGGAGUUGCUCAAAUUAAGGUUCUUUGUUUGCCUUAAAAAUAAGGACUUUACUUAUAUGGAGAGAUAGAACAAUAUGUAAAUGACAAGGUUGCUUGGAAAUGUAACUGACAGAGGAAAGUGACUAAUAUUGCAGAUUGCUUGUAAUUUAUAUGACUGGAAAUGAGUACAUAAAAGCUACAAAUGAAAUCGAUACUACAAGUGAGUAGCAGAGCUAAUAAACUAGAGAAAAGAAGGCUUUUUGGUGAAGGUUGAUCCCGAAAGGGAUGAAGGCUUGGUGCUGACUACAGCUUCGUUUGAAGGCAAAUCUGGCUUGAGCAGAGUUUUGGCUUUUGUUUGUUUGUUUGAGUGUCCAUAAUCCUUGUGCAGCUGCUCCUUUUUAUAGAGGUCUGGAGGAAACCCUCCUGCUGAGGUUUUGUAUCUGCCCGAAAGAAGCUUGGGCAGCUUGUAUUUCAUUGCUUUAGACAGCUUGCAUGCUUUUCACUUGCCAACUUGCAUGGAGAAAUAAUAUUAAAAGGGGAACUUGCAUUUCCACCACAAGCUUUUAGCACAUGUUUUCCCACUUGUAAUAAACUAACAUUUAAAAGAAGCAAGUUGGCUUCUUUCACAUGUUCCUUGCCCGAAAGCUUGCUGAUGCUUUUCCAUCCACUUGCAAUACAUGCAUGUAUCUUGAUUAAACAAAUGCUAGACAAACCUCCACCACCCAAACAAAUAGGAGAAACAAUAUUAUAGUGUCCAACCCCUCCACUUGCAUCUAAAUAUCUUUCCAAGUUAGCUUUCUUGCAUAUUAAUCCUCCAAAUGUCAUAUUUUACCCAAAUUGCCCAAAUAAGUAAAAAUGGGUAUAUUUUGAGUGCAAACAACAUGUCAACCUCCUGUACCACUUGUUGGAUUGAACCGUCGGUAGUCUGAAGCCAGAUAUAAGACUUCAUCAUCUGAGAAUGAGUUGGCACCGAUGUGGCUUUAGAAUUCCAACAUUACAAAGUACACGAAAAAUAUAAAACAGUUAAACAACCCACCCACCUUCACCCCCUCCAAAUAAACAAAAACAAAAAGAGAGAACAAAUUAACACUCAACAAGUAGAGGCGGCUACAAGCAUUCAAAAGAAACGAAAAACAGAAAACAAUCGAUUCGACUAUGGCUUGAAGAACAAAGAAAAGAAAACAUAAUGCAUUUAUCUAUUAAACACUAGACAAAGACGACAUAACAUAGUGGAAAAAAAGGAAGAAGGGGCAUAAAAAGAAUCACGAAGAACGCGUACGGAAAAGUGAUAAUACCUCAGGUUCAAUAACAGUCAUGUCACCUUCUGACAUUUGAACAAUCCCAAGUUCUGAGGCUUAAAAACUGGAGUGCAUCAGGCAAAAGAAAACAGCUUUAUGCUUCUUUUGCAGCAACUUGCUGAUACCCUGUUAAGUCAAACAAAAUUAUAAUUAGCAGCCCUUCUAUGCAAAUCCUUACCCAAAAUUAAAGUUUACACAAAUUUAACAUAAACCCAAGUUAGCUAGGGCAGUAAACCACCCUUUGCAAUCCCCAAGCCGUCGUUUAGAUUAGAUUAGAAUAUCGCUUUCAAAACAUAAACCCAGCUCUUACUUGCCAUGAAACAAUACAAGUUCCAAUUUUUCCUAACAAAUCUAUACUUCAUACAUAUAUAUUUCCACUAAACUUAAUUCCAUUUAUUCCCAAGUACAUGAAAAAGCAUUCUGGUGAUUAUAUUGCCCUAAAUCAAGUGAGAAAAAUUGCAAUUCAUAGGUAUUUUAGCUGAAUUUCUCGAUUAAACUAACUGUUAUUACCAGUAAAUGAUUGUUUUUCCUAAAGAUUUUAGUUCACCGAGCUCCGGAUUAAAGGGUACUUGGCAAUUUCAUUUUUCUAUUCAAUCAUUUCCAUUUUCCCGCACUUUCUGGGCAACCAAACAGGCAUACAGAAGAGAAAAAAAACAUGGUAAAGAAAAGCAAAAGGACAGACAAUUAAUUAACACGAAGGAGACAUACGAAAUGUACGGAUUCCAGGUAGGGGGAGCUUUGAAUUGCAGAGAUUUGGCGGUUGUCGGCGAAUCCCCAAAAAUGGAUAAAAUUGCGAAUAAAAUUUAGGAAAAAAAAAGAAAAAGAAACUCUCGUGUGACUGAAGUUGCGUCAAAAAUCAAAAGGUCUGCAAAUCACACGUCAGCGUUUCGUUAGGGUUUCCUGACCUCUUGUAUUUAUUUUGAUUUGAUUGAUUAGUGUUGUUUGUUUGUACAAUUCCUGGUGCGGGCCCACCUUAACCAACGGAUCAUAUUGAUCAUCAAUGUGACCUGGUAAUUAGCAGGCUUUGAUUGAAAAUGGUUCUUAUCAAUGAGGCCCGUACUCCCCUUGUAUAGUUGGACACUGAAUAUUGAGUUAAACCUCGUUGCAGUGAGAGGUUUUUGUGUGAGGCCAUCGCUGUUGGUGAGUCAUUUGUGUUGUGCGCAAGGUCUAAAAUUAUUCGACAGCCUGCUGCUAUUAUCACCAACUAGGUGAUCAAAAGUACGUCCAGUACUCUAAAAUUAUACAUGAGCAUCACUCAUGUCAAUCAUGCAUAAACACUCAUGAGCAUCACUCAUGUCAAUCAUACAUAAACAUUCAUGAACAUCAUUCAUGUCAACAUUCAUGAGCAUCACUUAUGUCAACAUCCAUGAGCAUCACUCAUGUCAAUCAACAUAAACAUUCAUGAACAUCACUCAUGACAAUCAGCUUUGAAAGUUUCAUUUACAGAGCUCCAACUUCAAGAGCUCCAGCUUCAAAAACUUCAUUUACAAAGCUCCAGCUUCAAAAACUUCAUUUACAAAAGCUCCAGCUUCAAAGCUUCACCUACAAAGCUUCAGUGCAUGGUUUACAAAGAUCGCCUCCGAACAACUGCCACUUCGGUCCAUACAUGGAUUGAAUUUGAAGUCUCCAGCCAAUAGCCUCUAUUGACUGAAGACUUGGGGGACUGCACUCUGUACCAUAUAUUGGGCUUCCACAACUAGGUCUCAUGAAAAAUACUUUGGGACUCUAGUCCAUUAUUUAUGUACUGAGGAGCGAACCCUUAUUCUAUAAAAAGGACUCCCUUACUUUCAUUAGAGAGCACACAUUAUUCAUGUACUGAGGAGCGAACCCUUAUUCUAUAAAAGGGACUCCCUCACUUUCAUUAGAGAGCACUCAUUAUUCAUGUACUGAGGAGAGAGCCCUUAUUUUAUAAAAGGAACUCCCUCACCUUCAUUAGAGAGCAUCUCCACCUGUUGAGCAACCGCCUCGCCCCGAGCAUCAACUCUUAGCCCAUCACUUAUGUAUUAAAGAGCAAGCCCUUAUUCUAUAAAAGGGACUCCCUCACCAUCAUUAGAGAGCAUCGCCGCCUAUUGAGCAACCGCCUCGCCGCGAGCAUCAACUAUAGCCCAUCAUUUAUGUAUUGAUGAGCGAGCCCUUAUUCUAUAAAAGGGACUCCCACACCUUCAACGCCACAAGCGGAGCCAACCAAGGCAACAUAAGCCACAAGCAGGGCAACCUCGCAACAUGAGCUACUUUUAGUUGAGCAUCAUUUCAGAUUGGGCACCGCCUCAUAUCGAGUAUUAGUUCUAGGCGACAUCUAGUUACUUCGGCCCACACGUGGACUAAAUUUCAAGUCUCCAGCCAAAAGACUCUCUUGACUGAAGACUUGGGGAACUACUGUUUGUACCAUACUUAGGGUAUCCAUAUUUAGAUCUCGUAUAAAUACUCGGGAGACUCAAAUGUAAUUAUGUAAUAAAUGGAGGGGCAAAUAUGUAAUAAGUGAGGAGCCCUUAUUCUAUAAAAUGGCUUCUUCACCCUCACAAACCGAAAGCUCUCAUCCUCACAAACAGAGAGCUCUCUCAAACUCUCUCUUUCUUUGGGGGACUCCCCCUCACCCUUGUAAUCCAUACGUACAGUUAGAGAGAAAUACAAUCAACAUCAGUGUGGACGUAGCCCAAACAUUUGGGUGAACCACAAUACAUCUUGUGUUCUUUACUUUCUUGCAGAUUCACGGUUGGAUUUACGUUGUUCCAAGACCCCUCCGGUUUUGUGCAUCAAAAUAAAUCAUAAUUCCCAUUUACGAAAUUUCAUAAUCACCCUGGAAUUUUCACCACAAACACAAUACAAUUUAUGUAUGUAUUUCACAUAUAAAACAUGAAUGCCACUUCAUUCACAAAAUAUGAAUUAAUACAACCACAAUGCAUUCCACAAUCCAUAUAACAAGAACUCAAGAAUAUUGCAUAUUGUAGAACAUGAUCAUUUGCUCUGAUACCAUUAAAGUUGUCACGCCCGAUCCCGACAUAUGUCCAAGAUCGAUACGUGACGUUACAAAAUACCCAUAUCACUCACACACCCCGCUUCUAGGAUAUGGACAAUGCACAACUCAAGAUUCAAAUUUCAUGAUAAUUUUUCUUAUACUUUAUGGUUGCAUCUAACCUCCUCGUUAGACUGUUUACGUACCCUCAAUAGGGAUCAAGCCAUUCGUAGUUCAACUUCGCUAUAACUCGACAUAUAACACAGUAUGUUCAAGCCAAAAUGCAUAACAUUCCUCAAUCAAACAUUUGGACUUGACAAGCAUGAAUUAUUCGAUUCAAACUACAUAACAACCCGCAUGACAAUCAAGGUUUCUAUUUCAUCCAUCAUAUAAAUCAUUAUGUUUCAACAUAAAAUUGCUAUUCAUAUCAUGUAAUAUAUCAAAGAAUCAACACAGCACAAUAGUAUCCUCUAGUCGCAUUAAUCAUUGAUCUAAUCAUAUUAAUAACAAUCAUAUUCAACAUCCUUCCACAAUCAUCUCAAGUAACCCAUUCCAUGAUAUCAAGGAGGCACGAUAUUAACAUUUAAUUAUGUUAAUCAAUCAAUCAAUCAAAUCACACCUCAAUGCACAAAAUUAAUAAAGGACUUCUACAUAGUUCUCUGCCUGGAUUUCAAGUAAUAACUUGAUAAUUCUAAUUUAUAUUCACAAGAUAUAUUAUGGGUACAUCCCAUUCAAUCGAAUCCAGGGAACAAGUCUAACUUAAGGAAAAGAGCAAAAGUAGGGAUAACGGACCACUCAACGUAAUCCAAAUCAGGAUACGAUUCCGAACCAUCACUCAAUGGAAUUGCGGAGUAGAAAGGAUUUUGGACCAUCUCUCAACGGAAUCUGAGUGGAUACGAUUCUGGACCAUCACUCAGCGGAAUCGCGGAGUACAAUGCAUAACAACCACUAAAUGAAACCCAAGUUGGAUACGAUUCCGGACCAUCACUCGACGGAAUCGCAAAAUAGAAGGGAUUCCGGACCAUCACUCAACGGAAUCCAAACAAGCAUAUGAUUCUCCCAUCAAAUGUACCAAGUACAACUAAUCCUCCUCACUUUUAGAAUGCAUAUGGUCCCCCAACGCGGAUUAACCAAGUAGGUAGUGACUCCCCAAAGUGUAUUAACCAAGCAGAGUCAUACCUACAAAACUGUUAGGCAAUGAUCACCUUAUGCGGAUUAACCAAGCAUGAUCACCCCUAAGUAUAAAUGGCCAUAAGGAUCACCCAACGCGGAUUAACCAAGCACGAUCCAUAAAUAGUAUGGUCCGCCAACGCGGAUAAACCAAGCAAGACCAGCCAUGCACCACGUCUACAUAGUGCAGUCUCAUCAUCACACCUUAUACAUAAUUAUACGCAUACAUACUAUCGAUUCCGCAUAUCAACCAGCAUUCAGUCAUAUGGAGCACAACACAAGGAAUUCCCUCAAUUACUAAUUCUACUAAAAAUCUAAUAAAGUACCUAACUCAUCUCCUGACUUUCAUCUCCAUCUCAUGCUAGGUAAUAGUGCAAAGUUCAAAUAAGUAUUCAGUUGGCAAUCAUAUCCAAAUAAUUAUCAAACAAUAUUUAGAUCCCAUAAUUGUCAUAACAUUCUUCAUAAUUAUCAUUCACAUUAUUAAAAGUUAAUUAAACACAUAUCUAUCACAAACAUCAUCAAUACACAAGCCAAAUCAUAUUUAAUUAGCAUAGGUCUAUGGCCAAAUAUAUAAAAUUCACAUUUCAAUAGAAAUCAUAUUUAUAAGACCAAUUCAUAUUCACAAAUGAUACUAAUAGUAGAAAUUAAGAUAAUAAUCAUAUUUCAUAUAUUCAAGUCGCUAUCUAACCAAUGUAGGCCCACUAGACUUCACUUAGUCCCUCAUGAUACUAAUUUUAGUAAUUAGGACGUUUCGAGACAUGUUGAUCAAAAGUCAACUUUUGGUCAAAGGUAGGGUCCACAAUUCUACACAAUUCAAUCCGGAAGAUCCACACCUUGGAUUUCGGAUAUGUAACUUUCCAAAGUCCACAUUAUGCUCAAAUAACAACAUGCUAAAAUCUUAACACGAUCCGACGAUUGGAUCUCCGCCAAUUAAAUUCAAGUGGCGAUCGACAUUUAAUUUUACAAACUUAGAAAUCCAAUUAGGGAAGAUCUGUAUGUCGGAUUCUCGAUCCGUAAGUUUCUAUGAUCCAAAAAUAUUAUGUUCUAUCACACAUUAAGAUUUGGUGACAAUCCAACGGUCGGAUCGUCGAAUCAUAUUUUUGACCUAACCACGUAUCGUAAUGAAAUUAGGUUCAAACAAUCAAAUCAUAUAAUAAGGAUAUCAAUUAUGAAAUCAGGGCAUCUAAUUGAACUUAAAAGGACAUCAUCGGCCCACUGGCCAGGCCGCCGCAGCACACGCCGUCGCGGGUGGCGGUCGGCCACCCCGACUUGUCGGAAAAUUCAACUAUUUUUAAAAAUUACUAAAAAUUAUAGAAAUGAAGAUCUCAAAGAGUAAAAAACUUUAUACCUAUGGCCAAGUUCAAUUUGGCCGGGAAACACUUCAAUUUCACUCAAACCCGCCGAAACCCUAGAAAAGGGUGUGCUUUGAUUCGGCUUCCAAUCGAACUCCGACGCCUCCAACACUACUUGAGCUUUGUUCCUGGGGUUGAGAGAAGUCUUUUGGUGGUGGUCAUGGAUGGUGAAACUUGUCGGAGCCACCGGGAAAAGGGAUAAAGCUGCCGGAACACCCGUGGGUUUGUGGCUUCGAACUGGAAAAAUGGGAAGGAAAUUGUGAAAUCUAACACUACCAGGAUGUAGGGCUCAUCAAAGGCUUUCCAUGGACACCAAGAUCACCCAAAACGGAGUUCGUAUGAAUAAGAUAUGGCCGGGUCAAAAAUGGUGGUUCGUAGGUCAAAAAAUGACCCAUUUCAGGUCCCUACUUUCCCCUCCUUCUCCUUCUCCUGAUUGGGCAGCUCCUAACCUUUUAAAAAUCUGAUUGGUUCCCUCCCUCUUCUAAUUGAUUGGUCCCUUAAUCCAAAUAUCUGAUUAGGCCUCUUUCCCAUAAAGUGGGAGUCUAAAUAAUUCCUAAAUUCUAUAGUAUCCCAACUUCAAACGCCCGUAACUAUAUCGUUAUAACCCGAACUCGUAAACGGCUUUUGCCUAUGCGUUCGUGAUCUCUAAAUCUAAUCAACAAUAUAAAUUGUGACCUUGAAUGGUCUACGGAUUUUAAAUAAUUAAUUUCCCAAAAAAUAAUAUAAAAACUCAAUAAUACCAAUACUUAGAUUAUAAUAAUGAAAUCCAGGAAUGGGAUUUCACAAUUUAUAUGUCUGUUCCUCCUGGUCUUCGGCGACAGUGGGAGAAUCUUGUGUGUCGCCUUCACAAGUCUCUUUAUGGUCUCAAGCAGGCUUCUCGCCAAUGGUUUGCCAAAUUCACUACUGCCAUUCUUUCCGCUGGCUUUCAACAAUCCAAAGUUGACUAUUCAUUGUUCACUAAAAAGUCUGGUACUUCUUUUACAGCCUUGCUCAUUUAUGUGUAUGAUAUUGUGAUUACAGGCAACGAUGUUUGUGCAAUUGAUUCUCUGAAGUCUUUUCUCCGUGAUCAUUUUCGGAUUAAAGACCUUGGUGAUUUAAAAUAUUUUUUGGGCAUUGAGGUUUCUCGUUCCAAACAAGGGAUUUAUAUUUCACAGCGCAAGUAUGCAUUAGAGAUUCUCAAGGAUUAUGAUUUUUUUUUAGCACAACCCAUUACUUUCCCUAUGGACGACACAAAAUUCUCUGAUAAGGGAGAACUUCUCAAGGAUCCUGAAAAGUAUCGCUGAUUAGUAGGACGGUUGAUCUAUCUCACAUAACUCGGUCGGACAUCACCUAUUAUGUGCAUGUUCUGAGUCGUUUUAUGCAUGAGCCAAGGAUACCUCAUAUGGAUGUUGCGCUUCGUGUUGUUCGUUAUUUGAAGGCUACUCCAGGUCAAGGCUUAUUAUUCCGUUCUGACAACCAAACCAAGUUAACUGCAUUUUGUGACUCUGAUUGAACAGGUUGUCCUAUCACUUGCCAUUCGACUACUGGGUAUUGUGUAUUCUUGGGCAAUUCUUUGGUUUCGUGGCGGGCAAAACGACAGGAAACUGUUUCACUUUCUUCAUCAGAAGCAGAAUAUAAGGCUAUGGCAAGUGCUUGUUGUGAGUUAAUUUGGCUUCGGUUUCUAUUGAAAGACUUGAACAUUCCUUUCGAUGGUCCUUCCGUUUUAUUUUGUGAUAAUCAAGCAGCAUUACAUAUAGCAGCUAAUCCUGUUUUUCAUGAGCGGACUCAUCACAUUGAGAUGGAUUGUCACUUUAUACGAGAUAAGAUUGCAGAUGGCACUAUAGAAACCAAGUAUGUUGGUACGGCACACCAGUUGGCGGAUUUGUUUACCAAGCCUCUCGGGAAAGACAAGUUUUCGAGUAUGUUACGCAAGUUGGGAGUUCUUGACAUCCACUCUCCAACUUGAGGGGGGGUGCUAGACAAGUAGAAACGUAGUUGGAAUCUAUGUAUAAUUGUAAUCCUAGUUAUAGUUGUAUUCCUAACUUGUGGGAUAAUUUCUUGCUGACCAAGUUAUGUAAUUGUAUAUAUUUGUGUUUCACGUAUCAAUGAAAUGCGCUUCAAACCCAUAUAUCUUUUUCUACAUAUUUUAAAUUGCAUACAAGCAAGCUUCCGCCAUUUAAUUGUUGAAAGUAUGCCAUUUCUUGCUUAAUGAACUUAGAUUUUCAUAAAUUUUCCUUCAGUUAUAUGGAUCCCCAAGCCUUCCGGCAGAAAUUCAGCAAUAAUAAACCUGGGUUUUGGUCACAUUCGCUAUUGAAGAUAAACCAACUUCGACAACCCGCUGCAGCGCAACCCACGAGGUCACCCACCUUCAGCCCUCGCGGUUUGAAGUUUCGAUCGCCACGAUGCCAGCCUUAUUCCACAAUAGCAGCAGCACUCCAGAGACCCGUCGCUGCAACCCAUGAAGCUUCAACCCGCGGUUCGUACCACCAGACCCCAGCCGCAACCACAUUUGAAUCCCUCGGCAGCCGUCCCCCGAGCACAGCUUUCCCCGCGACGCAACUGCAGCUCAACCCACGACCAGUUUCGGUCACGAGCUUCGAGUUCAACCUUUGGUGGUCUCGCGUUUCCCAGAUCUUCAGUCAUGAACAAACGAUGGUCUUUGUGCAGCCCGAAAAGGCGGAGAUCGACGAGGAUAAGGAAAGAAAUGGAUGAAGGGAUAAGGAAGGAAAGAGAGAGUUGUGUGGCUGUGCGACCGUUUGGAUGAGAGAGACGGAAACAACAAUAGAAAAGGCGCUGGCUGCUGCAACAAGAAGGCUGGGUCCAAACUUGAGCCUAGUGGCCGUCCAGCACAAAAGGGAGAAGGUGCUGCAAUGGUUAAGCGGCGUGGGCCUCCUCUCCUCUUGGCCUUGAGCUAUUAAAAAUAAAAAAUAAAAAUCAGGGAGGCAACAAAGAAAUUGAAUAAAACAAAGAUAUGUGGCCUUAUAAAAGAAGGCUCAAAUGUACACCAGAAGAAGGAAGGCAGAGAAUUUUUGAAAUUUGUGUUCCUUCGGUGACUCGGGAAAUUAAGACACCUUCUUUAGCAACUCUCCUUAUUCGGAGAUUUCGACAGACUCCACUAUAUGCUACUACAUUUCGAUAGUCAUAAGUUUCGUAAUUACUCAAUGACUUGGAUUUUGUAAGUCCCAACUAAUAAACUUUCCUCACUCGAGAACUUGGGAGAGAACUAUUUGUAUUAUACUUGACCAAUCCUGAAACUAUCGUGCAUUGGUCAACUUCCUACCUUCAAGGACCCACUGAAGGGUUCGUGCUGAGGCACUCCUGCCGAAGCACAAGAGUUUCUCUCCAAUUAGAAUGCCAAUUUAGUUCCUGAAUUAUCACAUGAGUGAAAAUUAGGUCCCUAACUUCUUCUUUUUUCAGAAAAAUUAGUCUUUGAAUUAUAAAACUCGGUCAAUUACAUCCCUAAUAUUAGAUUUGAAGCUACGAUAUUCAAUUUUCCAUCAACUUAAGUCAUGGUACAUGCAUGUGAUACACAUUUGAGGGUAGAUUGGUAAUUUUACAUAAAGAAUAGUGUUUGGUAAUUUUACUUAAGUUGAUGAAAAUUGAAUAAAAAAAGCUUUGAAUAUAAUAGUAGAGAUGAAAUUAGUAAUUAACCGAAAAAUAAUUCAAGCACCUAAUUUUUACUAAGAUAACAAUUCAGGGACAUUUUAUCCUAAAUCAAUUGCAUCUUUUGGGUUUCUCACCACUCCUUGAAACAUCAAUUCAUUUAUGCACUUCCAAAUUCUCCAAAGAACAAAAACCACCUCCUACAUAAUCUCCUCUCUCCGCUGCUCAUCCUUACAUCGCAUACCAAUAUACUCCAACACGCACGAAAAUCAAUCCCCACAAACGCCGUUGCAUCCAGUUGUAAUGAGCAGCAAUACCAAAUGACACGACUAAAUUUACACCCAAAAAAUAGGUGUUCUUCCAUUUCCUCAGCACACCCACAAAGGACACAUGAAUUGUCCACUCUCAUCCUCCUACGAAUUAGAUUGCACCGAACAGCCAUAGAGUUGUUACAACACCUCCAAAUAAAAAAAACUUCAUUUAUUUGGCACAUGUAAUCUCCAUAUAUUCGGAUUAUUGUUUAAGUGUCGAUUAACGUGUUUAUUUCUUAUUGGUGACACAUAAUUUGGUUUGAAAUUGACUUAUAAAUUUGGUUAAUCUAGCAUUACUCACUAGACACAGUCAGACUCAUUCACAAUCUAACAAAUGUCCCUAACUUAAGCCAUUUGUCUCCCCAAUAUACUUGGGUGUAGAAAACUGAUUAUAGCAGUAUGCUUCUAUUGAACUUGAACUCAAUGUUCUAAACCUUCUUCCCAUAAUUUAGAUUAGAUUAGAAUAUUGCUCAAAUUAGAAAAUUUAGAUUAGAUUAGAAUAUUGCUCAAAUUAACAUUCUUCCCAUAAUUUAGAUUAGAUUAGAAUAUUGCUCAAAUUAGAAAAUUUAGAUUAGAUUAGAAUAUUGCUCAAAUUAGAAAAGCUAGAUGUAGCCCCAAACUUAAUCCGCAUGAUGAACAUGCAAAGUAUGAUUACGUUGUAAACACUUAUUUAAAUAAUAUUGAUCAUUCUUGCUAUAAUAUCUCACCUACUGAAGCGUGCACAUUGCCUCGCUUUUAAAAAUAUUAACUUUCAUCCAGAUUUAGUGGUUGACUAGAAAGGAUAAUACUUUCGAAAGUUGUUGCUUUAAUAAAAUUAUUUUACACUAAGAUUUCCACACCUUGGUGAAUCAAAAAAGUAGUUUGGCGGAAAGCAAAUUUUUUAAUCAAAAAAGUAGUUUGGCGGAAAGCAAAUUUGUUAAACACUCGCCUUUGUUUUGGUUGCUUGUAUUUUAUCAAAACUUAGUGGGUGGGCAAUGCAUAAUUCAAUAUUAUAAUGCAUAUAGAUUAUUGGGCGAACUAGAAAAAGCAGUAAAUUAGGUGGAAAGAAAAUUUGUUAAGGACUCACCUAUAUCUGGUGCAUAAAAAAACCUCAUUUUAUCAAUCAUGUUGUCUAGUGAAAUUAUUGUAUAGCUUAGUGCUUGAUGUAGUUUAUCAAGUGGAAUUAUUCUGCUUUCGUAGCUGAUUGUGCUUCUUCUUGGUCUUAAUUUGACUCUAAUGAACAUGGUUGAACUUGAAGGAAUGUACAGCUUCAAAGUGCUUUACCCUAGGAUUUCAGUACCUUGAUGAAUAAAAAAAAUAGUUUGUUGGAAAGCAAAUUAGGUAAAGACUCACCUAUAUGUGGUGCAUCAAAAAGUUUCAAUUUAUCAAUUAUAAUGUCUACUGAAUUAUUGUAUAGCGGGCAUUUCUAAUGGGGACGCUAAAUGGUGUCUCCACAACCUUAUAGCCUCUAAAUAUAUGGACAAAGGGUUUUCAAUAGGCUUCUAAUGAGCUGGACUAAAGGUUGUUACAGUAUCCUAGUGUAUAGAGACUCGCCGGAUACCUCAAAAAAAAUCUCAAAUGUAAAGACCGCAUAGGGACUCAAAUAGUACGCCCAAAUGUUGAUUUUGAGUGGGAAACAAACCUCACCCACGUGAUAAUGUUGCACAGAAGCUUCUCUCACCACCAAACUGACGCAACAUCACUCAUGGACCCUUACCGCACUUGUGUCAUUUUCUUUUCUUUUCUUUUUUUUUUGUUGAACCAUUGAGAAACCAACGGUUGAGUUUUUUUUUUUUUUUUUUUUUCUUGUUUUUAUUAGCAACCACAAUACUCUAACGAAAUUAACAAUGAUUUUUUUUUAAUAUUUUAGUCCCUACAUUUAAAGAUUCUAUUAUAAGGUCUCCCAUUGAAGAUGCUCUUGGUACUCGAUGAACUUUAUCAAGUGGAAUUACUUUGCUUUCCUUAGUAAUUGUACUUGGUCUUAAUUUGACUCUAAUGAACAUGGUUGAACGUACUGCUUUUAUUACUACACAUGAAUCCCUGCAUUGGAUGCAUUGAGAAGAUUUUACAUCAGUGUGGGGAUCAGGUUUGUUGUUGAAUUUUGGGAUGUUUGUGGCACAUUGAUAUUCAACAGGUCAUGGAGAUAUUCAUACUUCAAGUACUGCAAUGUUGUAAACGAUGGGGUUUAGGAAAGGGUGGAGUUGACAGAUAAUACUUUGAUGUUGUUUUUGUGGAUGCAAAUUUCUUCCUCCUUGAUUUUGGACAAAAUUGCACCUACAAAACAAUUAACAUCUUAGGUCAAGGCCAAGAGCCUCAAGGGCCCAUGAUGAAUGGGGGGCUUUGGCCGAAGAACCUCCGAUGCCAAAGUUAGAAUUUAGAGAGAAAAAGUGUUUGAGAAUUCUAGAGAAUUUUAGCAAGAGUUGGAACUAGUUUUUGGGAGAGAAUGGUGAGCUAUAUAUAGGGAUACGGGCGGCCCUAUUAGGAGAAUAGAGACCGGUCAUUUAGGUAUUUUUGGUUGUAAAUUGUGGUUGAUUAGCCAUUAAUAGUUUAAUUAGGCAAUAAAUCUAUUAAUGGACUAAUUGACAUAUUUUGAAAGAAAUUAUUUGGGGAGUUAUGGAAUGAUUAAAAUAAUUAGCUAAUUGAUUAGCUAAAAAUGGAAAAAUGAGGUAGAAAAUAUAUGGAAUGAAAUAGGUUUUGGGAGUUACCUUGUAGAAGGGAUUUGAUGAGAUAGGUUUUGAAUUGUUACCUAUUUUGGGCACUUUUGAUUUAGUUGAAGGAUGAUUGCUCGCUGCUCGUGCAUAGGAAUCUCGUUGUACCUCAAGGGUAUUUUUAUCCUCUUUUAUCCAAAAAUCCACGUGUCGCAUUAUGAUUACUUUUGGCUCCACAGUUUUAGCAGCAUCUUUUUGGCUCAUGCAUAUCUUGGUGACACUCCUGCAUCUACCAUUCAGUUGGAGACGGAGAUUGGUGACUGCACUUUUAAAAUUAUGACGGACAACUACUAGUGUACUUAACUUGUAUUUGAUUUUGUGGCCUUGUCUCAAUGUCGACAAUUUGCGCACUAUAUUUUUACUUUUGAGGAAGCAGCAUAUGAAAGAUUCAUGCCAAAGGGUAAGGCAAAUACAUGUAAAAAUAUGAAGACAAAAAAUCACUAAUUCAAGUCAAUACAUUUUCUAUUUGCAUUGUAGAAAUUUUGAUUUUGUUCAUCACUUAUUGUCUCCUCUUGUAUGAAAAAGUUGUUCUUUCUAAUACCAUGGAAUUUUUUAUUUUGCAUUGUGAAAAUUUUGAUUUUGUUCCGCUUUUUACCGUGAAUUCGGCAACUAUUUUCGUCGAGUGAAGUAUUGUCACGUCCUGGACUCGAAAUGAGUGAAAGAAAUGAUCUCGGGCCCGUGUGUGAAUAAAAAUAAAAUAAAUAAAAAGAAACUAAAACAGGUUUGAAAACUAGCUCAUUUAAAAAUGAUGCAGAAGAAUAAAUAGGCUGGUAAGCUGAAAUGAAUGGAAAAUUGAUUUAUUUAAUAUACGAGUCAACUACACAAUAAAUCAGAAUUUACUAAAAUACAAUAAUCACCAUUCAACUUCACGUAAAUUUCACGAAUCCCUUAAUUCUCUAAAUUGAUUUGCAGCCUUAGAUGCUUGGAUUCGACUCCCUGAUCACUGAUGUGAAAAUUGUACUGUAAUCCGACUUAACUCAAGUUAUGAAAAUACAGUAAAGAAGUUGGAAGGCUACAAAGUUCCCUCUGUCUCACUUUCCUUCUUUUUCUUCGGAUCUGAAAACUAGGAAAACAAAUGUUGUUUUCCUCUUCAUUCUUUUCUCUUUCUUUGUGGUCCAAUCAAAAUCCUUCAUAUGUGACCCCAUGUCAUCCUUCAUAUGUGGCUAGCUAUCAAUUUGUCACGUGGCCAAGUCAACCAUUUGUCGUUGCCAAAUGUCAAUCAUUUGGUCAUCCUCUAAACUAACAAAUAUUCCGAAAGAUACUAUCAUAUCACCACUAGUUUCAUCCUACUAUUUCCGGAUCAUCAAUUGUUCUCAAUCAAAAUAAUAUUUUUUUCCGAUAUCUUAGUCGUCCGAAAUAACGACUACUUGUGAAACAUUAAUAAUUUCAGGGUUUCACAACCUUCAUCUACUCUUCACGAUCUUCAAGUUGGUAUACUUUGUUCCUGCAUUAAUAGUCGUUUUGGAGUCGGAUGUUUAGAAACCUAUAAAGCUGGUUUUGGCCGGUGAUUUUGGUCAGUUGCCGUCUAGAAUUGAUUGUCGUGAUAGUUAUAAAAGUUAAUCCUUAUGUUGAGUUCUAUAUGCCUGUACAAUUUGGUGUGUCAGAAAAUUGGGUUUCUAGUUUCAUAAUCAUAUCAACACUAAAUCAGGCCCAGAAAGGUGGCGUUAGAAAAAUCUGUAUGUCCCUCAAAACUUGUAGAAGGAACCUUCCUUAAAAAUCACCAUCUUGACCGGCUUAUAGAACAACUAAGCCCAAAAUUUCAAACUGACAGCACUGCGCAGUCAACCUUCUUUUCUUUGCUACAGUCAAAUGGCAUGGAAUAAAAAUCUUGAAUUUUUACACUAUUAACUUGAAAGAUCACAAACACACAUAAUUACUUCAAAUUCCUUUUUUUGAUAACUUUUUUCCCUACAAACGAAAUAUAGAAUAAAGUAUUAAAAUUAUACCAAAAUAGUUAAUAAAUUAUAUCUAAGACUAUGGUAAAAAUAUAGAAUAAUGUUGACUCAUCAGCAAGUAUUGAAAUAAUAGUUUAACACAUUUUUAUUUGGCCUAUCGAUUCACCAAACAUAUACAUACACAUAACUAGAGACAGCAAGAGAGAGAAUAGUGGGAAUCAUUCAUCCCACAGUCCCACGCAUGGAUUCUCCCCAAUUCAACGAAAGUCCUCUUCCUUAUGUACACAAAAUAACAACAAACACGUUUUUGAGUAAUUAUAUAUCUGCCUGCCCCUUUUACUUUUGACUUUAAAGAAAGCGGCCCAUGCGAUGUACGAUUCAUGCCUAACUCUAAAGGCAAAUACAUUAUUCUAACAAACUAUUAAAACUUAAUAGAGGUAAUUUGGAUUUCAGAGAAUUUUAAUGGAUUUUUUUUAAGUGAUAAAUUUGAAAAAAAUUUAAUAGAUUCAUAAUUUUACGUGGAUUUUGACAAAUGUAUAUGGAUUCCUAUUAUAGAUUUUUAUGGAUUUGAAUGGAUUUCUUUCAUGGAUUUCUUAGGAUGCUAGUUGACUCCUACAACAUAAAAUGAAUUUCUUUCGAGUACACAAUAUGAAAAGAACAUAAACUGAAAGGAACAUAAACAUAUAUCUAUUGAUAUAGAAUACAAACCAAUCAAAUAUGUAAAUAGAAUGGGUCAUUGAGAAUAUUGAUCCAAGAGUUUGAAUAAUUGUAAAUGAUAGCUUCUGCUUUAGAACAUCAUAUCCAUUCAAGAAUGAUGAUUUCAAGUUUAAGAACAGGAUAUCCAAUCAUGAAUAAUAAUAUAUGUGAAAGAAUAUCAAAUGACAAUCGAAAUUGAGUAGGGACAUAUUUGGGCUGCAAAAUCCUGGGAUAAAAACAUUUUAACCAUGACAAAAAAAAAAAAAAACAUUUGAACUCAAACAAAAACAUGGUCACUAAUUUGCGGGAAAAAAAGGCUUAAAUCAAAAGUGCAAAUGGGAAAAGCCCAACUUAGAAAAAUCAGAAGUGCAAAUGAGAGAAUCUCAAUUCGGAAAAAGCACGAGUAUGAAGCAAAACAACAUACAACUAUAAUCCAAAUUAAAAAAAAAAAAAAUCAUGGUCCAAUUGUUACUCAUCUUCCCAGAGGAACAAACCAAGAGCAUGAAUUCAGAAAAAUACAUAAACAAUGCGAAAAACGGGGAGUCUACCGGGAAAUGCUCUAAAGUCUAAACUCAUGGUAGGAUUGUCCACUUUCUACUGUUUGGUGUGAAAAGAAAUCUUAGGGGGAGGGUAGGAUUGUCGAUACCAUUUGGGUAUUUAGAUCACCCACUCUCAAAUCCAUUAAAAUCCUUCAUUCACAAAAAUUCUAACAAAUGUUUGACAUUUCCACUACAUCUAGAUUUGUAUGGACUUUUAAAACUUUUGAUUGACUACCCAUGAAUUUGGAUAUAUUUUUUAAAUCCUCCUAAAUCUUAAUUUGACUACACCAUGAUUUUAAAAUCUUUUAAAAUCCACAUUUAAACUCCUAAUUGACUACACGCUGAUUUUAAAGUUUAUUAAAAUACUACUAAAUCCUAGUUUGACUACAUCCGAUUAGUUUCCCAACCAACAUUUAUUCACACCCAACACAUUACACUGUCAGGUGUUUUUCCAUACCACGAGUCCUGACCAUUUGAACUACACUUGCAGCUUUCCUUUUGCUCCUAAAUCAAAAUCCUGAAUCCACAGUUUUUCUUCUUCCUUCUUCAAUUGUCUUUUGGUUGAUUUAGUUCAAUUAAGAUGGAGGGUGACGGAAUCAAGUGCUUGAACAAACUCUGUCGUGCUUUAAUUGGGGUGCUAAUUUUACUACAAUGUGUUGUCAACCCUUCCCAUUCCCUUGGAUUCAAUAAUAUUUCUUCAGGAGGAGUGACGAGGUGCUUUGAGAGGGAAAGAGAAGCACUCCUUGCUUUCAAACAAGGCCUCGUGGAUCACUACAAUCUCCUCUCUUCGUGGGGAAGAGAAGAUCACAAGCAAGAUUGUUGCAAAUGGGUAGACGUCCACUGCAGCAACCGAACCAACCAUGUUACUCAACUUCAUCUUGGACGGGAAAGUCUCGUGCAUGUCGUACAGCGUGUCCCGCCUCCCCCGGUUCUCAGGGAUGAAACCAGAAAUUUAACUAAGAGGGGGCACCUUAAAAAAUUUGAGCUCAUUUUUUUGACAAAUAAAGUUAGUUCUUUUACAAAUGUUGAAAAAAUUAAUUACAAAAUGCCUAAUUUUAUUACUCUAUUGUCUAAUUUUGUUUUUAAUUGUUGACAAUGUAAUGCUCAUUUGUACUAAUUAACCAAAUACAUGUAACUCAAUAAGGUUUAGACAUUAGUGUGUGAAAAAAAUAUACAAGACGGAUGAGCAUUUGAAAACUAAAAAAAGAUUUUCACUAUUUUAAUAUAAUUAAUUGAAUAAUCUGCCAAGCAAAAAAAAUAGGAAUGAUUAAUUGAAUAAUUUGUCCUGAGAGACCACGUGUCGUGAGCCGUUCCUGCUGCGACUCAGCGCUUUGUUCGCAGAGAUGAGCGAUAGGAUCGUCCCCGUGGCGGUCGACUGUAAGCAGAGCAUGUUCUACGGGACCACCGUCCGUGGGGUCAAGUUCUGGGACCCCUACUUCUUCAUGAACCCGAGGCCGACGUACGAGGCCACGUUUCUGGACCGGCAGCCGGACGACAAGUUUCUAAUUCCACAAAAUACAAAAAGACUUAAAAAAUGUAAACAGAAUGAAACAAUCAACGCGGAAUUGUGUUGAUUGUUGCAGGCUUUGUCAUUAUUUUGGAGAGAAGAGUCAACGUCUAAUUACUACACCUACCUACAGAAAAGUAGGUGGUCCACUCACACAUGUUCCAUACUUGACCAUCUGAAUCAAGACAACUCAGUGUGUGGAUCGUAUUGUGAACUAUUACGUAGUCACCCAGCCUUAUAAUACACUCGCAUCUUUCCUUGUGCUCCUAAAUCAAUACUGAUUGUACACUUCUUCUUCUUCAUUCUUCAAUCAUCUUUGCCUUGAUUUUGUUGAAUUAAGAUGGAGAAUGACGGAAUCAGGUGCUUGAAGAAACUCUUUCACACUUCCAUUGUGGUUCUACUUUUUCUACAAUGUUUCAACCCUUCCCUAUCCUCUGGAUUCUAUAAUGUUUCUUUCGGUUUCGGAGCAAUUGGCCACCGGGUGGUGACGAGGUGCAUAGAGAGUGAAGGGGAAGCACUCCUUUCUUUCAAACAAGGUCUGAUUGAUGACUACAAUCUCCUCUCCUCCUGGGGAAGAGAAGAACACAAGCAAGAUUGUUGCAAAUGGCUUGGCAUCCACUGCAGCAACCGAACCAACCAUGUUGCUCAACUUGAUCUUGGAUGGAAUCAUAUGAAUGAAGUUUACUCACUUCAACAGAAAGAACAGCAGGAGUAUCCCGAAUAUUACUUUCAAGGUAAAAUGAUGAGUCCUAAACUAAUUGAGUUGAAGCAUUUGAAAUAUUUGGACUUUUCUUCCGUUAACUUCACUGGGACCCAGCUUCCAGAUUUCAUUGGUUCUCUUUCCAAUUUAAGACACCUCGGUCUCUGGGAUGCUUCUUUUGGUGGUCGAAUUCCAACUCAGAUCGGAAACCUUACCCACUUGCAAUAUCUUGAUCUCAGAUCCAAUCACUUUGCUAAUAUAGAAAACCUGAAUUCAUGGUUGCCUCGUCUUUCUUCUUUAAUAUAUUUGGACCUGAGUUUCAACAAUCUUAGUAAUGUUCCUGACUGGUUGGAAAUAGUUAGUAAGCUCCCUAAACUUACAAACUUGUCUCUGUCUUCUUGCAGUCUUCCAUCUCCUCUAAUUCAUUCCAGUACUCUUUUUAACAUAAAUUCUUCUAAAUCUCUUGCUCAUGUUGAUCUCAGUUACAACCAACUCACAUCUUCUUCCAUAUUUCUUUGGUUGUCCAAAUACAAUGCCAGCCUUGUUCAUCUUGAUCUCAAAUACAAUAACUUUGCUAAUGUAGAAAAUCUGAAUUCAUGGCUGCCUCAUCUUUCUGCUUUAACAUAUUUGGACCUGAGUUACAGCAAUCUCAGUAAUGUUCCUGACUGGAUGGAAGCAGUUAAUAAGCAUCCUAAACUUACAAACUUGUCUCUGUCUAAUUGUGGUCUUCCUUCUCCUCUAAUUCAUUCCAGUACUCUUUUUAACAUAAAUUCUUCUAAAUCUCUUGCUCAUGUUGAUCUCAGUUACAACCAACUCACUUCUUCCAUAUUUCUUUGGUUGUCCAAAUAUAAUUCCAGCCUUGUUCAUCUUGACCUCUCUUACAACCAGUUAACUGGCUUAUUUCCCGAUGUCAUUGGAAACAUGAGCUCUCUUGCAUAUCUAGAUCUCUCUUCUAACCAAUUUGAAGGGGUGAUUUCAGAAAGUCAUUUCUCGGGUCUCUCCAGAUUAAGAUCUUUGUAUCUGUCCUCUACCUCACUAACUUUAAACUUCCAUUCUAAAUGGGUUCCUCCCUUCCAAUUGGAUUAUAUAAUCUUGGGGUCUUGCAAGAUGGGUCCACAUUUUCCAAAUUGGCUUCAAACUCAGAAAAGUUAUUGGAGCCUUGAUAUUUCUAAUGCAGGAAUUUCUGAUAUCCUUCCAAGUUGGUUUUGGGAAAGGCUGUCUCAUGCUCGUGAAAUUGGUUAUGUAGAUCUCUCCAACAACCAAAUCAGAGGAACAAUUCCAAACUCGCAAAUCAAUUUUGUAUGUUUCUCUCGUCAACUAAAUUUGAGUUGGAACCAAUUGGAAGGUCAAGUCCCUCCUUUCCUAUUGAAAGCCUCGUCAUCCCUCUUUCUCUCCCACAAUAAAUUUUCAGGGUUGUUUUCUUUCUUGCUUCCAGUUAACGCAAGUCAUUUAAGAUUGCUUGAUCUCUCGAGCAACCAUUUACAUGGAGAACUUCCCGAUUGCUGGACUCAUUUCAAAAAUCUUUUAAUUCUUGAUUUGAGUGACAACCGUUUUUUUGGGAGACUUCCUACCACAAUGGGCUCUUUAUUAUCAAUUCAAACAUUGAACCUAAACAAUAAUGGAUUUGUGGGAGAAUUGCCUUCAUCUUUGGAGAACUGUACAAGUCUCAUGGUUUUUGAUGUUGGAGAAAAUAAAUUAUCAGGUUUGAUACCUAAAUGGUUAGGGGUUGGACUUCCAAAUUUGACUAUCCUUAUCCUCCGUUCUAAUCACUUCUAUGGAAGCAUUCCAUCACAGUUGUGUAAUAUGGGAAGCAUUCAAAUUUUGGAUUUCUCGAUGAAUAACAUCUCCGGAAGUAUACCCAAAUGUCUCAACAGUUUGACUAAUUUGGCUCUAAGAGGAAGUUCAAGUCUAACUAUCAGUCAUUACUAUAAUGUAUCCUCGAGUGGUCUCGCUUUUCUGUAUGACGACGAGGCAUCCUUGAUAUGGAAAGGCAUAAUGUCCAAAUACAAAAGUACUUUGGGGCUUGUAAAGAGUAUUCAUCUAUCAAGUAACCGAUUAACGGGGGAGAUUCCUAGUGAAAUCACUGAUCUUGUGGGGUUAGUUUUUUUAAACCUGUCAAGAAACAACUUAACAGGUCAAAUAACUCCAAAAAUCGGGAAGUUGCAAUCUUUAGAUUUGCUUGAUUUGUCAAACAACCAAAUACAUGGUACAAUUCCAACAAGUCUUUUCGGAAUAUCUGGCCUUGGUAAGUUGGACUUGUCCAACAACCACCUGUCUGGAAAAAUUCCCAUGGGGUCUCAGCUUCAAACCUAUGAGCCCUCUGUUUUUGCGGGAAAUCCUCUCCUUUGUGGAAUUCCACUUCAGACGUGUUUUCCUGAGGAAACAACGCCGGCAGAGCAACCAGUGGUUAAGAAUCAAGAUGAAGAUAAUGACGGGUUUAUAACAACUGGAUUUUACGUGAGUUUGGGGCUUGGAUUUGUCGUUGGAUUCUGGGGAGUUUGUGGGAGUUUGAUAUUGACAGGUCAUGGAGAUACACAUACUUCAAGCUCUUGAAUGGUUUAAAUGAUUGGCUUUAUGUCAAGGUGGCAUUGCUCAAGCAACGAAGAAUGCUCGAUGAAUAAGCUGUAAGUAUACUGUCGCAUAAUGAAUAAUACUGCAAUUAACAUACAUGUCCUCCUCUCUUUUUAAACUCCCGGCUAACGGCUAACGCCUGUAAUUUACUUGAAUUUUUGUAGCUCGUCCAUCGGCUUCUUUGGUACGACAUGCUAACCCUUUCGGCUUUCGGUUUGAGAAGGAGCCUGAAGAAGAAGAAUGCAAUAACUUUUAAGUUGUGGUGGAAUUUCUCCAAAUUCAUGAGUGGGAAAUGUAUUUGGUUCAUUGUCGAGUUGUAAUUUUACACAAGUAUUUAUGGUUUUAGUUUCAAUUUUUCCCAAUUUGUUAUGAAUUAAUGGAUGAAUAGACUGCGUUCCAAAUUGAAAGCCAGGAUUGAAGAGCUGUGUGCAAGAGACUAAAAAGAGUGGCACUAAACGAAGACCAAAAAGAGUGCCACUAAACAAUGGACAUGAAUUAAAAUUUCAAAACUACAUUGAACUUGUUAAACAAAUUCAAAAAUAAGUGAGACGACCAGUUUGUGUAAUCUCAUACAAGCUUGUGAUAAACGAACAAGUUUGGCUCAUGAAAACAAAGGCAAAAUUAUUUUUUUUUUUAUUUAUUUGUUGCCCUAACAUACCAAACAGUAGCCCCCAAAAUCCGACUCCAGCUAAUUACCCCAACAAAAUAAGAAGAUUAAAUUAUGAAGAAAGGAAAAAAUAAUUAUGCUUGGGUCCAAAUAAAUGAGAAUUGGAACUCUUGGUAGCCUGUUAGCAUCUGGUCAAAAUUGUUCCAGCCUAUGGCUGAUAAGAGUUUUGUUCGAGCCGUUUCCACUCUGGAUGUACUCCUGUAUGCACGAGAGGUAAGAUGAGUAAAAGGGAAUGUAAUGCUGAAUAAGUGCUCUAGUUUAUUGUUUGUGGCUUGUUCUGAUCCUUCAGUAGAACGAUGCAGAAGCAGAUAAAAUAGUGUAUUCGAAUAUUGAUCAAACAUUCAGGAUUGGUACAAUACUAGUGGAAUUAAGCUUGUCUGAGUGAGGGAAUAUCACUAAUCAAAUAGCUAAUGCACAGCUAACUUGACUGAAAAGGGAAGGGAGGAAAUAACGAUAUCCAUAUCAAUUCCCCUCACUUGGUAAAAUAAGAACGUGACAGAAACAGAACAGCCAAUUAUGAAUAACCAGGAAUACGAAAAGAAAUUCUAAUGCAUAAUAUCAAUCAGCCCAUGAAAGAAAAAAAAAAGAGAUUUUGGAAAACCACAUGUAGGAGACAGGGAAACAGAUUAUACUUUCCAACUUUCGCUCCACAACUAUAUGCUUUUACGGAUAUCAUAUAGUAAAGAGGAAUGUUGAAAAACAAUUUCUUUUCGGGUUGCAUAGGUAAGUUUCACAGACCCACCGGGAUUAGCAUUCGCCCUCCACCCUUGGUCUUAAGGAAAAUGGCAUGUCAUUAGGUUCAAAAGCUAGUUGAAAGGAGAAACAUGUAAAGCAUUUGUAACCUUACCAAAAGAAACGAAAAUACCUUAGCACAGAUUUACUUAUGUGACAAGAGAUUAUGUAUCAGGAAAAAAACAAUGGUAGAAGCUUUCGGAAGGAAACAAAAAAGUAAGAAGAAAGAGAUCAUACAAGCAUAUCUUCUGAAAGAACUGUUUCCAUUAAUGGAAAAUGGUACAGGCCUCCUUUCCUGACCCAAAGAUAGGAUCUCUUGCAUCCUUUCAGGCCAGUCUGAAUUUAACCUCCGAGCAAAAUCUUCAACCUCCCUGAAUAACGAUUUAAGAAAAUAUGUAACAUUAGCAAGAACAAGUUUUGUCCCUAUAAAUUGCGUAUUUACAUGCAGAACCAUGGUGGAGGAUGCAACUUGAAAUUCCAGUUACAUCCUUAUCAGAAAAUAAAAUAAUACCGACGAGAGAAAAAGACUUGCAGAACCAGAAGAGUGGGCGGCCGGAACCAUGUUUCACAACAGAUGCUUAAUGGUGAUGACCAGAAUGAGAGCUAUUUUUCUUUAUAAACAUAAACAAAUAUUUAUUUAAUAUGUCCAAACAACUAUUGCACACAGAAAACUAAAAACCAACAUCUCUCAAAGCCACCAUAAAGAGCUAGCAAAGGCAAAACAAUAUCCCCAAUGUUUACUCAUUUUUAUCACAGACCAACUUUUUUAAGCAACCUUUUUCAUCUUCUUAGCUGGGUGAGGAGUGGAUUUGAACAUGGGACAGUUUAAAAAAGAAGUGGAGAAAUACCACUACAUUAAUAGCUAUUUAGUUUUUAAGCAAACUCUGCAACAUUGAAAACAAAUGACACUUUGAAAUUCUUUUGCAGGUAUCAAAUUUCAUCUUCUAAUUGCAUAUCUUCAAUUUCAUAAAAAUAAAAUAAAAAAUAAAACAAAAAUAAAGCAACGAAGUUGCACCAUAAUGAGAUCCACCAUUCUGUUUCCUUAAGCUUUCCAUAACUAAAGUCAUCAUCGACAAAGUUAUUACCACCGAGUUCAAUUCAGUACUUUUUCUUCCACAUGUUGCUCAACGUGAUAUAUAUAUUUUUUUUCAUCCACUAAAAUUAAAAAAGAUAAUAUUAUAUUGCAAACCGUGUAAUAACCCAAAAUAGUUGCAGACAAACCUAUCAAUUUUUUCCUUCAAUGCCGGAUCAAUCUCAUCGUCAAUAUCACCAUCAUCAAACCCAAUCAUAUCAUCCACCCUAUCAUCCUUUAGAUCUUGUAGCUUUAAUGUCAAACUAGAACUAGGCGUAAAUUUGUUGAGUUGAUCACUGGGGCAAGCAAAGUUAAGAUUGCUUGACACCUAAAACAUUUGGGCGAAAAGAAAAAUGAAGAAAAAUUAGCUACCCAACAACUCAAGCGGAAAUGUACAAGUUCAAGACCGAAUUAGUGAUUCAAACCUCAUGGAGCUCAUUGGCCUCAUAUAGACACGUGCUUUUCUGCUGAUCUUUUCUCCUGCGAUUCUUCUUUUUGUUCUUGGAAGUUUUAAUCCCUUUGGAAUCUGUGACACAUAAUUUCCUUACCUCCAAUGAGGCCUUCAAAAGGAAAUAAAGUAAAAAUAGUCGACUAAGACACUACACUUCAAAUCCCAUUUAAGGGAAUCUUAAGUACUUCCAAGUACAGUAUAAUGUGGGCUAAUGCAAUCCUGAAAAACAUUAGGAUCAAGUGUGCAUUGUGCAAUUUGCUCGUUGGAACUACAACCUACUCAAUGAUAAAUCCAAUUUCUCAAUUAACAAUAACUAUGCAGUCAAGGAAUAAGAGAGCAAUUACUCAGGUAUACCUCCAAUUUCUCCAUUAAUGAAUGACAAGAGUUCAUCAACUGAACGAUCAUCGUUUUGCUCUUCUUCGAGCUCGGCAUUCUGAAAAGUAUGGAAGGUUCAAUAAUGACUACUGUUGAUGCACAAAAUCAGCGAAGACUUUGGUACAACAGAAAGUGUCAGGUUUUGUGACCUUCGCUUGGUUGCUUCGGUCACUAGUGAGGAUAAGUACGUAAAUGAAUAGAGACAGAGAAACAAACACAGGAUGUACGUGGUUCACCCAGAUUGGCUACGUCCACGGAGUAGAGGAGUUCUUAUUAGUAGUGAAGGGCUUACACAAGUACAAAGGAUCAAGCUCUCAAUUUAGUGAGUUCUUGUGAAUGAUUUAACACAAAAUGGCAUUAGGCAAUAUUGUGGGGGAAUGACCCCUAUUUAUAGAAAAACUUGUAGCUUUGUCACAUUGACAUGUGUCAUGUUAUGAUUGGUUCUUGAUGUUGACACGUGCUGCGCUCUGAUUGGCUUCUAAUCUUGACACGUGUCGAGUAGUGAUUGGCCUCCUGGUCGGAGGGGAACUCUUCUGGGUCCUUGACAGUAUAGCGUUGGCCGGUGCUCGGUAGUUUCGGGAUUGGUCAAGUAUGGUACAAACAGUGCUCCCCUAAGUUCCCGAGUGAGGGAAACUCCUCGGUUGGGGACUUGCAAGAUCCAAUCCCUUGAGUAAUCACGAAACUUCUAAGUACCGAAGUGUGGUCUGAUCUUCAUCUGCCCUUCUCUGGAAGUACCUUUCCUCCAUCCGGGAAUGGUGUACUUUAGCUGAUGUUGACGCACAAGGUAAUGUAUCAAUUUCACUUGAAGCUUAGUUGUAGUUUCGGGCUUAGUCAAGUGUGAUACAAACCCUAUAGUAGGAGUCCCCCAAGUCGCCGAGCUAGGAGAUCUGCCGAAAGAGGUGACAGACAAGGUAAGCAGUCAAACUUCCAAGUAAGCAACCCAGGAUCAGAGGUUUGACGUCGGCUUCCGGUUGAUUGUUCUCAUUCUCCUUGUCUCUCAUUCAACUGCCAGGAUAAGGAGAAGCAAAUGGAUAAGAGAUGAUAUGAGAUACUUUUGCUUUUGAAGAAGUAACUUUCCACAGGCUUAUUCUUGAACUGUGCUGGAGGGUUUUCUGGUGCCCUUCAGAGUAUAAGGCCGACUCAAAAAUUUGAGGGUCAAAACAAGUCCAUCAAAUCUAGAGUACGUUCGACCUUGAUGAUAUGGGAUACUUUUUGCUGUUGACGGAAUAAUGAAUGUGGUAUGGAAAGGUGUCGUGCUGUAGUGAUCUGUUUCAGCUCACCGUUGAACCUUCUGCUUCAAUCUUUUGCAUGGCAGAAGUGGUGUGCAACCUUUGCAUUUAAAUGGUCCUUCAGAACAUUCCUUCAUAGUGACUCAUCCACGCUUGGCAGCUUCAGUGUAAAGAGCCAAUAUCUGAUCAACUGUCAUGAGGUAUUUGCCGGUGGAAUUCGUGACCUUGACAGCAGUUGAGGAUGAGUACUCGAGAGCAAUGCUAAGUAAGCAACCAGGCAAAGGCUCCAGGCAGUCAGUUCCAAAUUGGAGGUUUGAUUUCAGGUUCCGACUGACUGCUCUCUUUCUCCUUGUCCUGCAGGUGUGGACAAGGACAAAGACAAAGACAGGGAGAAAGCAUGAUAUGGGAUACUCUUGCUUUCGACCCUGAUGAUAUGAGAUACUCUUGUUCUUGGUGUGGCUUAUUUGCUGAGGUAUUAUCGGGGGGAAAAUAAAGCUGAGUAUUUCGAGAGGUUAUGUUGAGGGUGCCUUUUCGAAUGCGAGAAAGGGUUGAGCAUUUUUGCAGGUUUGCCUGUCCGUUGAGGAGGGAGGUCAAUGUAUAUAGGGAUUUCCCAAUAACAAGUAGUAAUGCUAUUCCUUUACCCUUCUUGGUCACAGCAAUGUAGUGGGAGCUGCCAGCUUCACGUGUUUUAAUUUUGUCAGAGCACUUUGAAAAAGUGGUAUGUGGUAUCUGGAAAGCUGAUAUUACGUGUGGAGAUUACAGACAAGCUUUAUCUAAGGAAAUCUGGCUCUCGAAGUUCUGAGAGUUGUGCCUCUUCGGUUUUCGAACAAGCAAUCCCGUCGAGGAUCUGACUCUCGAGAUUCGGAAAGCGGUGCUACUCCGGUUUUUGAGAAAGUAAUUAUGUUGGGAGUCUUUUCUCGAAUGUGAGUAAAGGUUGGUCGUUCUUGCCAACCUGUCUUGCCACAAAACACGGAGGUCGACACACAUAGGGACUUUCCAGUUGUCAAGCAGUGGUGCUGUUCCUUUACCCUUAUGGGUAAUAGUAGGGUAGCUGGCAACUUCGAAAUUCUCGUGCCUAAACUUUGUCAGAGAUCUUUGACAAAGUUAUAUGUGGUACCCGAGGAGUUGAUGGUGCAUAUGGAGAGCGGUGAUUGAACAGUAAGAUUCACGUGCUUUCUACUUCACCAGAAAUCUUCGACAGAUUGCCCGUAAUUUCCGCAAAGCUGAUUGUGCAUGUGACAGGUGCUGACGAGGCUGCAAAAGCAGGUGCUUCUUCGAUUUCUGAGAUCGGCCCUCGUGGUCUCUGAGCAGCCCAGCUUUUGAGAAAGCAUUCGCCUCUUCGAUUUCUGAGAUCGGCCCUCGUGGUCUCUGAGCAGCCCAGCUUUUGAGAAAGCAAACGCCUCUUCGAUUUCUGAAGCUCCGUCGAGUGCAGAUUUUUAUAGAGGCUGGCAUUAAGUUCCACAGCACACUUGAAUCUCUACCAGUAGAAGCUCAUUUCUUGCACUUCUAAGAUCUUGAUUUGUCUGACCUCUUCCUUCUUCAACACAUUUGAAAAUGUCUGGACCCUCCGACCGUCGUUUUGACUUGAACCUUGGAGAAGAGACAGCCACGCCUUCUCCAGACAACAUAUGGCGCCCAUCCUUCAUAUCCCCUACUGGUCCUCUUACCGUUGGGGAUUCUGUGAUGAAGAAUGAUAUGACCGCUGCAGUGGUGGCCAGGAACCUUCUCACUCCCAAAGAUAACAGACUACUUUCCAAACGGUCUGAUGAGUUGGCUGUUAAGGACUCUCUGGCUCUUAGUGUUCAGUGUGCAGGUUCUGUGUCUAAUAUGGCCCAACGCCUAUUUGCUAGAACCCGCCAAGUUGAAUCAUUGGCUGCUGAAGUGAUGAGUCUCAAACAGGAGAUUAGAGGGCUCAAGCAUGAGAAUAAGCAGUUGCACCGGCUCGCCCAUGACUAUGCUACAAACAUGAAGAGGAAGCUUGACCAGAUGAAGGAAUCUGAUGGUAAGGUUUUACUUGAUCAUCAGCGGUUUGUGGGUUUGUUCCAAAGGCAUUUAUUGCCUUCGUCCUCUGGGGCUGUACCUGGUAAUGAAGCUUCAAAUGAUGAACCUCCAAUGCCUCCUCCUUCUGGGGUUUUGUCAAGUACUGAGGCUCCGGAUAACCACCCUCCGGUGCUUUCUCUUUCUGGGGCUCUACCGACUGCUGAGACUUCCCCUAAGCAACCUUUGUGAAGGCUCCCUUUUGUUUGUUUAUUUUGACUCAUGUAUAUGUACAUAUUUGUGGCUUAUCGAAAAUAUUAAUAAAUAAGCUUUGCUUCAUUUCAACAUAUUGUGUUAAAUACACCAAAGCCUUCUUCAUAAAGUUCUUUGAAUUUUUGCUUUUGUUGAAACCUGUAUUGUUGAAGCUUUGUGAGUGAAGCAUGUAGUUUGAGGUAGUGUUCCCUUAAUUUCCCGAGUGAGGAAAACUUCUCGGUUGGAGACUUGAAAAAUCCAAGUCACUGAGUAGUCACGAACUUUUGAGUACCAAGGCGUAGUAGCAUAUGGUGGGAGUCCCCCAAGUCUCUAGUCGAGGGAGUUGACGAAUGAGGUGUCUUGCUAAUAGUCCAUGUCGUAAGUACCAAAACUUCAUUCUUUUGUUUUCUAAGUGGUAGCCCCGGACUUUUUCUUCAUAGAUUUUGUUUAUGAAGGUUGCUAGGCCCGAAUAAGUGGAAUUGCAGAAGGUGUAACCGUUGGUGCAUUAACAUCAUAAUGGAAGCAUCACAACAAUGAUGGAAGCAUCACAAUGAUGAAAGCAUCAUAAUGAUGAAAACACCAUAAUGAUGAAAACAUCAUAAUGAUGUUUCUUUGGUGGAAUUGUUUUUUCAUUUCCCCUAACAACCGGAAUUGUUUUUCAACAUAACACCAUCAUCUGUAGGUCGAAUCACAAAGUUGUCUUCAUGAAAGUUGUUCGUUAAUUCCUUAACUACAACAUAUCCAAAUUGGAGAGCCAUCGGAGCAGUACAACUCCAGAAAUCCAGGUAUGAUGAGUGACUGUUUAUCAUUUGUCUGUCAACCCGUCAGAUUUGUUGUGAGCUUUGAAACUCUAUUUUCUCUUGCUCAGAUCAGCAUGCUUUCUUCAUUGAAGUUGUUCCUCAGCUUGUGAACUACAACAUAUCCAAAUUUGAGAUCCCUCGGAGCUGUAUAACUCAAGAAACUCAGGUAUGAUGAAUGACUGGUUAUUAUUUUUCUGUCAACCCGUCAGAUUUGUUGUGAGCUUCGAAACUCCAUUUUCUCUUGUUCAGAUCGGUAUGCUUUCUUCAUUGAAGUUGUUCCUCAGCUUGUGAACUACAACAUAUCCAAAUUUGAGAUCCCUCGGAGCUGUAUAACUCAAGAAAUCAGGUAUGAUGAAUGACUGGUUAUUAUUUGUCUGUCAACCCGUCAGAUUUGUUGUGAGCUUCGAAACUCCAUUUUCUCUUGUUCAGAUCGGUAUGCUUUCUUCAUUGAAGUUGUUCCUCAUCGACUCUUUCAUAACAUAUCAAAAAUUCAGGAUGAACUAACGGUUAAAUAUUUCCAGAUCUUCGAAACAUCACAACAGCUUCGAAAUCUGCAAGAAGCCGACUAUCAUGUUUGGAGCUUCAACACUUUAAUUUCCGUCGCUCAAACAGAAAUGGUUCCUUCUUGAAAGUUGUUCAUAUGCUCAAGAACUAUAGGGUGUCCAAAAUUCAGCUCCAUUGGAGAAGAGCAGAGGUUGCAGAAAUUUGAUAGAUGAAAGGAGGCGGAAGAGGGAGAGAGAGAAAAAAAGUCUCUUGGGUUGGAUUUCUAUUUUGGGGCAGAUUCCAAUUUUUGUAGCACCUUCAUUAUUGAUGAAUUGCUUGUACUUUUGUCCAUUAUGAAAUUUUGGGACUUUGGCUUGUUGUUGGAUCUAUUAUAAUAUGUUUGGGAACAUAUAUAAGUGAAUAAAUAAGAAGGAAAAUUUUGGGCCCUUGUGGGUGUAAAACAAAAAAUGUUUAUGUUUACCCAAGUGUUUUUUGUACAAGUUCAAGGGCAUCUUGGGUUUUGUGAACAAAAUUUGUUUAUUUGGAGCAAGGUUUUGUGUUGUUGAAGCUUUGUAAGCUUUGUGUGAAGCUUUGGAGGUGAAGCUUUUCGGGUGAAGCUUGUUGGGUGAAGCUUUUUAGGUUUUGAAAGCUUUGUUGGGUGAAGCUUUUUAGGUGAAGCUUUUCGGUGUGUGAAGCUUUUUUGGGUGAAAGCUUUUUAGGUGAAGCUUUUCGGGUGAAGCUUUUUGGGUGAAGCUUUUUAGGUGAAGCUUUUUUGUGGUUGAAGCUUUUUAGGUGAAGCUUUGAUGGUGAAGCUUUUUGGGUGAAGCUUUUUAGGUGAAGCUUUGUGGGUGAAGCUUUGGAGGUGAAGCUUUUCGGGUGAAGCUUUUUGGAUGAAGCUGUUUUUUUUUUUUUUUUUUUUUUUUUUUUUUUUUUUUGGCGCUUGACACGGUCUUCAUUUGCUUGUUUUGUAGUGACUUGCUUUAUUGAGAAGGGUUCCGGCAUUGCCAAAAUGGCCUUUCAUUACAUAGGAUGCCGAACGGCUAUAGCUCAACACUUGUACAUCGUGAGUCUAUUUGUAGUAGUACUUCAAGUGAUCAGCGUUCCAUGGAUGGCCAAGGGUCUUGCCAUCGGAGCUUCUAAGUGUGUAAGAGCCAGGGCGACUGAUGCCAAUGACUUCAUACGGUCCAUCCCAGUUUGGACUAAGUGUGCCUUCACUCGGGACUCUGUCGCAGAGUAAUCUUUUCUUUAAGACCCAGUCUCCUAUUUUGAAAGAACGAGGCUUGACCCUAGAGUCAUAAUAGUUGGAGAUGCGCUGCUUGUAGGCGACAUUCCUCAAGUGAGCUUGGUUUCUGUGUUCCUCGACUAAAUCCAAGUUGAGGGUGAGUUGUUUGUCAUUUUCACUUUGAAUGUAGUUCUGGACUCGGAAUGUUGCUUGCUCGAGCUCAACAGGGACAACCGCCUCUGUGCCAAAGGCAAGUGAGAAUGGAGUUUCUCCUGUUGAAGUCCGAUAUGAAGUGCGAUAUGACCAAAGAACUUGGGGUACAAAUUCUGGCCAACAGCCUUUAGCUUUGUCCAAGCUGGUUUUCAAAGUGCGCUUGAUUAUUUUGUUGAUGGCCUCAACUUGUCCAUUAGACUGGGGAUGAGCUGGAGAGGCAAAGCAUAAGUUGAUGUUGAACUUAGAGCAGAACAACCUGAACUUCUUGUUGUCAAACUGUCGCCCAUUGUCAGUGACUAUCGCAUUGGGAAUGCCGAAUCUACAAAGGAUGUUCUUCCACACGAAGUCUUCUAUCUUUGCCUCAGUAAUGGUUGCCAAGGGUUCUACUUCGGCCCACUUUGUGAAGUAGUCCACUGCAACGACUGCGUAACAGACUUUGCCCUUCCCUGCCGGCAUUGGGCCGAUCAAAUCAAGUCCCCACUGGGCGAAGGGCCAAGGGCUGAUCAUAGGAGUAAGAGGCUCUGGAGGGGAAUGAGGAAUAGCCGCAUAUCGUUGACAUUUGUCACAUGAGCGGGAUACUUUGAUGGCAUCCUGGUGGAGUGUUGGCCAGUAAUAUCCUUGGCGAAAAGUCUUGUGUGCUAGGGACCGAGAUCCAGCAUGAUCUCCACAGACUCCCUCAUGUAUUUCCCGAAGGACGAUUUCCGCCUCGGCAGGCGUAAGACACCUUAAGUAUGGCAGGCUAAAACCUCGCUUAUAGAGUUGAUCAUUGAUGAUCAGGUAGCGGGUAGACUUGUAUCGAAUUUGCUUAGCCUGGACUUUAUCAUUUGGGAGGGUGCCAUGAGCAAGGAAAUUAUAGAUCGGGGUGAUCCAACUAUCCCCCUGUUGUAAGUUGCAUACUUCUGCGGCCAUGGUGCUUGGUGUUGCCAACAGUUCGACAUGAAUUUUUCUUCCAAUCUUGUCUUCCACAGCUGAGGCGAGGCGAGCCAGGGCGUCUGCAUGACUGUUUGCCGCUCGAGGAACUUGGGUGAUCUGGUAGUGGAAGUGCUUGAGCAAAAGUUGUGUUUGCGCAAGAUAUGCUGCCAUGGAGCUGUCCUUAGCAUCAAAGUUGUUGGUAACCUGGUUGACCACUAAUUGGGAGUCACUGAAAAUAUCAAUUUGUUUAACCCCGAGGUGUUUGGCCAAACGUAAUCCUGCUAGAAGGGCUUCAUACUCGGCCUCAUUGUUUGAUGCCUUGAAUUUGAAACGAAGAGCAUACUCCAUUGCUACUUUGUCGGGCGUAGUCAAGACUAGUCCCGCUCCACAGCCCUGUUGGUUGGAUGAGCCAUCAACAUACAGACUCCAUGCUGAGGUCGUUGAUUCUACCUUCUGAGCUUCCGAUGGUAAUGAAGCUACUGCUUCAGGUGUAGAAGCAAUGUCAACAGGAUAUGUGAAGUCGGCGAAUGAAAUCUGCUACUGCUUGGCCCUUCUCAGCUGGCUUUGGUUGGUAGGAGAUGUCAAACUCACCCAACGCUAUUGCCCAUUUGAUCAUUCGCCCUGAAGUGUCAGGACUUUGGAGUAUCUGUCGAAGAGGAUAAUUGGUAAGCACGAUGAUGGAGUGCGCUUGGAAGUAAGGGCGGAGUUUUCGAGCAGACAUGACCAAUGCCAGAGCCAAUUUCUCAAUGUUAGAGUACCGUGUCUCCGCAUCUUGUAAGGCUUUGCUAGCGUAGUAGACAGGUCGCUCAAUAUUCCCAUCCUUUCGAAUGAGAACGGAACUUACGGCUGAAGCUGAUACCGAUAGGUAGAUAAUGAGAAUGUCUCCUACCUCGGGCUUGGAGAGUAGAGGGGCUUUACUCAUGUACUCCUUGAGGUUUUUGAAUGCCUCGGCACAUUCAUCAGUCCAUGUAAUGUACUUCCUACUUCCCUUAAGUGCUUUAAAAAAAGGGAGCACAUUUGUCUGUGGCCUUAGAAAUGAACCUGGUUAAGGCUGCCACCUUGCCAGUAAGGCUCUGGAUGUCCUUUGAAGUUACCGGUUCCUUCAUGUCGAGGAUUGCUUUGAUCUUCUCGGGAUUAGCUUCAAUGCCUCGUUGGCUAAUCAUGAAACCUAAGAAUUUGCCAGAGCCUACGCCGAAGGCACAUUUGUUGGGGUUUAACCUCAUUCGAUACCUCUUCAAAAUAGUGAAAGUUUCAGAUAGGUUGGUGAUGUGUUGGUCAGCAUGUUUGCUCUUGACUAACAUAUCAUCAACGUAAACUUCCAUGCUCUUCCCAAUCUGCUCGGCGAACAUUGAGUUGACUAGUCUCUGAUAAGUCGCUCCUGCAUUCUUUAGGCCGAAAGGCAUGACUUUAUAGCAGUAUAGUCCUCUGUCGGUAGUGAAGGCUGUGUGUUCUUGAUCCGAAGGGUUCAUGAGGAUUUGGUUGUAUCCUGAGUAAGCAUCCAUGAAGCUCAGGAGUUCACACCCGGCCGUAGAGUCUAUAAGUCUGUCAAUAAGAGGAAGAGGGAAGCUAUCUUUCGGACACCCUUUGUUUAGGUCGGUGUAGUCAACACACAUUCUCCCACAAGACCUUUUGAAGCAAAAGACUUUCUUUGGUCGGAUUUUUCUUAACAAGGACCACAUUUGCUACCCAUGUCGGGUAAUUGACUUCGCGGACAAAGCCUAUGCCUUUGAGUUUUUCAACUUCUGCUUUCAUUGCCUCGUAUCGUUCAGCGUCAUAAGAUCUUCGCUUCUGUCUCACCGGCUUGAUCUUGGGGUCAAUACUCAAACGAUGACAGAUGACAUCGGGAGAGAUGCCUGGCAUGUCCUCGUAUGACCAGGCGAAGACUUCAGUGUUCUCUUUCAAAAAAGAUAUCAAUGCUAACCGAAGGGGUGGUGACAAUGUGGUGCCAAUCUUCACCAUGCGAUCUGGAUAAUCUCUUGAGAUAGGUACCUUCUCCAACUCUUCAGCAGGUUGGGCUUGCUGGGUGAAAGAGAGUCAUCUCGAGGAUCAUCGGGUUGAUUGUUGCUAUCAGGAAGAUCCAAGUUCGCUUCAUCUAGGCUGGUCUUUGUGACUUGGUCAUGUACAGACAGGGUUUCCUUGGGUCCGGGCAAGUGUUGUUGCUUAACUGAAGUGUUGUAACAUGAUCGUGCACUAAGCUGAUCUCCUCUGAUGUAGCCGUUGCCAUGGGGGGUUGGAAAUUUCAUCAACAGCAUAUGCGUGGAUACCAUAGCCUUGAGAUCAUUGAUGCCUGUGCGCCCAAAGAUGACAUUGUAUGCCGUUGGGCAGUCAACCACUAGGAAGUUAGUGGUAAUGGUAGCCGUGUAAGGGCCUGUACCAAUAGUAAAGGGUAAAUGUAUGCUCCCUAAGGGUUGCACGAUAUCACCGGAGAAGCUUAUCAGAGGAGAAAUCGAGCGAUCGAGCAAGUGUUCAGCUACACUGAGUGCCCUGAAAGCUUCGGCAAACAUGAUAUUGACCGAAGCCCCUGUGUCUACGAGGAUUCGUCGAACAUCAAAGUUGGCUAUGUGAGCCUCCACGAUCAAUGGGUCGUUAUGAGGGUAGAUGAUGCCUCUUUCUUCCUCAGGGUAGAAACAUAUCGGAUCCCAGUUAGGCUUUUGAUACUUCCCUCCCCUGAUGUCUUCCACGUGAAACACUUGGUGACCAGGCCUCAGAAUUCGUUCACUGUUUUUUCAUGGCCCUAUUGGAAGAUUCAGAUAUGGGUGUGCCGCCGCUUAUGGAAUAUAUGACAUUCACCUGGCGUUGGUUACGGUUAUCCCUUUGAGGGUGAAGGAAGGAAUUGAUCAAUUUUUCCUUCUCGUGCCAAAGCUUCAAUACGAUCACGGAGGAUGAUACAUUUCUCGCUAUCAUGGCCGUUAUGCUCAUGGUAGCAACAAAACAUGCCCGCGUUAUUCGGGGGCGUGUAAUCUGGGUGCCUCGGCUUUGGCUUUGGUAUCAGGUGAGCUAUGCUGGGGUAAAUGGCCGCGCAUGUGGCAUUCAAGGGCGUGUAUGUCUCAUACCUUGGGGUAGGGGGUAUCUUGACGCGGGUUUGACCCACUGCAUUGACUGCCUGGGGGCGAGCGUUAUUGUGGCGAUACCCUUGGUUAUCGGGAUAGUGUCCCUUACUCUUUUUACUGAAAUGGAGAGUGGUGAGGAUGGAAAUCCUUCCUCUUGCCUUGAAAUUGAUAUGUCUGUUGAUUCGGCGAAGCAUUAUGCAAGGCAUGGGGAGGUGCCACUGCUGUUUGGAAAGUCGAGGUCUUCUCAUUUAGGUGAGUCUGGCUUCCACCUCCCACUUGUUGAUAAAGGAUGGUUGUAGGGGGUUUCUCCUGAUAUGUCUUUGCCUCGGCGGAGGCAUGGUUAUAAGCCUGCGCCAUCACCUCAGAGUAAGUCUUCCAAGUAUUGGCAUUGAUCAUGUAUUUAAAGAAACAAUCACGUAGGCCUGCCGUGAAGGCUUUGAGGGCAGUCUUGUCGUCUGCCUCGGCACACCGGGAGUAUUCAUGGCUGAAGCGGCCAGCAUACAUACGUAAUGACUCGUCUGGCUUCUGGCGGAUAGUGUACAGGUCAUCUGCAGAGUGCAAGCGAUCGGUUUGGAAAAUGUGUUGGGAAACAAAUAGUUUCCUCAAUUCCUCAAAUGAGUCUACCGUCUCAGGUGUAAGACGACAAUACCAAUUUAGAGCUCCGCCAGAGAGGGUGGAGGGGAAGAGAAGACAUCGCUCUUCGUCGGUGUGCAUCCGGUAUGCCAUGGUGGACUCAAAGAGGUUAAGGUGCUCAAUCGGGUCCUCUUUUCCAGUAUAAAGUUGCAAGCCAAGCUUUUGCUUUGUCUUUGCUUGAAGGGGGGUGUUGAGGAUCCUCCUUGUAAGAGGGCCAGGCCUGGGUUGGUUCCAGUCAGGUAUUUCAGCCUGACGUUCAGCCUUCAACUUGUUUACUUCCUCAAGAAGUUGUAGGACAAGGGGGUCCUGAGCGGAGUUAUGUGCCACUGGAGCUUUCUUUCGUAAAUCUCCAUCUCCUCUUGGAAUUAGGAAGGUUUGAUCAAGGGCAUGUGAUUUUUUCCCUGGACUCGUUGUACUGGCUUCCAGGGUAUGUCUGUCGGAACACCUCUGAGUCCCCUGUACCCUCAUGUCUCUCUAGGACUUGUUGCCCCUUCCCCAAAUUGGUGGCCGGCUCGGGCCGUGGCAGGGGACCGAGUCUCUCAGAAAUCCUUGGGUCAUUGAUCUUUGAGCUUAUAUGGAUGGAAUUCUCUCGACGUUGCUUCAGGAAAUCCCGACAAUCGCGAAAGACGGCUUUCGAUCCUUCUGCCCCUUCAGCAAAGAGGUGUCUCCCUCCACUUCUCAUGGUUCGGGUCGAAGCAACUGGGUUAAGAGAAGCCUCAUGUUGAUUAUCAAGUCGAGGGGUAAUCUGUUCCCUAUCAGGGAUAUCUAUGUCGAAUGCAUGUGACCCUCCAUGUUGGAGGGCACCCAGUUGAUGGUUGACUUCCACGGGGGCAACAAGCUCGCGUGUCUGAGCUUGCCUAGCUUCGUGGAGUGUCUCGAAGAGCUUCUCAUAUUGCUCCUGGAGGACCUCAUUCCUCAUUGCUAUCUUGUUGUUCUGAGCUUCCAACUCAUCGACUUUAGCUUGAAGAAGAACUCGUUUUCCUUCCUUCUUUCGUUGUUUCGCACUAUGUGCAAGGGGGGUGUCAUUCUGUGUGCUGUGGCUUCCUUCGCUUCCCAUGUUGGAGAGGGAUGCCUGAUCAAAAGAAAGUGUACGAAUGAUAGAAACCAGCUUGACACAGCUGAAGAGAGUAGGAAUAAGUGUCGUUUCCCACAGACGGCGCCAAAUGUUGAUGCACAAAAUCAGCGAAGACUUUGGUACAACAGAAAGUGUCAGGUUUUGUGACCUUCGCUUGGUUGCUUCGGUCACUAGUGAGGAUAAGUACGUAAAUGAAUAGAGACAGAGAAGCAAACACAGGAUGUACGUGGUUCACCCAGAUUGGCUACGUCCACGGAGUAGAGGAGUUCUUAUUAGUAGUGAAGGGCUUACACAAGUACAAAGGAUCAAGCUCUCAAUUUAGUGAGUUCUUGUGAAUGAUUUAACACAAAAUGGCAUUAGGCAAUAUUGUGGGGGAAUGACCCCUAUUUAUAGAAAAACUUGUAGCUUUGUCACAUUGACAUGUGUCAUGUUAUGAUUGGUUCUUGAUGUCGACACGUGCUGCGCUCUGAUUGGCUUCUAAUCUUGACACGUGUCGAGUAGUGAUUGGCCUCCUGGUCGGAGGGGAACUCUUCUGGGUCCUUGACAGUAUAGCGUUGGCCGGUGCUCGGUAGUUUCGGGAUUGGUCAAGUAUGGUACAAACUACAAAAAAGAUUUUUAGCUGAAAGAGAAACUUUUGAUCGUUUGAAUUCAGAUUCAAUCAACUACUCAUUUCUCUUCUAGUUCCCCUUUCUGCUUAUAUUAAAGCGAAGCGGAUGUCGUUGAUGUCAAACCAUUUCCUGGAUAUUUUUGUGGUGUUAAAAACAACAAAGAAACACCAAGUUUUUGCUAAGCAUACACAGAUAUCUCAAGCAUCGGAGACCUCUGUAAGAUCAUCAGGGAGAUGAAAUAUUUCACGUAUCUCCUCAGGUGUUUUCCCUUCAAUUAUUCGUGCAAGAGCAUGACUAGUAAGAUCCACCAAUGGUUUUAAUUGGAGGCUGUCAGCAGCUGAAGUCAACUCACAGAGCAACUUGGUGUCCAUUCGGAUGUAUUUUUCAUCAAAAGCCUUGCAUUCCUACAUAAACGAGUGGUGCCGAGUCAUAUAAGCGUGCCGAGUUUACACCAGCAUCAGAGUAAACAUUUAAUCCAGUGUGCAGGUGGAGAUUAAUGUCCUCAAUAGCUCAAAUUUAUGCAAAACAGACAGAGGGCAUAGACUCAGAAAGAAGGAAAACAGAAUGACAUUCCAAAAACAUGUAGAACCUUGUUCGAGCGACCUGGUACUUGAUGAAACCGGCAGUAAUCAAGAAUUAAGCUCAACAUUGCAGUACUGACUCUUUCAGGAAGAGAUAUUGCAUGGUUCUUGGAAGCUCCCAUCCCUUUCUGUAUAUUUUCUUUGCAUAUCAUAGGGCAAUACAUGGCAACCUCUUGUUCCACUUGUUGGAUUGAACCGUCGGUAGUCUGAAGCCAGAUAUAAGACUUCAUCAUCUGAGAAUGAGUUGGCACCGAUGUGGCUUUAGAAUUCCAACAUUACAAAGUAAACGAAAAAUAUAAAACAGUUAAACAACCCACCCACCUUCACCCCCUCCAAAUAAACAAAAACAAAAAGAGAGAGCAAAUUAACACUCAACAAGUAGAGGCAGCUACAAGCAUUCAAAAGAAACGAAAAACAGAAAACAAUUGAUUCGACUAUGGCUUGAACAACAAAGAAAAGAAAACAUAAUGCAUUUAUCUAUUAAACACUAGACAAAGACGACAUAACAUAGUGGAAAAAAAGGAAGAAGGGGCAUAAAAAGAAUCACGAAGAAUGCGUACGGAAAAGUGAUAAUACCUCAGGUUUAAUAACAGUCAUGUCACCUUCUGACAUUUGAACAAUCCCAAGUUCUGAGGCUUAAAAACUGGAGUGCAUCAGGCAAAAGAAAACAGCUUUAUGCUUCUCAUGCAACAACUUGCUGAUACUCUGUUAAGUCAAACAAAAUUAUAAUUAGCAGCCCUUCUAUGCAAAUCCUUACCCAAAAUUAAAGUUUACACAAAUUUAACAUAAACCCAAGUUAGCCAGGGCAGUAAACCACCCUUUGCAAUCCCCACUCCGUCGUCUAGAUUAAAUUAGAAUAUCGCUCUCAAAACAUAAACCCAGCUCUUACUUGCCAUGAACAAUACAAGUUCCAAUUUUUCUUAACAAAUCUAUACUUACAUUUAUAUUUCUACUAAACUUAAUUCCAUUUAUUCCCAAGUCCAUGAAAAAGCAUUCUGGUGAUUAUACUGCUCUAAAUCAAGGGAGAAAAAUUGCAAUUCAUUGGUAUUUUAGUUGAAUUUCUCGAUUAAACUAACUGUUAUUACCAAUAAAUGAUUGUUUUUCCUAAAGAUUUUAGUUCACCGAGCUCCGGAUUAAAGGGUACUUAGGAAUUUCAUUUUUCUAUUCAAUCAUUUCCAUUUUUCCUGCACUUUCUGGGCACCAAACAGGCAUACAGAAGAGAAACAAAACAUGGUAAAGAAAAGAAAAAGGACAGACAAUUAAUUAACACGAAGGAGACAUACGAAAUGUACGGAUUCCAGGUAGGGGGAGCUUUGAAUUGCAGAGAUUUGGCGGUUGUCGGCGAAUCCCAAAAAUGGAUAAAAUUGCGAAUAAAUUUUAGAAAAAAAAAAAAAAAGAGAAAAAAAGCAACUCUUGUGUGACUGAAAUUGCGUCAAAAAUCAAAAGGUCUGCAAAUCACACGUCAGCGUUUCGUUAGGGUUUCCUGACCUCUUGUAUUUAUUUUGAUUUGAUUGAUUAGUGUUGUUUGUUUGUACACUUCCUGGUGCGGGCCCACCUUAAUAAACGGAUCAUAUUGAUCAUCAAUGUGAGCUGGUAAUUAGCAGCCCUUGAUUGAAAAUGGUUCUUAUCAAUGAGGCCCGUACGCCCCUUACAUAGUUGGACACCGAGAGCAACCCUCCCCAGACAAUAUAUUAUGCUAUUCACCCAUUUAACAGUAAUUGUUCUUACUGAACAGUAAUCAUCUUUACCGUUACACUUCAAUAACCCUGGUAAUAGGUAAUAAAAUAAUAAUAAUUUUUUUAUUUAUAAAAUAAUACUAAGAUAAUUAAAAAAGACAAAGCAAAAGCAGCAUCUGACUUUCUCUCUCUCUCUAUGUUGAAAUGAAGACCACAAACACAAAGCUUAUCCUCCUCCACCCCCAAGCAAUCCACAAACGGCGGAAGCCACCGCCUGUGGCUCCUCUUCUUCUUCACCUUCUUCACCCUCACUCUCAUCAGCACCACCAUCCCCCAAACCCUCCCCACCUCCGUACUCCCCCUCCCGCUCGCAGUCCUAGAUGCACUUCUUCACUACGCCAUUUCAUCAUCAAACACCUCGUCAGCACCCCACAUGCCCCCGUCGGAACUCACCUCCAUAUCCUCCGCCCUCACCCGCCUCUGCGCACCCAACUGCAAUUUCCUCGUUUUCGGCCUCACCGAUCCAGAACCUGACAGAAAAAAAGAUUAAAAAAGGCGUCUGACAUCAACUGACGUUAGAACCACCUUAGGCGCCUGGGCCGGCACGAAUCCACGGGCCUGGCGCUCGGCCCUGCUAGGGCUCCCUCGCCAGCCAACGCUAAAAUUCCUCUCUUUGGCAAUCAGGCCCUGUGCUGAAGCCUGUCCAUAGAGCAAAAGCUCCCGCUGGAGCUGCUCUGAAUAUUGAGUUAAACUUGUCGCAGUGAAUAUUGAAUUAAAUCUUUUAAUCGUAUCAAUUCAUCGCAGUGUUCGAAAAAACGGCCUAGGCGGAUUGGAACCUUGUGCAAAACGGCUAGGCGGGCUAGGCGGCUGGGCGGUUUUUUUUUUUUUUUUUUUUUUUUUGAAAUUAAAAAAAAAAACUUAGAUUAAGCCUAAUUCUAACAUUUGACUCAUUUAGCAUUCAAACAUUUGACUCGUUGUUAAUUUUAUCCUAUGAAAACUUGUUCUGAAGUAUACCAUAUUAUUAUGAUUCGCAGAUGUGAACUUGUUUUUGAGAACUGCUUUGUUCUAGAAGAAAAUGUUCUCGGGCAGGAAGGAAAAAGUGUAGUGAUGCUUUUAUUACAACUUUGUUAUUGGAAGGAAAGAUCAUUUGGAUUGGUUGCAUGUUAAAAUUCGCAGCAAGAAUUGAUAUGUUAGUUAACUUAUAACCUGAUUUCUCAUCUGUCAUAUGGCUUCUGAGCUGCUGUUUAGUAUUAGGGCGAUCAAAAUUUACCAUUAGCGAAGACUUUCACCAUGGGACUUAUUCAUGUAUUGCUGGAACUGCUCAACCAGACUUGUUCUAGUAAUAUAUGAUGCCAACAGUUUUGUUGCGCCACUGGCCUCCCAGAUUAUCACCUAAAGAAAAUAGACGACUUUAUGAAUUACUUCAUUUAUUGAAAGAAAUAUUUCUUUUGUACAUUUUCUACCUAUUUUGUAAGAGUCACUAUGCACUUAUUCAUAGGAUAUACAAAAAAAUUACCUAAAUCCACCUAGGCCGCCUAGGCUCCCGCCUAGGCGCUAGCCCGCCGCCCGACUAGCGCCUAAUUUUUUUUAGAACCUUGAUUCAUCGUACAUUAUGCACUUAAAAAUUAUUUUAAAUAUUUUAUUUAAAAUUAAACACAAAUAGUACCAGAUAAAAAUUGACAGUAUGAUUUAUGAUGAACGAACAAGAUUAAAGAAUUUCCUGAAUCCUCACAAAGAGGAUUAGAAGAAAAUCCUCAUUCGUAUGAGCCACCUAGUCUGGACUCUGAACAGAAAAAAUUUUCCUUCAUAGGACAUAUUCUCUUAUAAGUCACAUCACUAAUACAUCACGUAGUCAGUUGAUAAGUGUUUAAUCAGUCAUUACUUUUAUUAUCCUUUUCUUCACUAUUUUGUUGUUUCUUUUAUAUUUGAGUCGCUUUUUACAAUUUGUAAGUCAAUUGGAGUAAAGAGAGAAAAAGGAAGAAUUUUCAAGAGAUUUGAAGCAAGAUUUGUCAAAGUGCUAGAAUGUUGCUGGUGGAAUGUCACGAAGAUUAAUUUGCCGAGACUAGAUCAGGAAGAAUUUGAUGGCGUGCCAUAUGGAUGGAAUCUGGAUCUAGUUUUUGGAGGCUUUUACCUUUUGUGAUCCCGAUGUAUGAAACAAAAAUGAUUGUUGUUUUAGUAACUGCUGCUCAGUGUGAAGUUUCUUCGCGAACAUUGGAGAAUUAAAUAAACUAAUUCAAAUUGUUAAAUUGGGUUUAAGAGUUAAUGCUGCUGAAGUUAAAGAUUGGAAAAUGCUCUUUGAUGAACAGAUAGGAAUAACAAUGCUGAUGCGGAAUUGAAGUAAUCCUAAUCAUCGAACUCGUUGGGCCUCAACUAACUACCUUUUGGUGUGGGCUUUGGUCAUGGAUGAGUUCAUGCUCAUGUACUCUAAUUUAAAUUUGGCCCAUUGGCUUUCUAUAUGCAUAUUAGGGUUUUUAUUUUAUUUUUUUAUUACAAACGAUAUUACUCAUAAAAAAAAAAGUGUUUAUCCACCAGAGAGAAUCAACCACCUGUUGUAUAGAGUUUUUAAUUAGCUAAAGGGUGCAUACUUUACUUGCACACUGCAAUAUUUUACUUUAUUUGCUAAGACUUUAACGAUUGUUUGUUUCUAAGACUUGUGCUCAAUAUAUUGAGUACCAUGCGAAUUGGUAUCUGAAUUAUUACGCGAGUAGAAAUUAAGUCCUUAACACUCAUUUCUACUAUAAGAUUCAAAAUUAUUCUAUUUAUAUUAUUGAGGGGACUUUUAGGUUGAGUUGGACUUGAGUCUUGAUGGAAACCCUUGUACUUUCCUUGGUUCGUUCCAACACGAAGUCCCAAAAUACCAAAGAAUUAGCGCGUCUUAGGAAAUACUCUGCUUGUAAUAGUGGCACAAAAAUUGAAUGAUUAAGGCAAAUUAUGGCUUGCCUAAGAGAGACGUGGUGUGGAAGCUAAAAGCUUAUCAGUUUAGCAUGAGAUCAAACUUGUGCAUGGUUGCAUGGUUUUGAAAGAUGAAUCAUCUGGAUUUCCUAAGGGUCUAAGGGUGUUUAUACUGGCUAAGGAAGCUCAAAUGAAACCUCAAAUAACCCCUAAAACUCCAGGAAAGUGAUUUCCUAAGGAUUCAAGGCUUUCUGCACUUAGAGAAGAAUUUCCAUGCCUCGUGCAAUUUAGUCUUGAAUCCUCUCUACCUUGUCUCUCCUUUGCAUUGAGUUCAUCCUUCCCUUUUGUAGAUGCAGGGUCUCUUUCUAUCUUUCCUUAGGGAAUUCCUUGACUUCCUUGUUUCCUCUCGUUUUGGCUUAGUCUUCCUUUUUCUUUCCUUUGGCACAUCUAUGACCUUCCUUUUUGGUGCAACAUUGAGAACGUCAUUGCUCCCCUGAAGAUUGAGUCGCGCACUCUGCCCAUAGAGCCAUCUUCCCUGGUCAAUUAUCCACGGACGUUACUUUUAACAACGCUCUUCCUUGUUUUCCUUCCUCAUUUUUCUGUGUGAGCUAGGAAGAGAAAGAUCCAUUCUCUCCUCAUUAAGGAAUGCUUUGCACUAGGUUUUCACAUGAUCCUGAAGCUUUGGGUUCUUGUUUCUUCCUAAGUGGGUUGGUUUGCUUGUUAAGGGAAAGGGAAACUUGGUUUGUUCUCUCCUAGACCUACCUAUGUGGAACUCAAGAAUCAUGAGCUUGGACUUUUGGUGCUCCAAGAAGCUCAAAGUCUUCCACAAUUUUGGUUUCAUAUAGGUUCGAUAAUCUUUUGUAACCAUCCACACCACAAUCCACUUGUCAAGCCCCAAUAUGUGGCUUGGGCUCAUUUUAUCGUGUAGCAUGGUUAGCUUGACUUGUCUACAAUGACCACAUCAUACUUAUGCAUGGAUUUUCAUGGGCUUGUUGUGAUCAUGCAAACGUCCCGCUCACAGAUUAUUAUUUUAUUGGCGUGAUGUGAUUGUAAAUACGCUUCCUUCUUGAUUUCGCACCUUUGCAUGUGUUUAAGCUUGGAUUGGGGCAUUUUUAUGACAAUCGGGCUUUGAGAUGUGAUUGAGCUUGUAUGUGAGAUUUUUGGGCCCUAACACAUAUUUUGUCACUUUAAGUCACAUGACUUACAUGUGAGACACUUCAUGUGUUGGUCGGCUGAGCACCUGAGCUUUGUUAGGCUAAUGUAUCAAGAAAACAUGCACCACAUAGAGCAAUUGAUGGAACAGAUUCAUUGUAAUCGUGACAUUUUAGACAAAAUAUUAUUGUUAUUGUAGCGUCCUGUAUUAAUAAUAUAAGGUCAUGUAUAUAUAAACUUCAAUAUAUCAUUAUCUUAUUAAAUAGAGACAUAACGGUGAUAAUAAACCUGUUUCAUAUAAAUCUUCCGCAACAUGACAUCCGAUGGCUGCCACGUGGACUGUAGGGUUCAUGUACGGUCGAUGAAAAGUGCGUGGUGGUUGAACUUGAAAACGUGAAGUGUCAGCAUGAUUGAGAUGGUGCCCACGGAGGCAUGUGAGUAGGUCACAGGGAGGAUCACAGCAAUGGUAUGAGUUGGAUUGAAUGAAUGACCGGCCAAUCCUUUGAGACAAAGGAUUUUUAGAGGAGUUUCAAACAAAAGCGUUCGUGGUCUCUCCCUCGGUCCUACUCAUUUGUGUGUUUUUAGCAAUGAUUCAUUCCUACUAUCUUUUUUUUCUUUUUUUUAUAUAAAUAGGGCAUGGAUAAUGUUGAUAUAUAUAUAAAGAUAGAUAAUAAUUCUAUUAAUCAAUGGUUUAAUCAAUUAUAUUCGUAUUAGUAAUAUAUUGGGAUACCAAAGUGUUUGGCCUUAGCUCAAAUGGAGAGAGAAUGUAUGACACUAAAUUAGAAUUACGGUAUGUGUUAAAAAUUAGAUUAUGGUAUGAUCAAGUUUCUUUUUCCUUCAAUAUACACAAUUUGAAUAAGUCCACGCACCUCAUGUAUUAAGUUUUUUUAUAUUCAGCAACUAUUGUUAAAAAAUAAUUGCAUAAAUCCAAACAUUUAUUUAUCCAGCCUUGAGGUAGAUCGACUGCUACUCCUCUGAUAGGAAAUAAUGAUACAUCAUUCUCAUACCGAUGACAAUUUCGAAUAGAUAAAUACUAAUUCUCCUUCUCUCAAUAUAUAGAAAAAAGGAAGUUUGUGUACCAAUAUCCGCCAUAAAGGGAUCAAGUCAUAACAUAGGAGAAGCUAUUAUCUUCAAUAUAAAGAAAAAGUCAAAUAAGUCCAUGCAUGGUGCAUGAUUUAAUAAAAAUUGUAAAAAUUAGGACCGGCACAAGAUUUAGAAUCAUUGCAAGAGAACUUGUAUAUGCUUAAAAAUAAUUAAGCUACUUCUUAUAUUGCCAAUUGAUUUUAUAAUAUAAUCCCAACGUUCUUCACUUCGUCUUUGAGUAAUUCAAACUUCAUUAGUACAUAAUUUAUUUGUUUUAUAGUGUAGCGACUUUUGCACAAUGCAUGCGCCUUUUAUUUUUCUAGCAUUAAGGCACAUACCAUCAUUAUCACAUACUUGUUGAACUUUUGUUGUCAUUUUAUUUUUAUUUAGUGGAGAAUUUUCACACAAUGACCAAAGUAAUUGAUGGUGGACAAACUCAGAAGCUAAUUUUAUCAAUUUUAAAUCUUAGAAAUCAAAAUGAAGAGUUAUUUAAAUCUCAAAAAUUAUUUUGAUUAAAAAACUAUCAAAAUAUAAAAAUGUAGCCGUUGCGUUCCAUUCUAUUGCAAAAUGCUCUACUUUUCUUUACUAGAAGUAGAAGACCCUCACCUGUCGUUUGAUGCUUUAUAGGCUGCCAUGAUGCCAUCCCUUUCUCAACGGUCCUCAAAACGGAGGUGAAUAGUCUGCCUUCCAUUUCCAUGCUUUACUCAUACACUCUUGUGAUGUAUGGUCACAGUUAAAUCACGUCAAUAUUUUAUAUUAAUUUUUUAUAAAAAUAAUUAAAAAAAAAUAAUAAAAAUAUAAAAUGUUAACAUGAUUUAACCGUAACCAUAUAUACAAAAAAUAACAAAGAAAAUAUGAAAAUAGGAUGACAGAUAAUCCACCUCACCUCGAAACACCCAAAUUUCCUCAAACCUCUACAAAAUUCAUAACUUUACUUUUUCUUUCUGUGGGCCGUGUUCUAAUUCACAACUAAAAUUUAGCAAAUGGGACGGUUUUAUACCGUUAAAUUAUCUCAUUGCCCAAAGUUGCCUUUUGCUUUAUAAAUCUAAUGCCUCGGUAAUAGGGUCUUCUUUUUUUUUUCCUCUUUUUAAACUUAUCGUUAUCAUCCAACACAUAUUUUUUUAUAGUUUAAAUGGGUGCUAUUAGUUUAUCUUCACUGGCCUGGAUAACAAGAUAGUCCGAUCUUUUAUUUAUUAAAUUGGCAUGUUAAGAAAGAUAGUAGUUUCUUGAUUCAAUCAUGACCGUCGAUUUUUCAUACUACUAAGUACUGCUAAAGAAAAAUUGUUAUAUUAUAGCAAAAUUAUGUAUCGUUAAUUCACAUGAUGAGAAAUGCAAAUACAUGUAUAAAGUAUCUUCGAUAUGAACACACAAAAUUUUAAUAUUAGAACAUCAUUCACGAGAAUCAAACUUAAAAUUAAUGAAACAUAAUAGAUCACAUUUAUAAACCAUAUGAUGUGUCACCAAUAUAAAAUAAAGGGUAAUGCUAUGGAGACCAAAAUUUUCAAACCAAAUUUGCAAACCAAAUGAUGUGAUUGCUGAUGAUUGAAUUAUUACUUAAACGUUGGUUAACGUACUUAUUUUCUAUUGGUGACAAGACAUUUGGUUUGUAAAUUUAAUUUAAAAUUUUGAUAUCUCUAACAUUAUCCAAUAUUAUUCUAGACUAAAAUAAUAAUUCAAUUAUCAAUAACUAAAUUAUAUAAUUUAUAAAAAACGGUUUAAGUAGACGGUAUCCUUAAAUAACUAAAAUGAAACUUAGCUUUAAAAGAUUGGAAAAGUGGAUUAAAAGGCAAGGAAUAAAUAAAAGCGAAGAAGAAAAGAAAAGGUGGAGGGAAAUAAGAUUAAAUUGUCCAACGGGUCUCUGGAAAGACAAAGACAACCCACCAUUCAUGACAUGGAUUGGUGACAGCGACGUUGUCCUCAUCUUUCCUGCACUCUCCAGAAACAUCUCUUGAUUAAUCCACAUAAAACAUCCAUUACCACUAAUUUACUAGAAAAAGGCAUAAAGGUUAAGGUUAAGCACACACCUUUUGAGAAUAGUUCCAAAUAAUUCACCUACCAAAACUUGAAAAGGAUGUAACUCAUGUAUAUUUUGUUUUUCUGCUAGGAUGUUUGAUUUUAUUUUCAACACAAGAAAUACAAAAGAAAAUCUGUCCGAUAUACUGAGACUGAUUUUUCUUUCGAAUGCUGUCGUCUUGUUUGAUUUGAAUAUUCUCUUUUUUAUCUUACAAUGUAGUAGAAGGAUUAUUUAUUUAAUAGAUUAUAUUGAAAAAAUUAAUUAGGUAUGAAAUUAUUUAGUCAUUUUAAAAUUAUUUAAUAAAUAGACGAAUUAUAUCUUUUAAUUAAAUAAUUCCUUUUUACAAUAAUGAUCAAACGGUUAAAUAAUUUCUAGUUUGGUUAAGUUUAACUGGUUCGAAGUUUUCAAUCAUCAAGAAUAAUUGAAGAGUGAAAUGAGAGUAGAGAAAGGUAAACCGCAAAGAUUCUAGCGAGAUCCUUUUUUUUUUUUUUUUAAUAUAUAUUUUAGGGGGAUAAAGAAUAAAGGGAAUAAAAUGCCUUUUCAUCAUUUCAUUUGUUUAGCAUACUUUAACAUACUUUAACAGCUCAGGCAGACAAACAAUUUUCCUUUAUAAAUCUCACUCCAUUUCUCACUCGAUCAUCCAAAAACCAAACCCUUGCAUUCUUUCAAGAGAGAGAAACCACACAACCCCCCAAACCAGAGAGUUCUAGAGAGAGAAACACAAGCCCAUGGAGGGUAAAGAAGAAGAUGUGAAGCUGGGAGCCAACAAAUUCCCAGAGAGGCAGCCCAUAGGGACCUCAGCACAGACAGACAAGGACUACAAGGAGCCACCGCCGGCGCCGCUGUUCGAGCCCGGCGAGCUCAAGUCCUGGUCUUUCUGGAGGGCUGGGAUUGCUGAGUUCAUGGCCACCUUCCUCUUCCUCUACAUCACUGUCCUCACUGUCAUGGGGGUUUCCAGGGCACCCAACAAGUGUGCCUCUGUGGGUGUUCAGGGCAUUGCCUGGGCCUUUGGUGGUACCAUCUUUGCCCUUGUUUAUUGUACUGCUGGUGUCUCAGGUAUACUUCUCCCUCUCUCUCUCUCUCUCUCCUGUUUUUUCUUUUGUUUCUUUGGCUUGAUCUGUUGCUUGCUAUGCUUCCUUUUAUUUUGGUGUUUUUUUGUAAGUUUUUGGUUAAGUAAGUGCAGAUAUGUACAAGAAUAUUUGGGUUUUGAGUUGUUUCUUAAGUUGAUGUUUGGUUCCCAGGAAAAUGAGGGAAAGAAAAGUAAUAGUGGAGAAAGAAAGUUUCUUUUUCUUUUACUUUAGCAUUCUGAGAGAACCAACUGGAGGAUUGGAGGACUUUACUGUUUUACUUGGGUGUGUGAAAAUUGAUGAAAAAUAAAUAAACCACUUACCAAAAAGAGAAGAAAAAAGUGAGAACUUUAGAUUAUUGGGAUUAACUGUAAGGGUUAUUUUUCUUAAACUCUUGUAUAGUUAGCAAUUUUUACUGCUGAAAAUCAGAGUAGUAGAGUAAAAAAAUUUGGAUUUGUUAAAGAUAUCAACUUUGUUACUGAUCUUCUUGUUGGAUUUACUGGUCUUUAUAACUUUACCUCACAAAUCCAAAUUUCUGGAAAAAUGAAAAUCUGCAUCUUUAUUUUGCAGUAAAAAUUUGAGAGUGUAUAAAUUAAGCCAAAAAUGAAUUCAAAUCAUAUGUUCCUCACCAAUUUUCAUAUUUCGUCGUAACAGUAUAUUAACCUUUGAUAUAUUGAUAAUUUGGACAGGUGGUCACAUAAAUCCAGCUGUGACAUUUGGUCUCUUCCUAGCAAGGAAGCUCUCCCUGACCAGAUCCGUGUUCUACAUCAUCAUGCAAAGCCUUGGGGCAAUGGCUGGUGCCGGGGUGGUGAAGGGGUUCCAACCGAAGCAGUAUGAGUUGCUCGGCGGUGGAGCUAAUGCGGUGAACCAUGGCUAUACCAAGGGUGACGGCCUAGGCGCUGAGAUUGUUGGCACUUUUGUUCUUGUGUACACUGUUUUCUCUGCCACUGAUGCCAAGAGAAAUGCCAGAGACUCUCAUGUCCCUGUAAGUAUAUCUCACCUUUGAUGAUUGAGUACUUGUUUACACACUGCGCUCAUAACUAUUUUCUGUAAAUGUUGUAACUAUGCAUCUGUCUACUUGUAUCAUUGUAAUGCCUUGGUUACUAAGGCAUAGAUUUCAUUGAGUUUUGAGUAUAUUGUGAUUGACUGUUUAGCUAACCGCCGCUCAAUCGUUGUUGCUAUUUGCAAUAUCUUUGGUUAAAAGUUAAUGUUUUAUGGCUCUGGUACAUGAUUACAAACUUUUUCUUUGUGCCAAAAUUACCAUGCCGAUUAGUCAAUCUUCUCUGUGAUUUAGAACACUUUAUCUACAAUAAGCAUCACACGAAACUCUUUCAUGUAGUAGCAACUGGUAUCCCUAUUGCAGCUAUGUCGAUAAACAUGUUCUUAUAUACGAAUGGAAAUGCAGAUCUUGGCUCCACUCCCCAUUGGGUUUGCUGUAUUUUUGGUGCAUUUGGCAACCAUCCCCAUCACCGGAACUGGCAUCAACCCUGCUAGGAGUCUGGGAGCUGCCAUCAUCUACAACAAGGGCCAUGCAUGGGAUGAUCAUGUGAGUAAAACUAAAUUGUUUACAUCAUGAAGUUGCAUCGAUCUAAAUGCACGGGAGAGGAUACAUGUCUUACAUCUUCAAUGAUUUUGUUGUGUUUGCAGUGGAUCUUCUGGGUCGGACCAUUCAUCGGAGCUGCACUUGCUGCACUCUACCAUCAGAUAGUCAUCAGAGCCAUCCCAUUCAAGACCAGGGAUUGACAUGGUAAUCCCCGUCGGGCCUUGUUCUCCCCGUCGGGCCUUGUUCUCCCCGUCGGGCCUUGUUCUGUCUAAAUGCUGCGAUUGUGUUUAUUUCGUUCGUUGUGUUUUAAUGUCGAGAGUGGAGUAUUUGGGGUGCUAAUGUGCAUAUUAGUUAUUUAUCCUGUUACAUUAAUGGAAAACUUUAUUUAAUUUAUUUAUACUUUGUUAUUAUGUUAAUCCUUACUUUUGCAUUGGAAGGCUUUAGGCAUUUGUUACCAAGUAAUUUGGGACUCGAAAGCUUUAUUUAAUUCAUGACUUGCGUAGCCACAUUUAUAACAAGAGACAAUGCGUCUCCUCUGUCUCGUUUGGAAAUGGAUCUUCAUCAAAUCUCUACUUAAUCUUUUUCAUCAAAUAAUCUGGAUUUUUGGUUACAAAUAGGGGUUUAUUUUAAAAGUUAUAAUAACUUUAACCGUUUGAUCAAAUGAAUUAUUUGAUCCAUAAAUAAUUCAUUUCCGUCUCAUUUCUAAUUUGUUGACACAUGGUCCGUAAUUGGUAAUUUUAACACUGUUACUUUACAUAGAAUUUGAUUGGAAAAAAAAACCUGAAAAAUUAAUGGUACGUAGACGGAACGGGAUGAAACGAAACGAAGGUGUAAUUUUUGAAAAAGACAUGGGGUAUAUUUGUCUUAAAAUGGUAAAACAUUGUGUUCCACAGACGUGGAACAAACCCGUUCCAGGGGGGAGGUGUGACGCAAAAACACCCAAAAUCUGUCUUGUGGAACAGCCCGUUCCACCCAUUUUUGACGCACCAAACGCGGGACGGAACGCCUCGUCCCGUUCCGUCCCGUCCCGUCCCACGUACCAAACGCACCCUAAAGGCACCACAGCUGAUGAAACCCUUCAGCAUCCUUCCCCACGGGAUGGAUCAAUUAGAUUAGAUAUUUUCAAUCUAUCACCGCAGCAACCAACCCCAACCCUUCAACAUCCUCCCCCAAUCGAUCGAUAUGAUAUUCUCAAAUUUCAAACUUCACACACUGUUUGCCAGCUGUGACUAGAUGGAUUGAUCACAUACCGAUCGAUUAGAUAUUCCAAAUUUCAAACUUCAAACUUCACAUGUAUUGACGAGAGUAAUUUGAAAAGAGAGAAAGGAAAGGAAAGAAAGCUUCGCCGCUGUGAGGAGCAUCGUCGGCAGCGAUGGGGUGGUGUCACUGGUGUGGUUGCAGUGGUCGGCGGCGAUAGGUUGUGUGGUUGCAGUGGCCAUCGGCGGUGUGAUUCUGUAGUUGCAAUGGAUAGUUAUUGAGUGGGUUUUUGUUUUCUUUAAUUUUUAAUUUUUCAAUUAUUUUAUAAAAAAUUACAGUGUUAACUUUGGUGUUAAAUUAAUAGACAAAUGUUAAAAAAUUAAGAAAGAGACACAAAGGAGACAUUAUAAAUUCAGAAAACAGAUCCCCGGCCCUUGAAAGCUUUAUUUAAUUAAUGACCUGGUUAACCACAUUUAAAUUGUUUAUAACAAAAUCAUGCUCAAACCGAGUUAAUAACAAGAGAAAAUGUUAUUGAUUCUCUAAAAAAGUUGUUACUUAAUUUCCUCAUUAUUUUCACAAGGGUUAGAUGGUUAGACAUUAGGGUUUGAUGAUUCGUUUUGUUUGAGAGGAAUGAAGAAAAGAAGAAAAAAAAUUAUAUGUUAAGUAAAUAGGUCGAAAAAAUUGUUAACGACCGUAUUUUUACUUUAAAAUCUAUUUUGGUCAUCAGUAGUUUCUAAAUUCUCUUCCAUAUGUUUUGUUUGUUCUUUUAUUGUGUCACCUAAGUUUUCUUUAAGUUCAUUCACAGUGGAUGAAUUUCAUACUUACUAUUAUAGUCUUGAAUAAAAUGAUAAAAAAAGGAACACAACAAAGUCGUUCGGGAUGUGACAAUCGAUUAUCACUCAUACUAUUCAACAAACCACGAUUGAAUUAAGCAUACGGUUGGGAAUGACAGAAUAUCAGAAUUAUGAUUCAGCAAAGGACAGCAUAACGAGCAAUGCCAAAUUUUGUCAAUUAGGAUCAAACAUUGUGACAGCUUACGAGCAUUUUCUUUUACUUUAAAAUCUUUUUUGGUCAUCAGUAAUUUCUAAAUUCUCUUCCAUAUGUUUUGCUUGUUCUUUUAUUGUGGCACCUAAGUUUUCUUUAAGUUCAUUCACAAUGGAUGAAUUUCAUACUUACUAUUAUAGUCUUGAAUAAAAUGAUAAAAAAAGGAACACAACAAAGUCGUUCGAGAUGUGACAAUCGAAUAUCACUCAUACCAUUCAACAGACCACAAUUGAAUUAAUGUACGGCUGGGAAUGACAUAAUAUCAAAAUUAUGAUUCAGCAAAGAACAACAGAACGAGCAAUGCCAAAUUUUGUCAAUUAGGACCGAACAUUGUGACAACUUAUGAGUAUUUUCAAAGGAGAUGUCAAAUUUCAAACGUAAAUUUAAAUUUGACAGCUUAUAUAACACUUUGACAUCUUUUAAAGUUUUGUUCUCCACCUAAUAUGUCAAAUUAAACUAUUAUUUUAUUAUAAUAAAUGUUUUUUUUAACAAACGAUAUUUAACAUUGAAGGGGAGGAGAGUGAGCUUAACCUUCCAAUGGGUUAACAAUAAUGUAGUUCAAAUUCGCCUUUGGUGAGAAUCGAACCUUAGUACUGUCACAUUCCAGGCUCGACUCUACUGUAGCACGAUAGCUUUGUGCCCCGACCACGCUCUCACAGUUUUGUUUCUGGGAACUCACACGAGAACUUUCCAGUGGGUCACCUAUCCUGGGAUUGCUCUUGCGCAAACUCGCUUAACUUCGGAGUUCCGAUAGAACCCGAAGCUAGUGAGUUCCCAAAAUGCCUCGUGCUAGAUAGAGAUGAGAAUAUACAUAUAAGACAUAGAGGAUCCUCACCCUUGGGCGAUGUGGGAUAUUACAAGAACUCUCGCUUACAAGUGAAGAGGAAUACCACCAGACCGUAGUAUUUAGUGGCAUUAUAAUAAAUGUUUUAAAACAAAAAACAAUUAUAAUAUUAGUAAAAUGCAUUUAAUAAUCAAUUAAUAAAAGAUUUGAAGGUGAUGUCAAUUUUGGCAACAAGAGUGAGGGCUGCCAAUUCAUGUCAUGCCGCUUUAGAUUUGGCUUUUCGUUAAAAAACAUUGUUGUUAGUUUUUUUAUUGUUAAUACUGAUUUGAACAUUUCUUUUAGAGAUGCUCUAAGAGUAUACGGUAGAUUUCAAUGGCUGAGCUUUGGUAAUUUGUAGUUGGAGUUAAUGCCGUUGAGUGGUGCACUUAUAAGAUUUUCAGGUAAUUCAGAUUAGGUUGCAUCUUUAGUUGAGAUUGAGAGCACCCUUUACACGAAUUUAAUUAUGGCAUUUUUCCCUUUCUAUUGUUGAUUUAACUGGAGGCAUUUUAUUUGAAGAUACCUUGGCAUAAACAAGAUCCUUAAACAUAUGUGUCGUGCUCUCUUUUUCCUAGUUCGACUUUUUCUGAGAUCCACUGCAAUGCAAUUUUUUUUUUUUAACAAACUAUAUUAUCUACAUUAACAGAGAAAGGACGUUAGCUAAGUCUUACAAUGGGUUAGCAAGGAAGUGGUACAAAUUCCAUUUUGAGAGAAUUGAACUUAAAACAUAUCACUUAUCGAUGACGGAGAAUACCAUUAAACUGUAGUAUUAAGUGACACAUUCAUAUGUUCUAUCAAAAGUUUUUUUUUUUUGAAGGCAGAAAAAUUGGGUACCAAUAGAGGGCACCCAAAAACAGACACAAAGCGCGGGCCUUUCAAUUCUUCCCAUACAAAAGCCCAAAUUCGAGUAACCCAAACUCUGCUGUCACCCUUUCUCCCACUUCUCCCUCGACAUUUUUCCAUCUCUCUCUGACGCCACCUCUACCAGGUAACACCGCCACUCAUCCUCCACUGCACUUGCUGAUUUUUCAGUCUCUAGCUAUUUUAUCGGAAUAAGUUCAAUUUUUGUUUUUUUUUUUUCUUUUCAUAUGGUUUCGAUCAGUGCAUAUCCAAUUCUCCGAAAUGAACCUUUCUGCUUUGAUUUGUGCAGCGAAGUUAAUAAAACCCAUAUAAUAUAAAGCUUCAAUUUUGAUUUGAGUUCCAGUCUUUGAAUUGUUUUCUUUCAAUUUGGUAGCUUGGUAGAGCAAUUUGCUAAAGUGGGUAGUUCCUGUUCCCCUCAAAUUUGCCGAAAGAUUUGAAAUUUUAGAUGAUGUUAGGAUUCUGGAUAUGGGAUUUGGUGGGUUUUGAUUAGUUUGGCAUCAAUUAGAUGGGUUUUGAGCAAUGAUGGAUUGAAUGGGCUUUUGCUGGUUUUUGUGUUUAGUUUAUCUUUGGGUUAUCUGUGAACUAGUUUUUCUUUUAGUACGAAAAUAAAAUUUAAUUGAUGGCAAGGGCAGUUUAAAUAGGGUUUUAGUAGACAAUGGAACUUGUUUUUCAUCAAAUUCUCCUUGUUAUGUAGUUUUUGUAAGUCAUCCAAGUUUGAAAGAUGAAUUCUUCUUUUAAUGAUUCAGUUCUGUGUUGAAAUCAAUUCCCGGUGUUAAUCUUCCUUUCGUUGUUCUUUGGAUUACAGAUUCUACUCGUUUUGCAAACUUUUAAAUCUUUAAUUUGUUGUAAUACUUGGUUGUUCUCUUGAUUCCGAAUAUUUUUAUUCUGUUAAUUUUUUUUUUGUUAUCGCUAGGAACAGCACUUAGUUUCUCUAGCAAUGGCUUAUGAAAUUUUUUCAUAAAUUGCCUUGCAUAAUUUAAUAAUCCUGUAAACUUUUUGAUUUAUAAUGUAUAUCUUGUUGGAAAAAAAAAUUCUCUCCAUUAAACUUUGAGUUUCUUCUCUUGGUGGUUAAUAACAGAUAAUACAAACUAUAGUCAACCAAACAGCUAUUACACUUCUGUGCUAAUCUACUGCUUUCUUGUUUCUAGGUAGAAAUUAAUCAUUGGUUGGAGAACCCAAGGGGAGGCAACUAUGUCGUUCAUGAAGGGAGAUUUACUUACGAGAACUAGAAAGCUGGUGAAGGGCCUGGCCAAGGCCGAGCCUGUUUGGCUCAAAGCCAUGGAAAAGUUUGCCCCUCUCUUUCUCACCAUUUUGUAAUUCUUGGAAUGCCUUUUCGUUUUACUUAUUUGUUAAAAACAUCAUGUAUUGUGAAUUUUUCAGGGCACCGCCUGUAACGUUUCCUCGUGCAAAUGCAAUUCAGAAAAUCACUCUCCCAGAGGAUGUUUACAUAAAGAAGUUUUUCCAGAAGCAUCCAGAUUCCAAACAUGAAGAUGCCAUCAAGUAUGGUUUAUCUUUGUUUUUUGGUAUAAUAUGAGUUGUUGUCUCGUUACUGUUGUUUGGUCUUGUCAUGAGUUUAUCCUUGGCUAGUAGAUGUGGUUGGUAAUUCAGGAUUGAACAUGUUGCGUGAAUCCGAAGACUUAAUAACUUCUUAUCAGAAAACGCAGGGCUUAUUAACUUAUCCGUCAUGUUUGAAUAGGAUUUCUUCUUUUGAUCCUCCUCCAGCCCGUAUAUUUGGUUUGCGGGUACUUGUGUUGAAGGAGCAAGGUGUUGCUGAGGAAGAAGCAAUGGCAGUAGCUGAUGUAUGUAUUUGGAUUUCCUGUCCCUAAAUGUGUGCUUUUCUAAGUUGUUUUCUGACUGAUGUUUCACGUUGUCUCCUAGAUGGAAUACCGGAUGGAGAGAAAAGAGAAGAAGAAGGCAUAUUCCCGCUUGAAGAAAAUUGCACGCCUUCAAGGGAAGAGGCCUCCUCCCAACCCAUAUCCCAGCGCUAUCAAGGAAAUACAAGCUGAGGAGAAGAAGUUUGUUCGUGACCGUUUUUACAAUCCCAAAAUUAUUCAACUUGUAAGGCAAUUGCAAGAGGACAAGGCAGCUGAAGCGCAGGAGAGAUUCAGAGCAGGAGGAGGUUCCGGGUAACUUAAAGUGCCGUCUUUUGAUAAUAAUUUAGUUCAGUUAGCUUCCUGAGAUUUUUACUGAUUUGCUCUAGCUUUUGAUCAAAUAUUAGCCUAGUGUAUUGGAAAUGAUUCUUAGGUACUUCUCAUUUGCAUCCAUUUAUGGUCAAUGAAAUGCUAUACAUUUGUGAAAAUCAUGGAAUAUGAAUGCUGCAUUUUCCGUUUUCCAGUUUGUGUAUUUUUAUGAACUGCUUAUCCUUCCAGACCACUGGUAACGUCUUUCGUAAUCCCAUACUCAAUAAUAGAUAUUUCCAGUGUUCGAAAUGUUAGCCACUUGGUUUUAAGAUGCGACUAACAACUCUUGGUCCAUCGGUACUUCUCUCUAACUAUUUUGCAGUAUGGCAAUUCAAUUGUUAUAGAGCUUCGGGUUCAUUUCUAAUAAAUCAUUAGGCAUGAAUCAUACCAUAUUUAUCGUAGACUUGCAUCCAAACUUGUUGAAGAUGGUAGAACUUCUAUGCUAGUAAAUAAGGGGGCAGUGUAGAACAUAUCAAUGGAGAAGAACCAUCUAACUGGGACGCCAAGGUGACUGUUUUCCAACCAAAUCACGUUAAGCCAUGUGAGCAAGUUAAAACACAUGACGUCGGGUAAUAGGCUUGACAUACCACCACCUUGGCGUCUUGGUUCGACUCUCAUGGUGAAUGGUUAGAUAUGACAAAGAAUCCAGCUAAUGAAUGUGUUUUGUAUGCGUUCCAUUAAUGUGUGAAGAUUGUGCAUCAGCAUGUCUUUUAUCAUUUCAUAAGCUGAUUCACCGUCGGAAACUAGUGCUUUUUUACAAGUGAUGAUAUUACCAAUCUAACGUUUUAGAUUGUCUUACAAAAGAACAUUUCUCCGAGCGAUAAAAGAUACACUCAUAAUAACAAUUCAUUUGAGAUUGACUCUGUUUGAAGUAAUAUUGCUUGUAAGCGAUUCAACUAAAAGUUUCUUUGCCAAACAUAAUUCAAAGCGUUCUAAAUUGCUAGAAAGCACUUUACUUCUCACAUCCCAUUUUACUUCUCACACACUCCCUGAUAAUUUCUGUUUGUUGAUCUUCAAUUUAUCCGAUCUAACGAUCUAAAAUUAAAAAGAUAUGUGAGAAGUAAAAUGAGAUGCAUGAAUAUCACACGAUAUCAAUUCCCACCAAAAAAUAUAAGCUGAUAAAUUACACCUUCAAUUACAAUCAACUUCUACCAGUUCAGAUUGAUAACAUUUUAAACUAUCUAACAAAAGAAUAUUUAUUCUAAAAAAAAGAGAAAAUAUUAUCAGCGAGAUAAUCAUAAAAGAGGAGAAUAACGAUUCAUUUGAGGUUGCAAAAUACUGCCCAUAAGCGACCCAACCAAAAGUUCUUUUACAAUAAACAAAGUUUAUUAAAAAUUGAUUCUACAACCCGUAAACGCUUUCAAGGUUUUGUUUUUUUUUUUGCAAACAUAGUUUAAAGCGUUUUUAAUUGCUAGAAAGCACUUUUAGCAAUUUCGGAAGUAGUCUCAAAUAGAUUGGAAACCAAAAGAGGUAUCAUUUGCUAGUGCUGAAAAUAGUAUGUAUUGGCAAUUGGUGUUAACCUAAUGGGUGAUUUUCCUCCUAAACAAUGAAUUUAACAACAUUAUCACACAUAACAAGGGUAAUAAACAUUUUCUAGGCAACCAAACAAGUCCUAAAAUUAAUUCCUUGCACGCAUUCAUAGAAGUUGAAACAUAUUAGAUAAGAUAGACCAAAAUAAAGGGGAAAAGUAUGGCCACCAAUAAAAAGCAGAGAUGAAAUAAACAUUUAACAAUACUAUCGGAUUCUCUUUGUGGGAUCGGAUGAUUAAUCAAUCAUAUCCGUUUAUCAUAUAUUAUACGAUAAAAAAUCACUUUGAAUUUUUUAUUUAAAAUUGAAGACAAAAAGUAUAUAAUGAAAAUUAGCCGCAUGAUAUACGAUAAUUGAUCUUCUAGAUCUUCACGAAGAGGAUCCGGAGAGGAUCCUCAUUCACUUUAAGGCUUCACCAACUCCAACCAACCCCCUAAAUAAAAGUAUUAACUUUGCUCGGAUUGAUGAUCUAACUUCCAACAGUAUUUAGCUCCCUCUAUGCUUCCUACAUUUAAUUUCUUGGGAGACAAUUUUCUUCACUACAAAGUCAAAUAGCAAAUCUAGAUGAGCUGCCAAGGCAAUGUGGUUGCUUAUUCGAAUUCAUUUGUUCGUAAAUUAGACUAGUUUAUGACAUUGUCUUGUCAAUCUAUUAUUUAGGCCCUUUACAAUGUGUAGAAAAAUUGAGUUUGACUCUAAUUUAAAGUCAAAAAUUUUGAGUUUGAUUUCAAUCUACUAGCAGAUGCUAUUUAAGUUAGUUGGUCAGAGUAAUGUGCUCAUCUACCAAGUUUAAAAUUAUCUACCAUUGAUUAAAUUCGAGUAUUUUUGAAUAUUGAAUUGUAAAAAAAAAAGAGUAUUUUUGCUCACCAACACAUUUAUCACUGUUAAAUAAAUUUAAAUUCAAGAUAUGUACAGUGAACAGACACAAAUUUUAAAAUUUAAAUAACUAUCCAUCACCAAAGUUGCACAUCAUCACACAUUAGAUUGUAAUGUUGGAAGAUUUUGCCAUACAACAAUGUUUGUCAUUGUUCAAUUCGACUGAUUCAAUAUUCUCUAUCGUUCUGUAUAUCUCUUAACUAUGUCUUGUGAUUUUGAGCAGAGAGGUUUUAGCAAAAAUAAUAAAAAUCUUUUAUACACACUUUGCUUGUGAGGAAUUGAAUUAUAUAAUAAAGCUGUAAACGCAUCAACAUCUCCGGUCCCAUGGGCAUUUUUGGGUGUGGGCAGCAAUUUAAUGCUCGCUUGAUCCUACAGCUAGCUAGCUGCAGGUCAAUUAUUUUGGCGGUAAUGCUUUGAAGACAAAAUUUACAAAUUAAAUGAUAUGUCACUAAUACAAAUAAACACGAUUAUCAAUACUUAAGUAGUAAAUCAAUUAUCAACUUCCAUGUUUUUAGUUUUCAAAAUUUUAUCUACAAAUUAAGUCCCUUAUCAUUACCCUUAUUUUGGUGACAAAUGAUAUUAAUCACUUAGUUAAAAGUCAAUAGAAAUCAAUCAUAUAUACUAAAACCCAGUUCGGGUGGGUACUGUUGAUGACCAGUGAGAUGACCGCUUUGCCCCUCAGUUUAUCCUUGCUUUCCUCCUUUGUGGUCUGCUUCAUACAAUAAAUUUACGGUUUUGCCCUUUUCCAUGCGUCUCUUAUCUUUGAUAUGUCCGCUUCGAGUAUGAGUAGGGAUGGGCGCGGUGCGGUUUGGUGCGGUUUUAAAGGCAAAACCGAAAUGAAACCAAACCGUUUGGUUCGGUGCAGUGCGGUUUCAAACGGUUUCGGUUCGGUUUUUGAGAAAAAAAUGUACAAUUUAAAAUAUACACUUAUUUACGCAUAAGACGGUCUUAUUUUUCUUAUAUAUUAAUUAAUGAACAUGCAGAAAAAACAGCAACAAGAAUGCAGUAAAAACAGCAACAACAUUGCAGCAAAACUGCAGCCAAAAACUGCGGAAAAAAAAAACUGCAGCCAAAAUUGCUAAUUCCUGGUCUUUAUCUAUGACUCUGCUAAUUCCUGAGAAGUGGUCUCUAUUUGCGACUCUGCUAAUUCAAUUACAUAACUCAAGCCAUGCUUCUGAUGAACAAAAAUCCUAUGAGAGUACCUCUAUCGUGACUCUGGGAUUUUGUUGCAAGUGUUUUUUAUACAGUUAUUUGGCUUCAUCAAUGAUCAGAGGCUUUUCUUAUAAUAAAUACCAAAUUUGUUGAACUCCAAUUUUCAUGAUACAUUAGUGGUUUUUGUUACAUUUAGGCAAGCACACAAGGCAAUGCCUAAAGAAAUUAAUAAUUUAGAACUUAAAUUGAUACUUUAAGAGAUGAACAUGAGUUUUGAGAGAGAGAUGAAGAUGAGUUUUGAGAGACAGAGAAAGAUAAAUGAAUAUAAUGACUUGAAUAGUGUAGUUGAAGUUGAACUAAUUAAAAGUUAAAACAUAACAUUCAAAAUAUAUGGUGCGGUUUCGGUUUUGGUAUGGUACGGUUUUGAAAAUCUAAAACCGAAACUAAACCGUUUUCUUUGUUGCGGUUUGGUUUCGAAACCGCAACCGUUUUAAAAUCGCAAAAUCAAACUGUUCGGUGCGGUCCGAUUUAAUUUGUGUUUCGAUUUCGGUUUUCGGUUCCAAAUGCCCACUCCUAAAUGUACGAGAGUUUUCUAUUUCGUUUAAACCUUUAUUUCUUCUGCUCAUUCUCUGAUCCGUGCCUUAUUCUCACUGUUUUUCUUUGAUAUUGUGGUGUUUUGAACCCAAAAUUUUUCGUAUUUUAAGUGAUAUACUACGAGGAAGACAUCCUCCAAACCCUCUACAUAAGCAUCGAGGUAAAUCCCGCUUCUGCUCUGCUGCACAAAUUAUUUGUUAUUUUCCGUAAUAUAUUUGAUUUCUAGAACUGUAAUUUCAGAUUAUUGCCCCUUUCGAUUUUUGUCAGUUUGGACCAAACCCUAACCGUUUGGUUUUGUGAUCAGUAGCACUCUUUGUUAUCUCACUUCAUAAAUCUCGGAUUUGGCAGGAAUUGGAACGGCGCUGUUAUUUUUUGGGUGUGUUAUCUCUGCUUCUGUUUAUCCCAAUUUUAAUAUGUAUUUGCAAUUGUUGGAUUAAAAAGGGUUUGUGAUUUGUGAAAAAAGAUGAGUCAAGCGACUCCAAUUUUUGAAAGUUAUCUGGUUUUGGUUUGUAUCGAAAACAGGGAACACUGAGAGGGAGAUGAUGACAUAAAGUAUUAAGUUUAAUUGUGAUUUAAAUUUUUUUAUGUUGUUAGCGGAUGAAUCCAUCUGUUGGUUGAAGUGAUAGGUGUAAAAAAAUGAAUAUGCCAAGGUGUAAAUAGUUGGAGGUUUAUGGUAUUUUGCAGGUUUUCUGUUGGUUCAUGGUUUUGGUAGUUUUGAUUUCGUGAGAGGCAUAGAGAGUAUACACUGAGACAAAUAGGUGGGAAGACAGAACAAGGGAAGGGGAAAAUGAGAGAGACACGGGUUGGGCCAUUUUUUUUUUAUAAUUGAUUUGGGGUUUUGUUUGGGUUUGGGGUUGUGAUGUUUCUGUAUUUAAUUUGGUAUUUCAUAGUUUGGGGUUGAGUCGUUAUUUUUUUGGACUUUAUGAUCUCAUUUGUGAUUAUCAAGUGCAUAAUGGUUAAUUGUAAUUUUCAAAUUUUUAUGCUAUUAGUAGUUAAAACUAGGGGAAUGGCUCCAAUUUUGUUAGUCAAUUAAUUUAUUUUUUUGUGUAUCUCAAGCUUCUAAUUGAUUUCCUGCAUCAUUGCUUAGUUUUAUUCACUGAGAUUUGAGUGGUUAAUUUUUUUUACCUUAUGACCUCAUUUGUGAUUAUCAAGUACAUAAUGGUUAAUUGUAAUUUUCAAUUCUUUAUGUUGUUAAUGGUUAAAAUUAGGGGAAUAGCUCCAAUUUUGUUGGUCAAUUAAUUUAAUUUAAUUUUUGAUAUAUCUCAAGCUUCUAAUUGAUUUCCUGCAUCAUUGCUUAGUUUUAUUCACUGAGAUUUGAGUGGCUAAUUUGGAUCAAACUCUAAUGAUUUUCCUUUUCAACAGUUGUGGUCCUCUGUUAGGAUUUUCCUGGAAAAGAGUAUAUUUUCCGUUUUGGUUGCUCAGUUGCUCAAUCACAAAUUUGCAAAUAGCUCUGGUGGUGCUAUUAUUUUUGGGUAUGUUUUCUGUCAUUUUUUCCCCUGUUUGAUCAUGCAUUUAUGAAUGUUGGAUUAAAAUGUGUUUAUUUUUGGGAAGAAAUGAGACGGCUAGUUAGAGUUUUAGAAACCUUUGUCUUUCUUGCUUUUUAUGGCAAUGAGAAGAAGGAAGAAAACAUUGAUCUUAAUUGUAAUUUUCAGUUCUUUACACUGUUAGUGCUGAAACCUCUGUUUUGUAGACAAAUAGCUGACAUGUGAACAUUUGCAAAUCCAUGUUAUUUUCUAAGUUGUUUUUUAUUUUCCAAUGUAUUUUUUUCUUCAUAUGAACCUGGAUGAAAUGAUUGUUGGUGGUUUUUAACCAGAUGCUUUGUUUCAAAAUGAUUAAUCCUAUUAAGAAUAAAUAAUUGCUUGGGGUAUAAAAUGUGUAUUGUUGAUGCUUUGGUCAAUCUGACCAUAAAAAUAGAGUGCAUUUUGGUUUCUUUGACUCUUUUGUUUGCUUUGUUUGUUGUUUGGACCUAAGCUUAAAAUACUUACACAAUACUUGACAAGAAAAAUAAUAUUUAGGAUUAGGUUAGUGUUUAUGCAAUGAUAACCAUAGACAAUUAAUUCUCUGGUGACUUAUUUCAUGCUUUAGUUUGGAAACUCUUGUUUUUGUCAUAUAUAGAAUACUAGCACGGCGUGCAAAUGCGUUAUCGAUUGACUUCUAAAUGGUGGUUAAUUUAGUUUAUAAAUUUGUAAUGCAUGUGUUCUCUAACCUUGAGCGACUGUACAUGAGGACAUAAGACGUCUUUUGGGUGAGAAAUCUGCUUCCUUGAUAUGGGCAGCGAGUCAGUUUGGUUCGACUCUUGAUCCGGAGCAGAGACUAACUGUUCUUCACAUCCAAGCUCGUCUUGUGAUAGGGUCCUUAGGUCUGUACAGAAUCUGAACAUAGAAAAGCACCCUAGGCAUUUUGUUUUGUUUUUCUCUGUACUUGAAUGAAAUACAAUCAGUAAUAUGUAAGAGAAUGGUCGGCUUCAAUGAAAUGUUUGCCUUGACAUUUUGUGCAGUAUAAUUUCAAAAUCAUACAACAUUCUACGGACUAACGUGACGGUAGGUAAAACUCCUCAUGCGAGUCUGGAAGCCCUCGCAUUGACAAUAAUCACACAAUGAAUGAACAGUCACAAGUGAAUAAAACGCAAGAAACCGUUGUCGCUAAAAGACCAAAUAUCAAUAAUAAUGUUCCAAUAGUAUUGCAUUAACAACACUUUAGCAUAAUUUCUAUGCAAAUACAUUUAAGUCAGUCAAUUAUUGUGUGAAUAAAUCUGUAAAGACCGAGUAGAAUAAAGUCGGUCAAUUAUUGAAGUAUCACAUGGAGUGUCGCAUGGGGUCCAAGUCAAGACAAUAGUUUCACUUGCAUCGUGGAAAUUUUGGUUUGUAAGUCCCUAUUGUUCUUAAUUUGUAAUUUAUUUUGAAGCGUGAUUAAGAUAAAUGACAAACGAAAGUGGAGAAGAAUCAUUAUUUUAUGGGAGUCAUUCAUCCUUCCUCUUAUCCUCCAAAACGACUUUUGACUGUUUGCAACUUGUUUGAAAAGAAAAAAAGUGAUGAUUCUUCAUUAACAACACUUUAGCAUAAUUUCUAUGCACAUACAUUUAAGUCGGCCAAUUAUUGUGUGAACAAAUUUGUAAAGACCCGAGUCGCGGUAGAAUAUAGUCAGUCAAUUAUUGAAGUAUAGCAUGGAGUGUCGCAUGGGGUCCAAGUCAAGACAAUAGUUCCACUUGCAUCGUGGAAAUUUUGGUUUGCAGGUUCCUUCUCAACUUGUAAUUUACUAUGAAGCGUGAUUAAGAUAAAUGACAAAUGAAAGUGGAGAAGAAUCAUCUAUUUUGUGGGAGUCAUUUAUCCUUUCUCUUAUCCUCCAAAACGACUUUUGACUGUUUGCAACUUGUUUGGAAAAAAAAAAAAUGUGAAUUUGUCUCUCAAAAGUUGAGGCCUUUUUUUGCGUAUUUUAGCCUGAUCUAAAUAACAUAAAUUAUGCAUUCUGACUAUUUGCAACUUGUUUGAAAUUAAAUGUAAAUUUGUUCUCUCAAAAGUUAAGAUGGUGUCUGUGCUUUUUAGCUUGGUUCAAAUAACAUGAAUUACGCGCAUAUACGUUGUUUUCUAAUUUCACAAAAAACAAAAAAACUUCUAAAACGUAAACAGAACGAACAAUCAACGCGGAAUUGUGUUGAUUGUUGCAGGCUUUGCCAUUGUUUUGGAGAGACGAGUCAUCCUCUAAUUACUACACCUACCUACAGAAAAGUAGCUGGUCCACUCACACAUGUUAAUUACUACACCUACCUACCUACAGACGAGUCAUCCACCUAUCUACCUACGGACGAGUCAUCCUUAUAAUACACUCGCAGCUUUCCUUUUGCUCCUAAAUCAAUUCUGAUUGUACACUUCUUCUUCUUCUUCAAUCUUCAAUCGUCUUUGCCUUGAUUUUGUUGAAUUAAGAUGGAGAACGACGGAACGGCGCUUGAAGAAACUCUUUCAUACUUCCAUUGUGGUGCUACUUUUUCUACAAUGUUUCAACCCUUCCCUAUCCUCUGGAUUCAAUCAUGUUUCUUUCGGUUUCGGAGCAAUUGCCCACCGGGUGGUGACGAGGUGCAUAGAGAGUGAAAGGGAAACACUCCUUUCUUUCAAACAAGGUCUGAUUGAUGACUACAAUCUCCUCUCCUCGUGGGGAAGAGAAGAACACAAGCAAGAUUGUUGCAAAUGGGUAGGCGUCCACUGCAGCAACCGAACCAACCAUGUUACUCAACUUCAUCUUGGAUGGUCUUCUAUGCGUCAAGCUUACUCACUUCAACACAAAGGUCACCUGGAAGAUACCGAAUAUUAUUUACAAGGUAAGAUGAUGAGUCCUAAACUGAUUGAGUUGCAGCAUUUGAAAUAUUUGGACCUUUCGUUGAUUAACUUCAAUGGAAGCCAAAUUCCAGAUUUCAUUGGUUUUCUUUCCAACUUAAGACACCUCGAUCUCUUUGUUGCUUAUUUUGGUGGUCGAAUUCCAACUCAGAUUGGAAACCUUACUCACUUGCAAUAUCUUAAUCUCAGCUACAAUAACUUUGCUAAUGUAGAAAAUCUGAAUUCAUGGCUGCCUCAUCUUUCUGCUUUAACAUAUUUGGACCUGACAUACAACAAUCUCAGUAAUGUUCCUGACUGGAUGGAAGCAGUUAAUAAACUCCCUAAACUUACAAACUUGUCUCUGUCUUAUUGCAGUCUUCCUUCUCGUCUAAUUCAUUCCAGUACUCUUUUUAACAUAAAUUCUUCUAAAUCUCUUGCUCAUGUUAAUCUCAGAUCCAACCAACUCUCAUUUUCUUCAUCUUCUUCCAUAUUUGUGUGGUUAUCCAAAUACAAUGCCGGCCUUGUUCAUCUUGACCUCUCUGAAAACCAAAUUGAAGGAGGGAUUCCGCAAUCUUUUUCCGGGUUAUGUAAUCAGCAAGAAUUGUACCUUUACAAUAACACUUUGAGUGGACAGUUUUCCUGGUUGGUUCAAAUAUUAAUGUCUGCAUGCCCUGAUCAGAACUCAUUAGAGACUCUGUCCCUCUCAAAGAAUCAUCUUUCUGGAUCAAUUCCUAAUCUCACAAACUUUUCAUCAUUGAAAGAAUUAUCUCUCGAUGACAAUCAAUUGAGUGGAACAAUACUUGAAAGCAUUGGGCAUAUGUCCACGCUUGAGGCUAUCUACCUUGGUAUGAAUGCUUUGGAAGGUGUGGUUUCGAAAAGCCACUUCUCCAACCUCUCCAGAUUAAGGAGUUUGGAUAUGUUCAAUACCUCACUAUCUUUAAGCUUCAGUUCUAAUUGGUCUCAUCCUUUCCAAUUAGAGUAUAUAAAAUUAUGGUCUUGUAAGGAGGGUCCACAUUUUCCAAAAUAGCUUCAAAAUCAGAAAAGUUAUAAGAGACUUGAUAUUUCUAAUGCCAGAAUUUCUGAUAUCCUUCAAAGUUGGUUUUGGAGCCUUCUGUCUCAUCAGGAUCUUAGAUCUAUUUCUAUAGAUUUUUCCCACAACCGAAUUAGAGGAACAAUUCCAAAUUCAAGAUUUGAGUUUUCCUCAUCUUCCUUUAGUCUAGUGAAUUUGAGUUAGAACUAAUUGGAAAGUCCAGUCCCUUCAUUCAUUUCCACAUCGAUAUCUUUAGAUCUCUCCAACAAUAAGUUUUUAGGGUUAAUUUCUUUCAUGUGUCCAAGGACUUCGAACAAGGUUAGUCAUAUAGCCUUUCUUGAUCUCUCAAGCAACAAUUUGUACGAACAACUUCCUAAUUGUUGGACACGUUUUGAAAAUCUUGCCUUUCUUGAUUUGAGUGAUAAUGCUCUUUUUGGAAAAAUUCCUACCACAAUGAGCUCUUUACCUUCUAUUCAAACACUAAAGUUAAACAAGAAUAGGUUUGUGGGGAAUUGACUUUAUCCUUGAAGAACUUUACCACACUCAGUGUUUUUAAUGCUAGAGAAAAUAACUUAUCAAGUUUGAUACCUGAAUGAUUAGGGGUUGAACUUCCAAAUUUGGCUAUCCUUAUCCUCCGUUCUAAUCACUUCUAUGGAAGCAUUCCACCACAAUUGUGUAAACCCAACCCCUAACCAUUCAGGUAUCAAACCUGAUAAGUUAUUUUCUCCAACAUCAAAAACACUGAGUGUGGUAAAGUUUUUCAAAGAUGAAGGCAAUUCCCCCACAAACCCAUUCUUGUUUAACUUCAGCGUUUGAAUAGAAGGUAAAUAGUCCGUUGUGGUAGGAAUUUUCCCAAAAAGAGCAUUAUCACUCAAAUCAAGAAAGCCAAGAUUUUCAAAACGUGUCCAACAAUUAGGAAGUUGUUUGUACAAAUUGUUGCUUGAGAGAUCAAGAAAGGCUAAAUGACUAACCUUGUUCAGAGUCUUUGGACACAUGAAAGAAACUAACCCUGAAAGCUUAUUGUUGGAGAGAUCUAGGGCUAUUGCUAUGGAAAGGAAUGAAGGGACUAGACUUUCCAAUCGGUUCCAUCUCAAAUUCACUAGACUAAAGGAAGAUGAGGGAAACUCAAAUCUUGAAUUUGGAAUUGUUCCUCUAAUUCGGUUGUUGGAAAGAUCUAUAGAAAUAGAUCUAGGAUCCUGAUGAGAUAGAAGACUCCAAAACCAACUUAGAAGGAUAUCAGAAAUUCCUGCAUUAGAAAUAUCAAGGCUCUUAUAACUUUUCUGAUUUUGAAGCCAUUUUGAAAAAUGUGGACCCACCUUACAAGACCUCAAUUUUAUAUACUCUAAUUGGAAAGGAUGAGUCCAAUUAGAACUGAAGCUUAAAGAUAGUGAGGUAUUAGACAUAUCCAAACUUCUUAAUCUGGAGAGAUUGGAGAAGUGGCUUUUCGAAACCACACCUUCCAAAGCAUUCAUACCAAGGUAGAUAGCCUCGAGCGUGGACAUAUGCCCAAUGCUCAACAAUUUGGCUAAAAAAGUAAGUUCAAGUAUAGCAUCCUUGAUAUGGAAAGGCAUUCUAUCCAAAUACAGAAGUACUAUGGGGCUUGUAAGUGUAUUCAUCUGUCAAGUAAUCGAUUAAUAGGGGAGAUUCCUAGGGAAAUCACUGAUCUUGUGAGGUUGGUUUCUUUAAACCUGUCAAGAAACAAUUUAACAUGUCAAAUAACUCCAACGAUCAGGAAGUUGGAGUCCUUAGAGUCCCUUGAUUUGUCAAGAAACCACAUAUAUGGUGGAAUACCAACAAGCCUUUUUCAAAUAUAUGGUCUUGGUGAUUUGGACUUGUCAAACAACAACUACAACAACAACAAAGCAUUUUCCCACUAAGUGGGACUCGGCUCCAAAGCCUUUUCAAACAACAACUAGUUUGGAAAAUUCCAAUUGGGACUCGGCUCCAAACCUAUGAUCCAUCUGAUUUUGCUGGAAAUACUCUACUUUGUGGAAUUCCACUUCAACAGUUGUGCUGUCCUGAGGAAACAAGUCCAGAGGAGCAACCAAUGUUUGGGGAUCAAGUUAAAGAUAAUGAUGGGCUUAUAACAACAUGAUUUUACUUGAGUUUGGCGCUUGGUUUUGUUGUUGGAUUUUUGGGAGUUUGUGGGAGUUUGAUAUUCAUCAGGUCAUGGAGAUACACAUGCUACAAGUUCUUGAAUUGUGUGUACGAUUGGCUUUUUGUGAGGGUGGCGUUGAUCAGGUGACGAAGAAUGAUUGAUGGGUAAAAUGUAAGUACUCUUGCACAUAAUGAAUAAUAUUAUUGCAGUUUUGAGUCUAUUAAAUUAUGACUAAUAUAUGUUGCGUUUGUUUUAAUCUUUUUAGCUCGUUCAUCUACCGUUGGCAAGCACUGCUCCCUUUAAACUAGAGAAGAAGGAGAUUGAAGAGUGCAAUUUGAAGUUAUAAUUUAGUGAAAGUGUUGUGUUUAAUUUAGUGGCCUUUUUGAGGCUAUUUACAGUGACCGUAUUCUUUAUGCCGACACCAAACUUUAAGUUCAUGUGGAAAUCUAUUUAUACGUUGAAUAACACACUAAUCUGUAAAUAUUUUUUUACAGAUAGUGUGCAAAUUUCUUUCUUUCAGACUGUGUAUGCUUAUGACGUGAUAAACAUAUUAGAAGUUUGCGAUUUAAUAUGUUACUCCCAAAUGUGAUUGUUAUUCUGUGAAUUCGCUAAAAUUUAAGGUUGUGUGUAUUGUUGUUUUUAAAACCCUUUGCUUAGUAAUACAUAAUUGAAUAUGAGCUCUUCCAUUUGAUAAUAUCUUAAACUGCUUAAGAUAUACAUCAUAAGCAACCAUGCUUACAAAUUUCAGCACUCUUAGAAACAACAUACACUAAUCUACAACGGUUUCUAAUCUUACUCAAGGCUUCAAAUACACUCGUGUGUCACAUGAUUUGAAACGUGCAAUUUAAUUACAAUGUAUUUGGAUUGCACAUUUCAAAUCUUGUGACACACAAGUGUGAGUGUUUUAGAUUGAUGAAUUUUAGUCAUCUAACGAGAUAUAAACUUGUUUCGUUCCAAGUGAGUAAUUAAGCAAAAAUAGUACUCAUGUGACCAGCAGGCAGCAAGGAUGUGAGGCAUCUGAUAUACAUGCAAUGGCUAAAGUUACUUACAAAACUAAACGAAACGUCGUCGUCUGUUAGCUGUGUUUGGGCCAAAAGCGUGGUCGUUUUGAUCAGAACAUUUCCGGGGCAAAAAGCAGAAGAGAAAGAUUGAAAUUCUAAAAAGAGAGAGUAAAAGACUGGGGCGAGGUCACGCUCCAGACCGCCGUCCACCGCCGUAGGCGAUCCGGCCAACUUGUUGACCUGCAGAGAUUCUAUAGCGAGGUCACGCUCGCGUUCUGGAGCGGCCUCCGCGACCUUCCGCCGAGUUCUCGUUCCUCCGCGUCCGCGGCCUCCUCAAUUUCCUCCGAUCCGUCGCCGAGUCCGAUUCCACCGUCAACCUCUUCUCUCAAACGCAAUUGCUCCCCGAGCUUCAAGGUAACCAGAAAAUUACAAAAUUCCUAGUACAUGGCGAGGAGGUUUGGGGAGAGAACGUGGUGGCUGCCUCAGUGAGUCACGUGGUUGCCGAAGUGACAAGGUUGUUGAAGGUUCAGCGCGGGAAAGUUUGGUUGAUUGGUGCAACGGCUAGCUAUGGAAGUUACUUGAAGUUUGUGGGGAGGUUUCCAUCUGUUGAAAAAAAAAAAAAAACUGGGACUUGCAGCUUCUGCCCAUCACUUCUCUCAGAGCUGCUUCCAUGGCUGAAUCAUAUCCCAGGUCCAGCUUGAUGGAGUCGUUUGUUCCAUUUGGUGGAUUCUUUUCAGCACCUUCUGACCUAAAGCUCCCACUCGCUGGGCUCUGCGGUAUUUGUAUGGAAAGUUUAGUUGAUUGGUGUAACGGCUAGCUAUGGAAGUUACUUGAAGUUUGUGGGAAGGUUUCCAUCUGUGGAAAAAAAACUGGGACUUGCAGCUUCUGCCCAUCACUUCUCUCAGAGCUGCUUCCAUGGCUGAAUCAUAUCCCAGGUCCAGCUUGAUGGAGUCGUUUGUUCCAUUUGGUGGAUUCUUUUCAGCACCUUCUGACCUAAAACUCCCACUCGCUGGGCUCUGCGGUAUUUGUAUGGUAGCCGAUGCAGCGGGAGUGGAGCAUCAUCGUUGGGCAGAGGAGAAGAAAACUGGAGACGAUGGAGACUGCCUGGCCAUCAUAGUAACUCGCUGCUGCUGACCAAUCACGAACCUUUGUUGGUUGUCUAAAGAACUUGACGUUUGACUGUCUCAAUGCUGACUUUUGAAGUUUCUGAUUUUGUAUUAUGGAAAUCGUAAUAAGAGCAUACGUAGGUUACAAAUAUAUAUGGGAGUUUGAGUGAGUUGCAAACUACACUCAACACUCAAGUUAUCUAUCCCAAAUCUCCUUGAAUCAUGCUAAACAGCCGGCAUAGGUAACAUAACUAAGCUCCUUGGAUUAAGGAGUUGACAACAAGAUAAGACCCUUAUACAAGUUGAUGAGAACAAGAAAAUAAAUGGCUAUUAACUAGGUAAAACACUAAUAAGGUUGACACAAACCCUAUUACCCAGAUAAUACUGAGAAACACUAAUCAUGAGGAACCUUAAGUAACCAGAGGUCUUUCAAUACUCCCCCUUAAGCUGGAUCCAGAAGUUUGAUGGAUCCAAGCUUGCUGAGAAGCUUUUGAAACUGAUGGGAGGCUAAUGGUUUGGUGAAUAAGUCUGCAAGUUGAUUGUAGCUCCUGCCAAAAUGAGUUUUGAUGACCUGUGAUUGUACUUGUGCACGAACAUAGUGACAAUCAACUUCAAUGUGCUUGGUUCUCUCGUGGAAGACGGGGUUGGAAGCAAUGUGCAUUGCUGCCUGGUUGUCACAGAAAAAGGGACAUGGAGUGAGGAGUGAAGACAUCUAAGUUACAUAGUAGACCUUUCAGCCAUAUUAGUUCACACGCAAUAGAUUCCAUGACUCAAUAUUCAGCCACAUCACUUGAUCUUACAACGACUGCUUGCUUUUUACUUUUCCAUGUAACAAGGUUGCCUCCCACAAACGUGCAAUACCCCAUUGUAGACUUACGAUCAAUAGAGUUGGCAACCCAAUUAGCAUCAAAUAACCUGUGAUCUAAGUGCUCUCAUUCUUCUUCAUGAUUAUGCCACGACCCACUGAACCUUUUAGGUACCGAAGUAUUCUUUUGACAAGAUUAAAAUGCUCUAUCGUGGGAGAGUGCAUAAAUUGGCUAGCAAUGCUUACUGAAUAGGCUAUGUGAGACCUUGUAAUAGUCAAAUAUAUCAACUUACCAACAAGUCGUUGAUAAUAGCUUAUGUUUAGAAGUGGUUGCCUCUUCAAGCUGAGUUUGAGCUUGAUGUCAAGAGGUGUAUGGACAUGUUUAGCAUCACUCAUGUUUGCUUCCUUGAGAAGAUCCAUGACAUAUUUCCGCUGGUUGAGAAAGAAACCCUUGUGAGAGGUUGCCAUUUCUAUUCCAAGACAAUAUCUCAGUAUUCCAAGAUCUUUGAUUGCAAAACGUUGUUGUAGUGAAUGCUUGAGCUUCUUUAUUUCUUCAGGGUUGUCUCCUGUAAUGAUCAAAUCAUCUACAUAUACAAGGACUACCAAUUUCCCAGCAGUUCUUGUGCACACGAACAAUGAGGAGUUUGCGUUGCUUCUUUUAAAACCAACACUUGUAAGGACUAAACUGAGCUUGGCAUACCAAGCUCUCGGUGACUGUUUAAGACCGUAAAUUGAUUUGUGCAAUUUACACACAACAUCAUGUUCAUGACUUUGAGGAUGACUUGGGGGUAAUCUCAUGUAGACUUCUUCUUCAAGAUCACCAUGUAAAAAGGCGUUCUUUACAUCUAUUUGAUACAUAGGCCACCCUUUGUUAACAACAACUGAAAUGAGUACUCUCACUGAGUUCAUCUUUGCAACAGGAGAAAAGGUUUCCUUGUAGUCCACAUCAAAUGUUUGAGUAAAUCCAUGAGCCACUAAUCUUGCCUUGUGUCUUUCUAUGGACCCGUCUGAGUUGAAUUUAACCUUGUAUAUCCAUUUACAACCUACUGUCUUAUUUCCUUUGGGUAGUGUCACAAUGCUCCAGGUUUUAUGUUGAUCAAGGGUAUGCAGUUCAUCUUGCAUAACUUGCUGCCAAACCUGUGAUUGAUUUGCUUCUUGAAAUGACUGAGGCUCAACAUGCUCAGAUACAUUACAAACAAAAGCAGUGUAUUUAGAUGACAAUUUUUGAUAGGACACAUAGUUGGACAGUGGAUGCCUUGGCUUGUAAGUGACAAAGUCUUGCAGUCUUGUUGGAUGAUGUCUUUCACGAAUGGGAUUUCGUUGAGGCGCAGCAGAAUGAGACUCGUAUGAAGAUUCCUCAGGUGCAACAUUAUGGAGAGAUUCAUCUUCAACAGAAGUGUUGGUGUCAUCACUUGAAUCUGGUUGGUCAGUUGCAGCGCGGGACUUUGUGUGAUGUGCAGACACCAUUGCAUUAGAUUGAGUGACUUCAGUGGCAAGUAUCUCAGUCCAUGGCAAUGGAAAAAGGUCCAAGAAACACUUCCCAUGACUUAUACUAUCCAGAGAUUUGCUGUAAUAAGGGUUAGUUUCAUGAAAUCUAACAUCCUUGGAAACAAUUAAUCUCUUAAGUUGUGGAUUGUAACAUUUGUAUCCUUUUUGUGUGGAUGAGUAACCAAGGAAAAUACAUUUGGUUGCCCUAGGAUCUAGUUUGUCUCGAUGCAAGGGCUGAACAUGGACAAAACAAAUGCAUCCAAAGACCUUAAGGCGUUGCAAGUCCACUUUUCUAUUUUUGACCAUUUCCAUUGGUGAUUUGAACCCCAAAACCCUGCUAGGUAACAUGUUGAUCAAGUAAGCUGCUGCCACAACACUUUGAGACCAAAAUCAUUUUGGUACAUUCAUUUGGAACAUCAAGGCCCUAGUUUUUUUAAGAAGAUCUCGAUUUUUUCUCUCAACAAUACCAUUUUGUUGGGGUGUGCCAACACAAGCAUGAUGCCAUUGUUGCUCAAAUAUUGAGUCAUGACUUGGGACAUCUAUUCGGUGCCAUUAUCAGACCUUAGAGUUUUGAUUUGAGAGGAAAAAUGAUUUUUAACAAGGUUAUGAAAGUCCUUAAACACUUCCAUCACUUCACUCUUUGAUUUUAACAAAUAUAACCAAGUGGCUCUUGAAUAAUCAUCAACAAAGGUUAUGAAAUAUUUGUAACCAUCAAAAGAUUCACUAGUUGGUCCCCAUAUAUCAGAGUGUACAAGUUUAAAAAGAUGAAAAGCUCUAGACAAAGAUGAACCUUGAGCUAGUCUAGUUGCCUUUGACAUAUGGCAAGUUUCACAGUGAAUUUGUUCUUUGCUUAGGUCGGGAAACAAGGUUGACAAAACAUGUUGAGAAAGGUGAGCUAGUCGCUGGUGCCACAAGGAAUGAUCUUGAUGGAGGCAUGGAUGAACUUAGACUUGGCUUGGAAUCCAUUGGGAGAGCUUUUCGAUAUGUAAUAGAGACCGUCUAGGUAAAACCCCUCACCAAUCGUCCUCUUGGUGACACAAUUCUGAAAAAUGACAUUUUCUGGUGAAGAAAUGGCUAAAUAGUUUAAGGAAUUUGUGAUUUUUCCCACUGAGAUAAGUUGGAAUGGAAAUGAAGGAACAUAUAAGGCCAUAGACUCUAUUUGGUCUGAUAUCAAGUGAAUUUUUCCCUUUCCUACAAUCCUAGCACCUUCACCAUUAGCUACAGACAUAUGUGAUGGUUUAUGAAGUUUCUAAAAUUUAUGCAAUUUUGACACUUGAUUAGUCAUAUGAUUUGUGGCACCUGAAUCUACAACCCAAAAAUCAUGCAACUUAUUGAUUGUAAGAGCAGUUUCGAAAGCAUUCACGAUACCUUUCAUGUCUUGUUGAGGUAAGCGAUCAGCAUCGACAAAAAAACUUGCAAACUUGCCCAACAAUGCAGUGGCACUUCCAUAUGGUCAACAACUCGAUCUUCCCUUCCCGUCUUCUAUUGGAGAUAGGCUGCAAACUUAUUUAUAAGAGUAGCAAGAUUUGUAGUGAACUGUUGGUAAGAAUUUGAACUGUUGAUAGAUGAAGAUGAUGCAGUGUUGGCAUGAGGAUAUGCUUGACUUGUCUUCUGUGCAAUCUUAUCCUUCAUGACUUCAGGCUUGAGCUUUGGAUGCAGGAUCCAACACUUAUCUCUCACAUGCUCGAUGUUGUCACAGUGUAAGCACUUCAGAUGAGGGUUUUUUCCUUUGUACCUUUUUUCAUGUCAGAUAAGCCCUAGCUUCAAUCACAUUGGUUUUUGUACCACUGUUCAUGACUUUUCUUCUCACUUCCUCACGUUAGAUGGUUAAACAAAUGCUAGUGAAGGAUGGUAGCUCAGGAUUCAUGAGGACAUGACUUCUCAAAUCCUCAUAUUCUGAGCUCAAGCUAGACAUCAAUUGAAAUUUUUUAUCUUCUUCAGUUCUUUUAAGAAUCACCUUGGGAUCAGUUGUAUGAGGUCUGUAGACAUCUAGCUCAUUCCACAUGCUUCUUAGAGAACCAAGAUGUUGAACAAAAGUUUUACCUUUUUGUUGAAUGUUGGAGAUAUCAUUCUUGAGUUGAAAGAUGCGUGCAAAGUUGUUUUAAUUACCAUACAUCUCCUUCACAAUUGUCCAGAGAGUGAGAGAUGACUCAGAAUAGCUGAAGAUUUCAGCAAUCUUCCUUUCCAUGGAAAUAAGCAACCAUGACAUGACCAAUUGAUCUUUACAAAGCCACCCUUCAUAUUUUGGAGAAGUAACUUCAAGAGCAGAAUGACUGCCAUUGAUGAAACCAAGUUUGGAUCUUCCACCAAGCGCAAGACUAACAACUCUUGCCCACGACACAUAAUUAAACUCAUUCAGUAACACUGAACUAAGUCGUUUAUUUGGAUUGAUAUCCAUUUUAGAGAUGCUAGCAGAAGGAGAAGCAAUGAUGCUUUCAUCCUCUAAAUUCUCAUCAGUUAUAUUUUUGCUGAAGGAAAAUCACAACAAGUGAGAUAUACAAAGAUAGACUCAGAAGGAUGCCCGCUCUAAUAUCAUGUUGACUUUUGAAGUUACUCAGAAGGAUGCCCGCUCUAAUACCAUGUUGACUUUUGAAGUUUCUGAUUUUGUAUUAUGGAAAUCAUAAUAAGAGCAUACGCAUGUUACAAAUAUAUAGGGGAGUUUGAGUGAGUUGCAAACUACACUCAACACUCAAGUUACCUAUCCCAAAUCUCCUUGAAUCAUGCUAAACAGGCGGCACAAGGAACAUAACUAAGCUCAUUGGAUUAAGGAGUUGACAACAAGAUAAGACCCCUAUACAAGUUGAUAAGAAUAAGAAGAAAAUAAACGGCUAUUAACUAGGUAAAACACUAAUAAGGUUGACACAAACCCUAUUACCUAGAUAAUACUAAGAAACCCUAAUCAUGAGGAACCCUAAGUAACCAGAGGUCUUUCAAUACUCAACUUGUACAAUUCCUUGUUGAAUAUGGGCCCACGAGAGAUGUGAAGAUGAUUGAUUGGCGUUUGAAAGCUGUCCCAUGAAAAUAGUGUUGAAAGCCCAACACCAACGCCAAUCCAAAACAAAGGCGACCCUACAUUUGUGGGUGGGGGAGGUACUGAGAUUUGUGGUUUGACACCAACUGAAGAUGUUUCUUGGGUACUCGAAGAAGAAAUGCUCGCAAAACAUUCCGCUUCUAACUUUGUUGGGAGGCGAGUGGCACUGAAGCGACCAUUGGCUCUGGAAUUCUGGUGAUUUUUGGAGUUUCUGAGAUUCGCAGAGCAUUGAAAGAGAGGGAACCGACUAGAGUCUAUCUUUUUUUUUUCUUCCAAAGAAUAUGUUGCCUUUGUAAUAAAAUUGACUUUCAUUAGUCAAGCCUUUAUUUUGAUGUGACUGAACUCGAAGUUGAAUGUUCGAGCUACCUACAUACCCUUCCAAAGAAGAGAUCAAGUCAGAACGUAGUUCAAAUAUGUUUUGUUUUUGUGCUGUACGCAGUUUAUGCUUAUGCGGGCCAGGAGCAUUUGGUGCCAUUUGCAGUUUCAACUCAUGCAGGCAAUAAACUCUUGGUGUGGAUUUGGUGCUGUUUGCAGUUUCAGCUCGUGUAGGCAAUGAGCGUUAGUUGUCGCCUUUUAGGCUCGUGCGGACGAUGAGCUCUUGGUGUAGAUUUGUCAAGCGAUCUUGGAGAGGUGUUCAUCGCAAUCUUUAUAGCAAGAAGUCUUGAUCGAGGGAUUGAAGAAGUCUUCGGGGAAGAAAUCGCGCAUCGUGAUGGGGAUGGACGAUCUUCGUGUCGAAAUUUCAUCAUCCUCAACACUUUCACGUUGCCUUGGAGGUUGACAAGAGCUUCUUUGCCCUAUUUUCGAUUGUUGAACUUGUGGACGACAAGUGUCACGCCCCGAUCCCGACAUACGUCCAAGAUCGACACGUGAUGUCAACAAAUACCCAUAUCUCAAAAGUCAACCCUCGGUCAACGGUAGGGUCCACAACUCUACAUAAUUCGAUCCGAAAGAUCAACCCAUCAGAUUUCAGAUCCGUAACUUCUUAAGGUCUCAUUAUACUCAUAAAACAUCAUACUAAAGUCUCACCAUAAUUCGACGGUUGGAUCUUCGCCAAUUGCUAGAAUUAGGUGGCGGUUAACAAUUAAUUUUACUAACUUAGAAAUCUAAUUCGGGAAAACCCAUACGUCGGAUUCCCGAUCCGUCAGCUCCAGCUAUCCUCAAAUAUUACGUUCUAUAACGCAUUAAAGUUUGGUGACGAUCCAACGGUCGAUUCAUAUUUUGAUCAAGUAAUGUAUCGUAAUGAAACGAAGUUCAAACAAUCAAACCACUUCAUAUGGAUAUCAAUUAUGAAUUCAGGGCAUUUAAUUGGACUUAGAAAGACAUCGUCGGCCCACUGGCCACGCGUCGCCGCCGAUGGUGGUCAGCAGCCACGACUCGCCGGAAAAUUCAACAAUUUCCAAAAUUUAUCAAAACUCAUAGAAUUGUAGAUCUCAAUGAGUAUAGCAAAUUUUGUACCUGUGACCAAGGCCAAUUUGGCCUGGAAACACUCCAAAUCACCACGCACCCGCCAGAACCCUAGAAAGAGUGUGCUCCAAUUCUUCCUCCUCGGUGUUCCACCACCCCUACAACUGAUUGGGAUUUGUUCAGGGGCUCAAUGGGAGUCUAAUGGUGGUAGAGAUAGAGGUAAUUUGCAUCAAAAAUUGGCGGAUUGUCACCAAGAACACCAUAGUGCUGCCGCACCCUACGAUGUGGUUUUUCACAAAAUCAAGGCCAAACAUCUUCAAUUUUUGGGUGUAAUAGGUAGAUGAAACGAUAAGGAAUGUCCCGAUGGUUAAGUGACGGGAUUUGCCGGAAAAACCUACGAAAUCCACCGGAAAGAUCAAGGGGAACCGGUAGAGUCGAAAUAAAGGGGGACGAGUUGAUGAUCUCAUGCCUUCCCCCACCCUAAUUUCCCCACCUUUCUUCUCUUGCUGAUUGGUUCUCCCCUCCUAUCCUUUAUUUCUAAUUGGUCCCUAAAAGAAACUGAUUGGUCUCUUUCUCAAUAUUGAUUGGGCCUCUUGUGGGAAUUUAUUUAACUUAAAAACUAUAGUAUAGUAAGACGACUUCAAAUGUCCGUAACUAUACCGUUAUAAUCCGGAUUCUCAAACGGCUUUCGCCUAUGCGCUCGUGGUUUCGAGAUCUAUUCGAAAACAUUAACUGUGACCUCGAAAGGUCUAUAGAUUUUAAUUAAUUAAUUUCCAAACUUCAAACUUUCUAAUUAGUUUAAUUAAAAUCUAAAUUCAAAUAAAUUGAUAUAAAUUCUCGAAAAAAUAAUAUACAAUCUUAAUAAUACCAAUACGUAGAUUAUAAUAGUGAAAUCCAGGAACGGGGUUUCACAACACGUAUGCUUUUUGUGCAGUUUCUUUGGAGUGACAUGAGUUCAUCCUUCAACUUCACUUGGCUUGACUGGUAUGGUUUUGGAGCAUGCCCCCAACGAUUGAGGUGAAGAUAUUGAGUUGGAAGAGCCAAAAGUGACGGUGGUAUGGUUUGACCCUAACACAUCGUUAAGAUCUAGCUUGAUGAUUCCUUUUUGGGCCAGCUUCAUGAUGAGAUCUUUUAGCACGAAGCACAUUUCCGUCAAUGACUGAUGAAGCGGUGGUACUUACAAUAUAUUGGGUUGCCGGUGCGAUUCAUCUCUUCCAGCCGUUUGCACUCGGGUAAAUCGAUCACCUUUUUGUUGAGCAAGUCCUUCAACAUGGCAACCACAUCAGAGUCGGGGAAUGGAUAAGUCUUCUUCUCAAGCUCCUUCAAAGUGCGUUUACGCCUUUCUUGGUCACUAAAAGCUUUGGUCCGAAUCACCUUGUCUCGUGUAAAGAUUUUAACGGAAGCUGCGUUGACCACCAUUGCUUUAUUGAAACCCUCACGAAUUUGUCCAUUUUCUGCCCAAAGACCUUGUCAUUUCUGUAGUUAGCAAUCGGUUAUUUCUUCUCAUGAUGGGCAAUGCUCAACUCAAUGUCGUGGGCGGGGGUGGCUAACUCCUCGAAGGUCCACGGUUUGAUGCCUUGAAGAAUGUAGUGUAAUCCCCAAUGCAUGCCUUGUACACACAUCUCCGAGAGUCUGUCUUUGCAGUCAAGACUUAGAGUGCGCCAUCGGUUGAUGUAGUCGACGAUUGGCUCAUCCUUCCAUUACUUUGUACUUGUGAGCUCCAUCAUGCUGACAAUGCGACGAGUACUGUAGAAACGGUUUAAAAACUCCCGCUGCAAUUACUCCCAGCUGUUGAUGGACUCGGGUUCUAGGUCCGUGUACCAAUCGAAUGCAUUCCCAUUCAGACAGCGGACAAACUACUUUGCGAGGUAGUCUUUCUCAGUCCCCGCAUUGUUGCAAGUCUCGACGAAAUAGGCGACGUACUGCUUUGGGUUUCCUUUUCCAUCAAAUUGCAUGAACUUAGGUGGCUAAUACCUCAUCGGCAUCCGCAAGCCAUCAAUCCGCCUGGUAUAUGGCUUCGCAUACAGCAGUGUAUCCCGCGAAGUGUCUCCUACCUGUGUUCUGAUGGUGUUCGCAAUCAUAUCCUGGAGCUGCUGGAUGGAAAGAGAGCCCAUCGAGGUAGCUUCAGUCUCCGGUUAAUGUGAUUGAUUUAGCUUUAUAGUUGUUUCUUGUGGUUAACACUAUGUUGAUCUAUCAUAAUAUAGUAUAUGGAGAAUCAAGUCUUGCCCUUAAUUUUGGGUAUAAUAAAUUGGUAUUGAAAUCACUAUUCACGAGGUUCGAACGUAAGACAUUCACUUACAAGUGAAGUUGAAGUACCAUUAGACCGUAAUACUAAGUGUCAUUUGAAAUUGAUCAUAAAUUAAAAUCUCAAUUGCUAAAUUAAUCAAAAUUAAAUAUUGACCACAUAAUAUCAAAGAUUGACAACAAUACAAUCACGUAUUGACGAUGUAUAAAAAAAUUGGUCAUUUUAGUAAUUAGAAUUUGAAAGAUGAUCAUUUUGAUCAAUUUUUCAAGUAACUUAACAAUUAAAAACAUAAGGAAAAAAAAAGAAUGAAACACGAGUAAUGAUAUGAAUGUAGUUUGUUUGUUUUGUUUUGUUUAUACUCCAUUUCUUCCAUGUAACUUCACUUCAAAUUCAUAAACAAUGAAGUUUCUUCAAUUUACAUUGUUAAAACUAGAAGAAUUGGGAAUAAGAAUUUUUUGGCCCAUCCUUGUCUACCAUUUUUAGACGAGGAAAUAUUGGAUGUCAUUGAAUAUAAGGCAUAAUGAUCUCUGAAAAUUUAAUUUACAUUCCAUUCGACGUAACUGCAAUGGUUAAAUUGAUGAAUUUUCACUUAUUUAGUAAGAUAUAAAUAAACUACAACCAAUUACCAAUUGAAACGUGUAAAAAUAAACGGAAACGUCGUCGUCUGUUAGCUAGGGUACCAAAAUGUCGUCGUUUUGGUCAGAACAUUUCCGGAGCAAAAGCCAGAGGAGAAAAAAAAAUCUCCAGUGUGAGAGUAAACAACUGAGGCGAUGUACUUGAAGAAGCCGCUAUGGAGCGAGGGGAUAACGCUGAAGCCCUCGUCGGAAUCUGAACCAGAGCCGCCGUCCACCGCCGUAGGCGAUCCGGUCAACUCGUUGACCCAGCAGAGAGUGUACCGCGAGGUCAUGCUCGCGCUCCGGAGCGGCCUCCGCGAUGUUCGCGCCGUGUUCUCCUUCCUUGUGUCUGCGGCCUCCACGACGUCCUCAAGUUCCUCUGAUCGGUCGCCGAGUCCGAUUCCACCAUCAACCUCUUCUCUCAGACACAACUCCCCGAGCUUCAGGGUAAUCAGAAAAUUACAAAAUUCCUAGUUUCUGCUUAAUAUUUUGUUUAAUUUUUCUGAAUGUUGAAAUUGAUUUAUUCAUCGUUUUACAGUCGUGGCGAUUCUGUUUGGGCACUCGCUGAAAGAUUCGGGCGAUGAGAUAGUGCGGAAUUUGGAUCACAUAUUCGGCGUCGAGCCGCUGAAGAUCACAAGCCCUUCAACCGAUUUCGAGGUCUCGCUUGCGCUUAGGGUUUUGGAGGGUUGCUGCCUGCUUCAUUCGGACAGCGCGGUUUUGGCUCAUCAGCACAAGGCCAUUCAGGUACUCAAUGUAGCUAAAUAGCUUAACCAAAAUUUAUGGAGGUUGGAUUUCUGAGAUGAGAACGCAGUUUCUGUAAUUGGGUAUUUGUAGGUUUUGAUGAAUAUAUUACCGACUAGCGGCGUGAUUGAGCAAGGAGCUUGUUUGGAUGCUUUGAUUGCUACUAUGUUGGACUCAUCAGCUAAUCAAAUGGUAAAGCUUCAAACUUCAGUUUCGCGUCAAAUUAAUGGUGUAUAAUUGAUUUGUAGAGAUUCUGUAUAAAGUUUUGAUUCAUUUCCCUCGAAAUCUCAUGAGAAGACGUGACAUAUGUUGAUGCUUAAAAUACAUCCCAAUUGAAUACACCCCUUAUUGUGAUUGGUUUCGAAGCGGUGAUGGGUUUUUUAUGAUUGAAUUGUUUUCUUGUGUGUAAUGUGUAGGAUUUUGAGGCUUUUCAUGGUAUUGAGGAAGUUGCAGAGCUCAUAAUGGGCAAGCAAGUUGAUGAGAAUCUCAGGUUUUGAUUUAUUUCUCUUUGCUUGCUUGAUUCUCGUUGUCUCUUUUCAAAAAAAAAAAUUCUCGUUGUCGUGAGUUGUGAUUUGAAGCUCCAUCUACUUAGUGUAGUUUUCAAAGGGUAAAGUCUUUUGAAUUAGUCCUCUUGAUAAAUUCUUUGGUAAAAAUGUUAAGUUUUUUGCAAAAAUAGGUUUGUGGUAGCCACACAGUUGCUGUGUGUGCUACUACUUCUUCAAAAUCAUCAUUAUCACAGGCAAUGCCAUUUUUCGACUUGUUCAUCGGACGAUUCUUAAUAGAAUCCCGUCUUUCCUUAUUUUCUAGGAUUUUAUUUAAACCAUGUUGUUUUGCUCAUUUUCAUGUUUGUCAAUUGAGUAACGAGGUCAUCUGCUAUGAAUGAAUUAGAGUUGAGGAUUCUGAACACUGGUGUGCCUAGGCUGGAUCCUUUCUUUGCUAAUAUAAUGCACACUGAAGAAAAACGUGUGUUGCUUUUGAUUAGGUUGAAAUGUGGAGAGUUCUUGCUGCUUCCGAUUGGUCAUGUAAAUGGGAGGGAUAGGCCACCCUUGGCGACUGUACAUGAGGACAUAUGAAGUCUUUUGGGUGAGAAAUCUGCUUCCUUGAUAUGGGCAGCCAGUCAAUUUUGUUUUGUUUUUCUCUGUAUUUCAAUGAAGUACAAUCAGUAAUUUGUAAGAAAAUGGUCGGCUUCAAUGAAAUGUUUGCCUUGACAUUUUGUGCAGUAUAAUUUCAAAAUCAUACAACAUUCUACGGACUAUCGUCACGGUAGCUAAAAUUCCUCAUGCGAGUCUGGAAGCCCACGCAUUAACAAUAAUCACACAAUAAACGAAAGGUCACAAGUGAAAAAAAUGCAAGGAACUGUUGUCGCUAAAAGACCAAAAAUCAAUAAUAAUAUUCCAAAAGUAUUGUAUUGAUCAAAUGACAGUGAUGAUUCUUUACUAACAACAAUUUAGCAUAAUUUCUAUGCAAAUACAUUUAAGUCGGUCAAUUAUUGUGUCUUCUAAUCUACUAACUCCAAGACUAAAUUUGUAAAGACCCCAGUCGCGUUGGAAUUAUUUGAUAUACCGGAAACUCUUGAUAACUUGGUGUCAAUAACCUUGAAGUAUCGCAUGGGGUCAAAGUCAAGACAAUAUUUCCACUUGCAUCGUGGAAAUUUUGGUUUGCGGGUACUAUUGUUCUCAACUUGUAAUUUACUCUGAAGCGUGAUUAAGACAAAUGACAAACGAAAGUAGAGAAGAAUCAUCUAUCUUGUGGGAGUCUUUCAUCCUUCCUUGUAUCCUCCAAAACAACUUUUGACUGUUUGCAACUUGUUUGGAAAAUAAAUGUGAAUUUGUCUCUCAAGAGUUGAGGUGUUUUCCUGUAUUUUAGCCUGGUCUAAAUAACGCGCAUUUUGACUAUUUGCAACUUGUUUAGAACAUAAAUGUAAAUUUGUUCUCUUAAGAGUUGAGACGAUUUCCGCGUUUUUUAGUGUGGUCCAAAUAACGUGAAUUGCACGCAUAUAUGUUGUUUUUUAAUUCCAAAAAAACAAAAAGACUUCUAAAACGUAAACAAUACAUAAAUGUAAUUCAAAGAAGCAGAUGUAUCGGUACAUAAGUUUCGGUACGAUAUAUCGAUACAUAAGUUUUGGCAUGAUGUAUCGGUACAUAAGUUUCGGUACGAUAUAUCGAUACAUAAGUUUUGGCAUGAUGUAUCGGUACAUAAGUUUUGGUAUGAUUGCAUCAGUACAUAAAUUUCGAUACGAAUGCAUCGGUACAUAAGUUUUGGUACGUUGUAUCAAUACAUAAUCGGUACGAUUGCAUCGAUACAUAAGUUUCGGUAAGAUGUAUUGGUACAAAGUUUUGGCAUGAUGUAUCAAUACAUAAGUUUCGGUACGAUUGCAUCAGUACAUAAGUUUCGGUACCGAUGCAUCGGUACAUAAGUUUCGGUACGAAUGCAUCGGUACAUAAAUUUCAGUACGAAUGUAUCGGUACAUAAGUUUCGGUACGAUUGCAUCGGUACAUAAGUUUCAGUACAAAUGCAUCGGUACAUAAAUUUCGGUACGAAUGUAUCAGUACAUAAGUUUCGGUACGAAUUUAUCAAUACAUAAGUUUCGGUACGAAUGUACCAGUACAUAAAUUUCGGUACGAUUGCAUCCGUACAUAAGUUUCGGUACAAAUGCAUCGGUACAUAAGUUUUAGCACGAUGUAUCGGUACAUAAGUUUCGGUGCGAUUGCAUCCGUACAUAAGUUUCGGUACGAUGUAUUGGCACAUAAGUUUCGGUACGAUUACAUCGAUACAUAAGUUUCGGUAAGAUGUAUUGGUACAAAGUUUUGGCACGAUGUAUCGGUACAUAAGUUUCGGUACGAUUUGCAUCAGUACAUAAGUUUCAGUACGAAUGCAUCGGUACAUAAAUUUCAGUACGAAUGUAUUGGUAUAUAAGUUUCUGUAUGAAUGUAUCGGUACAUAAGUUUCGGUAUGAUUGCAUCGGUACAUAAGUUUGAGUACAAAUGCAUCGAUACAUAAAUUUUGGUACGAAUGUAUCAGUACAUAAGUUUUGGUACGAAUGUAUCAGUACAUAAGUUUCGGUACGAUUGCAUCCGUACACAAUUUUCAGUACGAAUGCAUCGGUACAUAAGUUUUGGUGGAAUGUAUUGGUACUUAAGUUUCAGUACGAUUGCAAUGGUACAUAAGUUUCGAUACUAUGGCGAAGCAUCUGAAGCAUAACUGCACACUCACACGAUCUUUGUUGAAAGGUAGGAGCAUUCGGUAGAACCGGUGAACUAAAGUACAUAUGUAUUAAUAGACACCUCAUGGGGAAGAGAAGAACUCAAGCAAGAUGGUUGCAAAUGGCUUGGCGUCCACUGCAGCAACCGAACCAACCAUGUUACUUAACUUCAUCUUGGAUGGAAACAUAUGGGUAAAGUUUACUCACUUCAACAUAAAGGACAACAGGAAUAUCUCGAAUGUUAUUUGCAAGGUAAAAUGAUGAGUCCUAAAUUAAUUGAGUUUAGGACUCAUCAUUUUAAUGUUUGCAUGCCCUGAUCAGAACUCAUUAGAGACUCUGGACCUCUCAUCCAAUCAUCUUUCUGGAUCAAUUCCUAAUCUCACAAACUUUUCAUCAUUGAAAGAAUUAGUUCUCUAUGACAAUCAAUGGAGUGGAACAGUACCUGAAAGCAUUGGGCAUGUCUACGCUCGAGAGUAUCUACCUUGGUAUGAAUGCUUUGGAAGGUGUGGUUUCGGAAAGCCACUUCUCCAAUCCCUCCAGAUUAAGGAUUUUGGAUAUGUUUUAUACCUCACUAUCUUUAAGCUUCAGUUCUAAUUGGACUCCUCCUUUCCAAUUGGAAUUGAUACAUUUGAGCUCUUGCAUGAUGGGUCCGCAUUUUCCAAAAUGGCUUCAAACUCAAAAAAGUUAUCAGGACCUUGAUAAUUCUAAUGCAGGAAUUUCUGAUAUGUUGUUUUCUAAUUCCGCAAAAUACAAAAAGACUUCUAAAAUGUAAACAGUACAUAAAUGUAAUUCAAGGACGUAGAUGUAUCGGUACAUAAGUUUCGGCACGAUGUAUCGGUACAUAAGUUUCGGUAUGAUUGCAUCAGUACAUAAGUUUCGGUAUGAAUGCAUCGGUACAUAAAUUUCGGUACGAUGUAUCAGUACAUAAUCAGUACGAUUGCAUCGAUACAUAAGUUUCGGUAAGAUGUAUUGAUACAAAGUUUCGGCACGAUGUAUCAAUACAUAAGUUUCAGUACGAUUGCAUUAGUAUAUAAGUUUCGUUACAAAUGCAUCGGUACAUAAGUUUCGGUAUGAAUGUAUCGGUACAUAAGUUUCAGUACGAUUACAUCGAUACAUAAGUUUCAGUACAAAUGCAUCGGUACAUAAAUUUCGGUACAAAUGUAUCAAUACAUAAAUUUCGGUACGAAUGUAUCAGUACAUAAAUUUCGAUACAAAUGUAUCAGUACAUAAGUUUCGGUACGAAUGUAUCAGUACAUAAGUUUCGGUACUAAUGUAGCAGUACAUAAGUUUCGGUACGAUUGCAUCAGUACAUAAGUUUCGGUACGAAUGCAUCAGUACAUAAGUUUCGGUACGAUGUAUUGGUACAUAAGUUUCGGCACGAUGUAUCAGUACAUAAGUUUCGGUAUGAUUGCAUCCGUACAUAAGUUUCGGUACGAUGUAUCGGUACAUAAGUUUCGGUACGAUUGCAUCGAUAUAUAAGUUUCAGUAAGAUGUAUUGGUCCAAAGUUUCGACACGAUGUAUCGGUAUAUAAGUUUCGGUACGAUUGCAUCAAUACAUAAGUUUCGGUACGAAUGCAUCAGUACAUAAGUUUCGGUACGAAUACAUCGGUAUAUAAAAUUCAGUACGAAUGUAUCAGUACAUAGUUUCGAUACGAUUGCAUCGAUACAUAAGUUUUAGUACAAAUGCAUCGGUACAUAAAUUUCGGUACGCAUUUUCCAAAAUGGCUCCAAACUCAAAAAAGUUAUCAGGACCUUGAUAUUUCUAAUGCAGGAAUUUCUGAUAUCCUUCCAAGUUGGUUUUGGAGCCCUCUGUCUCAUCAGGAUCUUGGAUCUAUUUUUAUAGAUCUUUCCAACAACCGAAUUAGAGGAACAAUUCCAAAUUCAAGAUUUGAGUUUCCCUCAUCUUCCUUUAGUAAAGUGAAUUUGAGUUGGAACCGAUUGGAAAGUCCAGUCCCUUCAUUCCUUUCCAUAGCGAUAUCUCUAGAUAUCUCCAACAAUAAGCUUUCAGGGUUAAUUUCUUUCGUGUGUCCAAAGACUCCGAACAAGGUUAGUUGUUUAGCCUUUCUUGAUCUCUCAAGCAACAAUUUGUACGAACAACUUCCUAAUUGUUGGACACGUUUUGAAAAUCAUGCAUUUCUUGAUUUGAGUGAUAAUGCUCUUUUUGGAAAUAUACCCAAAUGCAUCAACAAUUUGGCUAAAAAAGGAAGUUCAAGUAUAACUGUCUAUCAUAUCUAUAAUAGCUCAAUUGUUGGACAAGGUUAUUUUGAGGAAGCAUCCUUGAUAUGGAAAAGCAAAAUGUCCAAAUACAAAAGUACUUUGGGGCUUGUAAAGAGUACUCAUAUGUCGAGUAACCGAUUAACGGGAGAGAUUCCUACGGAAAUCACUGAUCUUGUGGGGUUGGUUACCUUAAACCUAUCAAGAAACAAUUUAACAAGUCAAAUAACUCCAAUGAUCGGGAAAUUGGAGUCCUUACAGUCCCUUGAACUGUCAAGAAACCACAUAUAUGGCGGAAUACCAACAAGCCUUUUUCAAAUAUAUGAUCUUGGUGAUUUAGACUUGUCAAACAACAACCUGUCUUAAAAAAUUCUAAUGGGGACUCAGCUCCAAACCUAUGAUCCAUAUGAUUUUGUUGGAUAUCCUCUGCUUUGUGGAAUUCCACUUCAACAGUUAUGCUCUCCUGAGGAAUCAAGUCCAAAGGAGCAACCAAUGUUUAGGGAUCAAGUUAAAGAAAAUGAUGGGCUUAUACCACAGGGUUUUACUUGAGUUUGGUGCUUGGUUUUGUUAUUGGAUUUUGGGGAGUUUGUAGGACUUUGAUAUUCAUCAGGUCAUGGAGAUACACAUACAAGAAGUUCUUGAACUGUGUGUACGAUUGGCCUUAUGUGAGGGUGGCGUUGAUCAGGCGACGAGGAAUGAUUGAUGGGUAAACUAUAAGUACUCUUCCACAUAAUGAAUAAUAUUAUUACAGUUUUGAGUCUAUUAAUACGAUUGGCUAAGUGCACUUUUAUACAGAGAACUGCAGUAUAAUGAUAUGGCAUCAUUGCCAUCAUGGUUAAUAUCAUUUUGGUCUCUACAAUUGUCUUUAAAUUAUGACUAAUAUAUGUUGUGGGUUUUUUGAAUCUUUUUAGCUCGUGCAUCUACCAUUGGUAAGCAAUGCUCCCUUUAAACUGGAGAAGAAGGAGAUUGAAGAGUGCAAUUUGAAGUUAUAAUUUAGUGAAAGUGUUGUGUUUAAUUUAGUGGCCUUUUUGUUUUUGCAAUGACGUUACUUAGAUUAUCGUUGAGGGGUUAUAAAUUAGGUUCUUUUCAUCCUCCUUUACUAAGUGUACCAGUUGAUCCUUUUCAAUAAAUUUCUUUGAGAAACUUGCAAGAACUUACUAAUCAAUUAGUUACAGAGAGAACAAGCAGACAGAUAAUUCAAUAAAAGAUUGGAUACAUUAACAUUGAGAACAUCAUACAUUUAACAGAUAAUUCAAUCAAUAUAUCUCACAUCAUCAAUUGUUGAUUCUUUACAGUUCAAGUCUGAUCAGACCGCAUUAUCUUGACAACCGAGAAAAAACAAUUCGAAUUAUUAAAAUCUGAUUCGAGUAAGAGCUCACUACUGGUUUAAUUGACUAUCUCAUCAUUCAUUAAUUCUCAUUGCCACCUUCAGCCAACGUAAAAAAUGAGGGUUAUCGAGUGCACCAACUGGGCAAUUAGCAUGACAAACGUUGCAUGCAGCAUUGCAAUAACGUAAUGGAAACUUCAUUUUCGUACACAGCGCCCCCAAUAAUGCAUCGGUUCAGCUGCGCAAUGUUAGAAAAACAAAAUAAGGACCAUAUUUGUGGGUUCCAAUUCCAAAUCCAAUUGCCUUUAUAAAAACAACAUGAAAGUACAAACCAAAGACCCCAUUAAAUUUUUUCAGAUUCAUCAAAAACCCGAACAUAAAAGAACAAAGGUAUCGGAAGAGAACCAUGAGAUGAAAAAAAAAACACCUUUUCACCAAUUGAAUUAGAAGGUCCAGCUUCAGCAGCAGUCUCCAUCCCCAGUUGACCUAAACCAUGUAUCACUUCAAGUGCACUUGCAAAUCCCAUGAACACAGCAACUAGUAACCUUGCGAACAUAUAAGUUACUAAUUUCAAUACAAAAUUCGUUGUAUAAACACGAGAAGAAAAGCAAUGAAAUUUCAACAUAAUUAACAAAACACCAAAAACUCACCGAAAAACACAUGCAUGAGCUCUAAAAAGGUUUUAGAAAACAUGUUUUUGAGGCUAUUUACAGUGACCUUAUUCUUUAUGCCAACACCAAACUUUAAGUUCAUGUGGAAAUCUAUUUAUACGUCGAGUAGCACACAUCUGUAAAUAUUUUAUAUAGAUAGUGUGCAAAUUUUUUCUUUCAGUUUGUUGUAUGCUUAUGACGUGAUAAACAUAUUAAAAGUUUGCGAUUUAAUAUGAUUACUCACUCCCAAAUGUGAUUGUUAUUCUAUUAAUUCGCUAAAAUUUAAGGUUGUGUGUAUUGUUGUUUUUAAAACCUUUUGAUUAGUAAUACAAAAUUGAAUAUGAGCUCUUCCAUUUGGUAAUAUCUUAAACUGCUUAAAAUAUACAUCAUAAGCAACUAUGCUUACAAACUUCAGCACUGUUAGAAACAAUAGGCACUAAUCUACAAUGGUUUCUAAUCUUACUCAAAGCCUCAAAUGCACCCGUGUGUCACAUGAUUUGAAAUGUGCAAUUUAAUUAUGAUGUAUUUGAAUUGUUGUUUUCAAAUCUUGUGUCACACAAGUGUGAAUGUUUUAGAUUGAUGAAUUUUACUCAUCUAACGAGAUAUAAACUUGUUUCAUUCCAAGUGAGUAAUUAAGUAAAAAUAGUACUCAUGUGACCAGCAGGCAGCAAGGAUGUGAGACAUCUCAUAUGCAUGCAAUGGCUAUACUUACAAAACUAAACGAAAUGUCGUCGUCUGUUGGCUGUGUUAAGGCCAAAAGCGUGGUCGUUUUGAUCAGAACAUUUCCGGGGCAAAAAGCCAAGGAGAAAGAUUGAAAUUCUAAAGAGUGAGAGUAAAAGACUGGGGCGAUGUACAAGAAGAAGCCGCUAUGGGGCGAGGGAAUAACACCGAAGGCCUCGUCGGAAUCUGAACCAGACCGCCGUCCACCGCCGUCGGUUAUAUGCUAAAACCAAGUUAGCUAAAAUUCCUCAAGCGAGUCUAGAAACCCUCGCAUUAACAAUAAUCACACAAUAAACGAAUAGUCUCAAAUGAAUAAAACGCAAGGAACUGUUGUCGCUACAAGACCAAAGAUCAAUAAUAAUAUUCCAAUAGUAUUGUCUAAAUGACAGUGAUAUUCUUCAUUAACAACAAUUUAGCAUAAUUUCAAUGCAAAUAUGUUAAAGUCGGUCAAUUAUUGUGUGUCUUCUAAUCUAAUAACUCCAAGACUAAAUUUGUAAAGACCCCAGUCGCAGUGGAGUUAUUCGAAAUACGGAAAACUCUUGAGAACUUGCUUGAAGUAUCGCAUGGGGUCCAAGUCAAGACAAUACAUUUCUACUUGCAUCGUGUAAAUUUUGGUUUGCAGGUCCCCAUUGUUUUCAACUUGUAAUUUACUUUGAAACGUGAUUAAGGCAAAUGACAAACGAAAGUGGAGAAGAAUCAUCUAUGUUGUGGGAGUCAUUCAUCUUUCCUCUUAUUCUCCAAAACGACUUGUGACUGUUUGCAACUUGUCUAAAAAAUAAAUGUGAAUUUGUCUCUCAAGAGUUGAGGCGUUUUCCGUGUAUUUUAGUCUGGUCCAAAUAACGUGAAUUACACAUUCUGACUGUUUGCAACUUGUUUGGAAAAUAAAUGUAAAUUUGUUCUCUCAAGACGUUUUCUGCGUUUUUUAGCUUGAUCCAAAUAACGUGAAUUGCGUGCAUAUAUGUUGUUUUCUAAUUCCACAUAAAAAAAUAUAAUAAAAAAAAACCAAACAUACUUUUAGAACGUAAACAAAACGAAACAAUCAACGCGAAAUUGUGUUGUUUGUUGCAGGUUUUGUCAUUAUUUUGGAGACGAGUCAUCCUCUCAUUACUACACCUACCUACAAAAAAGUAGCUGGUCCACUCGCAGCUUUCCUUUUGAUCCUAAAUCAGUUCUUAUUAUAUAGUUUAUAAAUCAACUAACCUCUCCCAACGCACAUGAGACUUUUUUUUUAAUCACGUCUUUAAAAGUGUAUUGAUGCGCAUGCAAGAAACAUUUUUAUUAUCAUAGACACUACGUGCACCUAUAUCCCAAGUGCCGUUGAAACGACAUGUCAUUUGAAAUUGGCCGUACUUGUAAUUGCAUAGGAUCAUGAUUAUUGGCAUAAAAUUACUAUAACUCAAGUUCACUUCACAAUCACAAAUGAUCGUAAUUGCAUAGGAUCAUGAUCAUUUGGUAUUGGCAGUACUUGUAAUUGCAUAUGUAUGUUGAAACAACAUGUCAUUUGGUAUUUGCUGUUUUUUUUUAAUAAAAAAAACAAUAUUAUCUAUACUAAAAAAUAAAGGGUGGGCUUAGUCUAGCAAUAAUGUGGUUCAAAUUCGCUUUUGUCAAGAAUCGUACGUAAAACCUCUUACUUACAAGUGAAUAGGAAUACCACUAGACUGUACUAUUAAGUGACAAUAGUUGUUAAAAUGGAACAAUUUAACCAAAUAUUCAAAUAUGUUUUUCUAAUUGGCAAGAAUGGAAAUAGAAAACUUGGAAGCAAUUGUAAUUAACAAAAGGUUUGUGCAGAUGGAAUCUAACAGAAUUAGCUUUCUUACCACUGAUCAAUCCAAAAUAUUGUUAGGCAAAAGAGGAAGAAAAAUAAACGUAAAACCAAAAUGAAAUUAAAAUAUAAUGCAGAGCACCCAUCUCAACAUGUAAAGACAUGAUUGCCAAACCAGUUCACCUUCCAAAGCCAACCAAAAAAGAGAAGUAAAUUGUAUAUUCCACAUAUAUAUAUUAACAAUUUAGAGAGAGAAAUUACCAACCUGCAAACUGCAAACCACGUUCUGAUUCCUCCCCAUUCUUCAACAGAGCUGUCUCCAAAGGCCUCACCGUUAGCGGCUUAGCACUGCGAGUGAAAUAUUGUCAUCUGUUUGGUUGCUCAGGGCCUCACCGUUAGCGGCUCCAACUCCACAUCCAGGCACCGGUCAAAUUCGAACUCCCACCAUCUCAGUUACGCUUCUCUUCCUCUCUCUCUUCAAUCUCUUUCUCUCUCUACUCCCUAAACUCUUUCAUCUAUAAAAUUCUCAAAAUUCAACCUGCCUGAUGAAUUGAUUGAUGGUAAUUUUGAUUCAAUUUCAAACUUGUGAAGUUGCAGCUCCAAAAAGGGCAGCAACGCCUUGCCCUGCAACUCCAGCUCCAUCACCGACCACCUUCUUCAGCCUCCACCAACUUGUUAAUCAGGUUUGUGUUAAUCAGGUUUGAUAAAAUAAUGUUAAUCAAGAUUUUAUUAAUUUUUGGAUUAAAAUUUGGCACUUGGAGUGGAUUAUGGAGGUAAUUUUUGCUUCUUUGCUCAAUGUACUUCAAAGGCGUGUCGUCACUUUAGAAAGAUGAUCUGGUUUAGUGUUCUGGUCUUGAUCUUAAUGCAUCAUGCGUGUGCUGCUAUUGCCCCAACUUUUUGAACCUCAACUUGCUUAACUAGUAUGCAGUAAGUUUGGUCAUAGACUAAUGGAUUCACAAUUCAUCUCUUAUAUAUUGCAUAAGAAUAUCUGGGUCGCGUUUUCUGUGAGGUUUUAAACAAUCUAGCUUAUGUUUAUGUCAUGCGGAAUAUAUUUUUCUUAAUUGAAGCUUGCUGAAUGCUUGAUUGCGUUGUUGACUGCAGAAGUCGCCGUGUGACCCAUGCUUGACACACUGCUGCUUGCACUGGUGGCCCUUGUGCCAUGAGCACAUGGAGAUGAAGGGAUAAACCCCAAAGAUGUUGGGUUUAGUCACACUACAGUAUAGCACUGGUGAAUUGAAGGUAAGAUGCCUUAAAAAUAAGUUAUUUGAGUAUUAUAAAAUCAUACUUCUUCAGGUUUUUGUUAUAUGGAAACAUUACAUAUUUAUGGCAUCAACUUGUGUCCACCAGUGUUCUUUUUCUCAGCCGAGGAAAAUUGUUAGAAAUUGCAAAACUGUUGGGAUCUUUUGCUACCCUGUUUGAGUUCCCACAAAUGAAUCACAUUUUCUUGAAUCUUGCUCAUUGAGUGUUUGCAGCCAACCCUCUAAUUGUCAAUCUCUAUUUAUAUUCAAACUUGUACUUCUAUUCUUAAUACAUUCAAUUUAUCCUCAUAAACUAUUGCGGGAAUUAUAGUUCCCAGUGAUUGAUGUUGUGAAACAACUCUGCUGCUGUACUAGUUUUGUUUUCCUUCUCUUUUUUGUUUAUAAAGUUAACAAUUCUUAAAAAGAUACAACCCCUCGUUUAAAGCCACUACUGCUUCUCAAUGUCAAUCUUGUUUUUUCUAGCGGCCACAAUUGGUGAAAGGAAAUUUGCAACUGUUGUCCGUGGAUUAAAUUUUUAUUUUUAUUUUUUUUCUUGCUGCAGCUGCGGCUCCACUGUUAUUAACAGCCGUUAGCGGCGAUUGUUAGUCGCUGGGAGAAGGUGAAAUCUAUUGCUGAGCUACCUCAACUCUCUUCAGAACACAAGGCAGCCAGCAACCACUGAAAGCCAAUUGCCGUAUACACUCAAAAUGUUGCAGAGUGCAGGAAGUUAUGGAUUUUCUGAGUUCUGAAAGCGAAUUGAGAGUGCUGCAAAUCAGAAAUGAUGUUACACGAGGAUGUGUCUUCGGGGCCAAGGAAGCGAAGGACAACACAUUUUGUUGUGUAGUUAUUUUGUAAAGGCUGGUAGUAUUGCAUUCGUUUAUUCUUUUUCCUCAUUAUUGCAAUAAGAAGCCCAAGCUGAAGAGAAAUAACAGGUUGAGUGAUAUGAAUUAGGAUUUGUUGUUGUAGGUUCUUCUUGGUUGUGUCUCAUUUUUUGUCAUCCAUUUCAAAUGAGCCCAAAAAGAAGGGACAAGAAAUGGGAGUGUAAAGGAAAACUAGAACAAGAAAGAACACGUUCUAGUUUGGUUUUGUUGUUUCUUUGUUUUAGUUUGUAGUUAGAAGUUGAAAUCUGGUUAUAAGAAUUGUGAGUGUAAAGGAUAAGUGGCUUAAAUUCACCUGUUAUAUUUUUUUUGGAAUUGUUUCAUUGAUUUCUCAAAUUUUUCCUAAGAAUUGCUUAUAUUUAGCUUUGUACCUCGGUUCAGAAUUGCUUAGGUUUCUGCUACUUUGGUGUUGGAAUGAAGCAAAUAGCAUUUAAUAUUUUUUAUACAUCAUUGGUUUUUUUUUCUCUUCAUUAUCUUGCUUCUUAGUCUGACAUUGCACCAAACGCUUCACUAAAUCAGUCCAGCUUAGUCUAUUCUAAGCUAGUCCAGCUUAGUCUUAGAAGUUAGUCCAGUUCGAGAUAGUCUGGUGUAAUAAACAUACCCCAAAAGUAUUCAAGUGGGACAAACAUUACAUCAAUCACUUGAAUGAAAAGGAAUGAACUGAGUUUGAAUUACUUAAUUCUGAUGAAGAAAGUUUCUAUAAAAGGUAUAAAAAUAGUAAAGAAAAUGUCACUCCACUCAAUACAAAUUCAGUCAUAAAAAAAUUAUAAAUUAAACUCGUCAUUCGCGUGCCGAAUGUAUCACCAAAUAUCUUUUUAACUGAAUAGUUUUUUACUUCCAACUAGAAUUCUCCUUUUCAAUUGAAAUACGUAAGAUUGAGGUCCUACCAAGACUCGCAAGGCACCUGACAUUCUCGCUCCUUAAAAAAAAAUUGAAAUCGUUGAUUAAACCAACAUGGAGAACUCAAUCCACAGAUGACUCUUCCCUCCAUUAUCUCAUUAGACUGUUCUUUCCCAUUUUACCCCUCUUGUCAAGUCUCACUUUUAUUUACCAAUUGAGCUCCUCAUCUACUUUUUGUAGUAUAUGUAUAAUGUAUUUAGUAUUUGACGAGUUCCUUUCAAAUAGUUUUUUUUUUUUUUUUUUUUUUUUUUUUUUUUUUUCCAACCAUAUCAGAAUGACAGAAUGGGGUGGUGGAUUCUCGAAACUAGCUGUAGUGAAUGUUGAUACCAAAGUCUAAGCAUUGAGGUAAAACAUCACUUACAAAGCCACAACUUAUAUGAAAUGGGUUAAAAGUCACGCAGCGUCUUGAUCUAUGAAACGAAUGACAUGUGUUGAAAAAAAUUACUUGUCAUUCUUUUGUGGAAAGAGACGUCAUGAUGGUAAUGAACUCGUUCCAUGUAUUAGAGUACUAGAUUUUCAUCACCACAUACAUCAAUUUCCUCGUCACAAUCUUCAACAUUUGAGUUUAAAUCAGCAGUCCACAGAUGAGAUUGACCAAGCUUCUGCUUCAUUGCAAGUUUUCCCUUUCAGUUUCAGAAAGAGUUGUCAUUUUGGUUAAGUGAAUGACGAUAGGAACAUGACUGAGGGCAUUGAAGUUUAAAGCGGUAAAAUAGGAAAGAGAUGACCGAUGAGAUAAUGGAGGGAAAAGUCAUUCGUUGUUUGAGUUCUCCAUGUUGAUUUAAUAAACAAUUUCUAUAUAUUUUUUAUUUUUUUUUAUUUUUAAAGAAGUUGUUCCGAGCUAGAAUUGAUGAUGGGAUAAAAAUACCAAAUGCCUAGCGAGUCUUGUAAGCAAUUAUCAUAGCCUCAAACUCAUAAUUUGGAUCGUAAUCUUUGGAUUGAGGUCGGUGGUAGACUAAGAUAACUUAGUGGUUAACUCACUCAAUAAAUUGUUAAUUUUCUACGCCCCUCAUAUGAAGUCAUGAUAGAGAGCUCAGUGGUUGACUCCCCCAAUAAAUUGUUCAUUUUCUAUGCCCCAUAUAAAGUCAUGAUUGCUAUAUAUAUUUAGUCUUUGUAGUGUGUUGAUCUUUGGUCUUUGUAAAGUUAUUACUCUAGUUUUUCCAAGGAAUAUAAAGUAAGACACUCUCAAGUUUGAAAUACAUGCAAUAAUGCAUAACACCAUUCACUUUGUUUUUUCUUUAGUCUAUAACAAUAUUAGUUCACUCCGAUUCAGCACAUUACAGAUUCCGAACCUAUAUCAAAAGAACAAAAAACUAAGAUACAUGAAUUUUCUUUUCCUUUUUCCUACUUACAUAAAACCAGCAUGCAUAGUCUUGUUGCAUAGCCAACUGGGCAUACGCCUCUUUGUGGAUUGCAAGAUUUGAAAGAUUAAAUACAAUUAAAAUAAAAAAUCAACCAAAUCAAGGCAAAAAAAUAUGUAAUUUUGCGUCAAUAUUUCAACUAGUAAAAGUAUAGUCAAUACCUGGCCACUUGCAUUGAGCCAAGUCAAGCAGAUAUUGUGGGUUGGUUGGCCACUUUAACUUGCUUUUUCCAUGUCACUGUUUUAGCUACAAUUUGCUUCAACUAAUUGUGUACGUAUAUUCGAUGCAAGCUUGUUCGUGAAGUACUCAUACAUCCCCAUAUACUUGCACCUUCAUUGUGCUCCCAUCUUUUUUGAUAUUACAUUCCAUUAACAAACCCCAAAUAGUUGUGCUGCUUCUUGAUUAUUCAAUCGCCUCUACGUUGAUUUGAAUAUUAACAUGCACUUUUAUGCUUUGAUUGCGGUGCUAAUCUCAUUACAACAUUUCAACCCUUCUCUAUCCCUUGGAUUCGAUGAUAAAGUUUCUUCAGGAGAAGCACUUGGCCACGGUGAUGCUUCUGGCGGAGUGGUGAGGUGCAUAGAGAGGGAAAGGGAAGCACUCCUUGCUUUCAAACAAGGCCUCGUGGAUGAAUACAACCAACUCACUUCUUGGGGAUCUCCUUAUUGUUGCACAUGGGAAGGAGUUUUCUGCAGCAACCAAACCAAAGGUGAUCCUGUUAUCAAACUUGAUCUUCUACCAUAUGAUUUGCAAGGUAAGACGAUAAGCCCUAAACUGGUUGAGUUGCAGCAUUUGAAAUAAUUGAGCCUCUAUGGAAUUGACUUCAAUGGGAGCCAAUUUCCAGAUUUCAUUGGUUCCCUAUCCAAUUUAAGAUACCUCGAUCUCUCUGACGCUUCUUUUGGUGGUCGAAUUCCAAGUCAGCUUGGAAACCUUUCACACUUGCUACAACUCAAUCUUGCCUACAACCACUUUGCUACUAAUGUUGUGCAAAAUCUCAAUUCUUGGCUCCCUCGUCUUUCUUCAUUAACACAUUUGGAUUUGAGUUACAACAAUCUCAAUAGCACUUACGACUGGCUUGAAUCAAUUAAUAAGCUCCCUAAGCUAAGGGACUUUUCAUUAAGGGAUUGUUCUCUUCAUUCUCCUCCAAUGCCUUCCACUCUCUUUACCAUAAAUUCUUCUAAAUAUCUUGCUCAUGCUGAUUUCAGUUUGAACCGUCUCACAUCUUCUUCAAUAUUCGUAUGGUUGUCAGCCUACAGUACAAGCCUUAUUUAUCUUGACCUCAUUGGCAACAAUUUAACUGGUCUAAUUCCUGGUGUUAUUGGAAACAUGACCUCGCUUUCCUAUCUUGAUCUCUCUUUUAACCAAAUUGAAGGAUGGAAUCCGCAUUCUUUUGCUAGGUUAUGUAGUUUGCGAUCGUUGGUCCUCAGGAGCAACAGAAUGAGUGGACAAUUUUCCCAGUGGGUUCAAAUAUUAUUAUUAAUGUCUGCAUGCGCUCAAAACUCAUUAAAGUUUCUGGACCUCUCUUACAAUCAUCUUGUCGGGCCAUUUCCUAAUCUUAUAAAGUUUUUGUCGUUGAAAGAUUUAGAUCUCUCUGGCAAUCAAGUAAGUGGAAUAAUUCCUGAAACUAUUGGGAAAAUGUCUAAGCUCGAGAGUAUCGACCUUAGUACGAAUCAUUUGGAAGGGGUGAUUUCCGAAAGCCAUUUCUCACGACUUGCCAGAUUGAAAUAUUUGGAUUUGUCCUUUAACUCUCUAGAUUUAAACUUCCAUUCGGAUUGGAUUCCUCCUUUCCAAUUGGAUUAUAUAAUACUAGGUUCUUGCAAGGUAAGUCCAAAUUUUCCACAAUGGCUUCAAACUCAGAACUUUUAUUCUAGACUUGAUAUUUCAAAUGCUGGAAUUUUCGAUAUCCUUCCAAGUUGGGUUUGGGGAGGAAUGUCUCCUAAUUUGGCCUUCAUGAAUCUCUCACACAAUCAAAUUGGAGGACCAAUACUUGCAAAUUUGACAUUGGAGUUUGCAUAUUACCCUCAAUUACAUUUGAUUUCCAACAAAUUGGAAGGUCCAAUCCCUCAUUUCUAUCACAAGCGUCAUUCCUCGAUCUCUCAAAUAAUAAUUUUUCCGGGCCGAUUACUUGGUUGCGUGCACCUACCGCAUCAAGUUUAACCUUAAUCUUUCAAGUAACAAUCUCUAUGGACAACUUCCGAUUUCUUGACAUAUUUGGACAAUUUGGUCAUGCUCGAUUUGAGUUACAAUGCUCUUUCUGGAAAAAUUCCUGCCACAAUAGGCUCCUUAUUUCGGAUGGAAACGCUGAAGUUAAGAAGCAACAGGUUUUUGGGAGAAUGGCCUUGCUCCACUUGCCAAGUUUAUCAACGACAAAAGGACCGAAGAGGUAGAUGUGCCUCUUCCUUCAACAUCAUUCCUAGCAGCACUGGAGCCACCAAGGCCAUUGGAAAGUCAGGUUUGAGAAAGCUACAACAUAUGAACAGAUCAAGGCUGCACUUUACAACCAUUCAUACAAGUUUCUCAAUGGCUUUCCAAACCAUGCAUUAUUCCCAUUUGUUACAAGAGAAAACAUGACUUGGUGGCAAGGCUUUUUCCAGGUGAUCUUCAUGCUCAAUGUCUCUUAUGAUUAUUAUAUGCUCAAUCUUCUAGGAGAGCCUAUGAGAGUUGUAAAUUUCACAAACUUUGCUCAAAUUUGUAAAACUUGGGAGGCUUCUGUUUGCACCUAAUAUGUGCACCAUUUCACUUAUUUAGAUCAUUUGGGUAAAAUAUGACAUUUGAAGGAUUAAUGUGCAAGAAGGCUAACUUGGAAGAUAUUUAGCUAUCAAGUGGGAUAGUUUGGCAUUAAAAUAAUGUUUUUCCCUUUUUAUGUGGGUGGUGGAGGUUUGCCAAGAACUUUAUUUAAUCAAAACAAAUGUUUGCUUAUGGAUUGGAAGAUAACAUGCAGACAUGGACGUGGACAUAUGGAUGAAACAAGCCACCUUGCUUCUUUUAAAUGUUAGUUUAUUGCAAGUGGUGGAGACAUGUGGCGAAAACAUGUAGUAGAGAUACAAACUUGCUUAUUUUAAUAUUAUUUCAUAAUGCAAGCUGUAAAGGAGUUUCUUUCGGGCAAGUUCAAUAUUCUCAGCAAGGGCUCUUUCAGAUCUCUAUAUAAAGAAGCAGAGACAGAAAGAUUAAGGACACUCAAACAACCAAGCAAUCAACUCUACUCAAAUUAGCUCAUCAGCUUCCUUGUAGACAUUUAGCUUUAGCCAAGCAUCCAUUGCUUUCCUUGUUUAUUAGCUCUGCUGCUCACUAGUAGUAUCAAUCUCAUUUGUAGUUUAUAUACAACUCUUUUUCAGUCAUUUAAAUUAUAAGUGUUGGUACCAUAUAUUGGGCCUUGUCUUUGGGCCUCACCCCUAAGCCCAUGACAAAUGUAAAAGGGGAGGGAGCCCUUAUUCUAUAAAAUAGACUCGCCCUCACCCUCAUUGGGGAGGCCUCACAUCCAGAAAGAAACAAAGGGUCUCAGAUCCACCCCUCACAACAAUGGAGGGCAAUACCCUCUCAGCCAAACAGAGAGCAAAAUGGCAAAGGUUGCAUCCACGGAGAGCUCCUUUGCCAAUCUAUUGUAAUCCAUACAGUAAAUGGAAUCAACAUCAGUGUGGACGUAGCCCAAACAUUGGGGUGAACCAUGAUACAUCUUUGUGUUCUUGAGCGUUUGUGUAAUUCACGACCGGAUUUACGUUGGUCCAAGAUCCUCCGGAUUUUGUGCAUCAACAUUUGGCGCCGUCUGUGGGGAACGACACGAAAAGCUAUGUCGGUUAUCUUUCAUUUUUUUUAUCAAACCUCCACCGUGAAUCUGCACAACCCAAGAACCCAGAACCUCCCUCCUUGGGCUUUUUUCAGAAAACAUUCACUAAACUCCUAAACUCAACCACAGUUUCUUCUCCCCCUCUUUCUACCCCUUCGUUAAGUCUCUGAAGCAUUCGCUUCUUUGCGUGCUGCAGAGAACCUCCUGCUUCACUCACCUUCCCCGCUUCAAUCCCCACCGCAUCGCAUCGGGAUUAUCAGGUGCUCCCAUGGCUUCCACAUAGAAGGAUGCGCAUGUUGCUGCUACAAAAACCCUCGGACCCACAGAGAGAUGAGAGUAGAUCACAAUCGGAGAAUGGCUACCGCUCAAGCGACGCCCGACGGCGGCGGGCGCCAAGUAUUGGAGUCUAUGUACUCGAUGAUUGUGUUUGCAUCUCGAGCUCAUCUUUGUCUCUCCUCUAGAUUUCUAUUUCACCAUAGAGUUCGGCAAUCUAUUUAUUGAGCAUGUGUGUUUUCUUGGCAUUGUUGUGCUCCUGAACAAGAUCCUCCAGCUCUAAUUGCUCCUCAUCCUCACUUGUCCCACCUUUAAAGAUGGUUGCCUUCAACCCGGCAGCAUCCCCGCAGGAUUCUGGCCUGCUGGAAAGAUUGGCUAUUUCACUAUUUUUCUGCUCCAAAAUUUCUUCCAGGUCUCGUACUGCAAGAAUUAAAUCAGAAUUUGAUUCUUGCGUCUUCUGGAGCUGUAAACGGAGAUUGAAAUUCAGACUUUAGUUUCUCACAUUCCGCCUUGAAAGAAUCUCGUUCGCCUGCGUUGAGCUCUGCGACGCCGCCACCGUCGUCGACGUGUAUCGGCUGAUCCAGUACGACAUCUCUGGUGCUCCUUUCGGAUCUCGGCUCGCCAACCUCAACCACCAUGCUGGCUCUUUGAACUUCGCUUCUGACUCUGAUCUCUCCCGCACUGUCCUCAUCAUCCCUUUACACGAACUCAACAUCUCCUUCGUCACUGAAUACAAUACCCAGAAGCAGCCUCUGGGAGGUUUGCUGUUUUUGCUGUGGAUUUCAGCCAAGGUUGCAAGAUAGCCAACUGUGAAAUCCCGUUCCUGGAUUUCAUUAUUAUAAUCUACGUAUUGGUAUUACAGAGAUUUCAUAUUAUUUUUUUUGGGAAAUUAAUUAUUUAAAAUCCGUAGACCAUUCGAGGUCACAAUUUACAUUGUUGAAUAGAUUUCGAGACUACGAACGCAUAGGCAAAAACCGUUUGCGAGUUCGGAUUAUAACGGUACAAUUGCGGACAUCUGAAGUUGUGUUUCAAAACUAUAGAUUUUAAUUUUCUUUAAAACUCCCCGUGGGAAUGAUGACCCAAAAAAAAAAAAAGGGGAGGACCAACCCAAUUAUGUAUGGGAGAGUUAAGGGAGCCAAUUAGAAGGGAGGAAGGGAGCUAAUGAAAAGGAGAAGGGGAGGGCGUCGGAUUGGGCAGCGAGAAAGAGGAAAGAAUAGAGUGCAGGAGGGAAAGGAGGAAAAUGGGAGGACGAAUCAGGAAGAAGGAUAGGGAGGGAAAUGAGGGAGUGAGAAGACACACAAUCAACCCCCUCUUCCCUUGACCCAUUUCCAAACCGUGACCCGUUUUUAGAAUUUGGAAAACCGUGUGUUUUUCUGACGGUUUUAAGUCAUUUUUCAGGUGAAUUUAGGACCCCUCAUCACCACUAAACAUCAUCACAACCUUCCAUCGUUCCAUUCUAGCCAAAAUAGACAAGAAUUGGUUGAGAUUUCACGAAGAUUGAAAGUGUGGGUGUCGCGACCCCCUUGUUCGAAAUCCACCAAAUCUGAAACGAUUUGGAUCAAAUAGCAGCACCCCUAGACUUAUCUUGAGGUCUGGAGCAAGGCCCAAACAAUUUUAGGGGCGGCGGUGCACCGGAGGUGACGAAUCGAGAACACCAAUUUCUAGGGUUUCCAGCGAGUUUGAGGGAAAUUGGAGCUUUUCCCGGCCAAAUUGGACUUGGCCACAUGUAUAAAACUUGCUCUACUCAUUGAGAUCUUCAUUUCUGUAAAUUUUGGUAAUUUUUAAAAAUAGUUGAAUUUUCCGGCAAGUCGGGGCGGCGCGUGUGGCGGAGGCCUGGCUAGUGGGCUGACGAUGUUCUUUUAAGUUCAAAUAGAUGCCUUUAUUUCAUAAUUAAUAUCCGUAUGACGUAAUUUGAUUGUUUGGACUUAGUUUCAUUACGAUACCUUAGUUGGUCAAAAUAUGAAUCAACGAUCCGACCGUUGGAUCGUCACCAAACCGUAAUGUGUGAUAGAGCAUAAUAUUUGUGGGUCAUAGAAACUUACGGAUCGGGAGUCCGACAUAUGGAUCUUCCCUAAUGUUGUAAAAUUAAUCGUUAACCGUCACCUAAGUCUAGCAAUUGGCGGAGAUCCGACCGUUGGAUCGCGAUGAGAAUUUAGUAUAUGGUUCUAUGAUCAUAAUGUGGACUUUGGGAGGUUAUGGAUCGGAAAUCCGAUAUACGGAUCUUCCGGAUCGAAUUUGCAGGGUCGUGGACCUUACCAUUACCCGAGAGUUGACUUUUGGUCAAUAUGUCUCGAAAUGUUUUAAAUACUAAAUCUAGUACCACGGGAUACGAAGUUAAGUCUAACGGGGUCACAUUGGUUAGAGAGUGACUGGAAUAUAUGUGAUGUAAUUACUACCUUAAUUUCUUAUAUUAAUAUCAUUUGUGAAUAUGAUUUGGGUUAUAAAUGACAUUUAUAUUGAAAUGUGAAUUAUAUAUAUAUAUAUGCCAUAGACCUAUGUUUAUUAAAUGUAAAUUCUAUUGAAGUGUUUUCUAACCAUUGAUCUAUUUUCAUUAAGUAUGAUUUAACUUGUGCAUUGGAAAUAUGGUUUGUAUUGUAUAAUUGGAUUGAUGUAAUAAAAUGCGAGGGCUAAUAGUGGACCGUUAACCCAUUGUCAUGGGGUUUGUUGCUUCGAAACAUGUUUCACCCCUCGUGUCAUUAUUUCAUUCUCGUUUCGUUGAGUCUUUGUAACUUGAGUAACUUGAUUCAUGUCUUGGUUCAUUGAGUGGUGUUAUACAUUAUACUCCGCGAUUCUGUUGAGUGAUGGUCCGGAAUCAUGUCCUGGUUUGGAUUUCGUUGAGUGAUGGUCUGGAAUCCCUUCUACUCCGCGAUUAUGUUGAGUGAUGGUCCGAAAUCGUGUCCUGGUUUGGAUUCCGUUGAGUGAUGGUCCGGAAUCCCUUCUACUCCGUGAUUAUGUUGAGUGAUGGUCUGGAAUCGUAUCCUGGUUUGGAUUCCGUUGAGUGAUGGUCUGGAAUCCCUUCUACUUCGCGAUUCCAUUGAGUGAUGGUCCGGAAUCGUACCCUGGGUUGGAUUUCGUUGAGUGAUGGUUCGAAAUCCCCUUUGUUGUCUUGGCUCCGUUGUGUAGUUAGAAAUCUCGUUCUUUUGAGAUGUAGGCUUCAACCAAACUGUGUCGCUCUAACCCUGCAUUUCGAUGAGUGGUAUGUGAUAUUGAUGAUGCGAUGGUUGGCAUUAUUGUUCGAUGUGAUUAUGGAAUGAUGUUGGCUAUGGUUAUUGUAAUUAUGAUUAGACUCGUUUACUAUUGUGACUAGUGAAUAUGAUUGUGCUCCGUCAUUUGUUCUUUGUAAUAUUGUUUGAUGCAUUGUGAUAUAUUGUUGAGACAUAACGUUCUAUGUGAUGAAUAUUCGAUUGUAGUGAAAUGACGAACUACGAAUGGCUUGAUCCCUGUUGAGGGUACGUAGGCAGUCUAACGAGGAAGUUAGAUGCAGCCAUAAAGUAUAUGCAAAAUUAUUAUGCAUCUGGAUCUUGAAUUAUAUUUUGUACAUAUCAAAAAGGCGGGGUACGUUGAGUUAUGUGCAUUUAGUGAACUCACGUGUCGAUCUUUGAUGUAUGUUGGGAUCGGGGCGUGACACCAAAUUUCUACUCAAAUGGGGCUUCAAAACUGUCGCCUUUGAUAUCAGAUACGUCGAUAGAUUCGCAGCAAUGCCUUCAAGCUUCACGGUGUAGUUGCUGACUCAAAAGGUCCCUUCCAAUUCAUCUGCAGAAUCGGAUUUCGUUUGCGUUGUUCUUCUGCAGGAACAUUGUUCUUGCAUCAAGAUCCAUUUACCAAGUAUAUGGAACUAUGUUAAGAUUUGUAAGGGGAGCUCUCAUCUCAGGCUCUACCCUCAUCCCCGGCUCUACCGGCACCCAGGACAGGAUGAAUGCACCAAUUUCAUGAUGGCAAGCCCAGGCAUCUACCUGGUGUAGUAAAGUCUACUAAUCGAAUUCAUACAGCUCGAAUUACUGCAAUUCAGCCCAACAAUCGCUUCGUGUUCAGAAAUGUCAGCCUAGAAGCAAUCAGAGGAAACCAUAACCUUCAACCAGACCGACAAUAGAGAGGAAGAAUAUAAGCUUUCUCAUAACAAUUCUAUUAUUAUUCCCUGCCAUUUGCUAAAAGAAAAAAAGAAAAGAGCUUUACUUUUGUUUUGUCUGCCAUCUGCCAAAAGAAAAAAAAAGAGCUUUACUUUUUACAUCAUUAUGUUUUCUUAAAUUAUUUAUUUAUUAUUUUAUUAUUUUGUGAUAUUUAUCACAUGAUCACUAUCAACAACGUGGCAAAGCACAUCACGCAAAGUUUUAUUUUUAAAGUUGUGGUGAUGUAUCACUGGCUCCUGCACACUGCACAAUACAGAUAUGUAUGUUUAAAUAUUUUAUUAUAAUGUUAAUAGUCUUUCGGCACAUCACUAUUCCUAUGCCAUGUGACAUAAUCAGACAUCACAUCCUUUCAUUUUGUGGUAUUCACCUCAUAAUUAUCACACAUAUUUACAUAAACAAUAUUUAUUCAUGGCCUAGAAUAUUGUGACUGCCAUUAAACUAUGUCACUUAUACAACAUGUGAUUUACCACACGACUGAAUAAAUUAUUUAUUUAUAGAAGGCACAUAGUACAAUAUUUUGCCUUGACAAACUUUGUCAAUUUGAUUUAUUCAGUAUACGGUCAUACUUAUACUGUCAUUUAUUGUUAUGAAUUAUUGAGCAACUAGAUCCACUGAUCAACAUUAUUGCUGAUUAAAGAAGCCUACCGACACUAUUGAUCAGCCUAUGAAUCACUGAGCCACAUGCUUAUAGUGACAAAUAUUUAGUCCGAACAAUGAUCUCUUGUCUAAUCCGACAAGCGGACUCUCCCUCACCCUCAUAACAAGGUCUCACCUUCACUAAGAGAUCCAAAGAGUCUCAUAUUCAUCCUUCACAACAAUAGAGGGCAAUACCCUCUCAGCCAAACAGAGAGUAAAAUGGCAAGGGCUGCAUCCACAUAGAGCUCCAUUGCCAAUCUAUUGUAAUCCAUACAUUCAUACAGUAAAUGGAAUCAACAUCAGUGUGGACGUAGCCCAAACAUUGGGGUGAACCACGAUACAUCUUUGUGUUCUUGAGCGUUUGUGUGAUUCACCGCCGGAUUUACGUUGGUCCAAGAUGAGUACUGGUUCAAGACAUCUAGUCACUUCGACCUGUACAUGGAUUGGAUUUGAAGUCUCCAGCCAAAAGACUCUCUUGCCUGAAGACUUGGGGGACUCCUGUUGGUACCAUAUAUUGGGCCUCACCCCUAAGCCCAUGACAAAUGCAAAAGGGGAGGGAGCCCUUAUUCUAUAAAAGGGACUCUCCCUCACCCUCAUUGGGGAAGCCUCACAUCCAGAGAGAAACAAAGGGUCUCAGAUCCAUCCCUCACAACAAUGGAGGGGAAUACCCUCUCAACCAAACAGAGAGCAAAAUGGCAAGGGCUGCAUCCACAGAGAGCUCAUUUGCCGAUCUAUUGUAAUCCAUACAUUCAUACAGUAAAUGGAAUCAACAUCAGUGUGGACGUAGCCCAAACAUUGGGGUGAACCACGAUACAUCUUUGUGUUCUUGAGCGUUUGUGUGAUUCACGGCCGGAUUUACGUUGGUUCAAGAUCCUCCGAAUUUUGUGCAUCAACAAUAAACAAUCUACAAUACCAGUAAUUUAUUUUCCUCUGUCAUUCACACUUCCAGUGACCUUGUGAUUUAGUUGUUCUUACAUUUCUCCAUAUAAGUAAAGUCCUUAUCCUUAAGGCAAAGAAAGAACCUUAAUUUGAGCCACUCCCACUCAAUCGCACAAUCUCUUGGUUUGAAGUCGAAUUCAGGUGCAGCCUCAAUCAUUCAAAACCCGUUUACUAGCGGCAUCUAGUAGUGGCACGCCCGCACCCACCAAUUUCAUGUUUGAGUAAAUUCCCAGCAUGCCCGCGAGACUCAUGUCGAAUUUAGGGAGCAAACAGUAUCUAAAUAUUUUAAUUUAAAAUGUUAAUUUUGAAUUUAUGAAAUAAUUGUUAGGUUCUAUGCGGCGGAUGUGAGGGCGGAGAGUUUCGAGGUGUUUGACUAGUGCAAGUGGAAGGUGGUGGUGACGGCGAAUCCGACAGUGAUGGUGGAGCCGUUCGUGAAGGAUUUUCUGGGCGGGGACAAGGUGCUGGGGACGGAGAUCGAAGUGAAUACAAAGACGAAGAAGGCGACCGGGUUUGUGAAGAAGCCCGGGGUUUUGGUGGGGAAAUUGAAGCGUUUGGCGGUUCUCUCGGGAUCGGCGAUCGGAGCUCCGAUCAUGACUACAUGUCACUUUGCAAGGUUGGAUACUUCACAAAUUUAUCUAAUUAUUUGAUACUUUUGUUGUUAAUUUUGUUGUAGUAAAUUUCAUGCGACCCAUAAUCUUAACAAUCCCAACAACCAGCCAGCUAAAAUAUUGAUCCCUGUGUGGUCUAUUCAAGAAAACCUAAUUAGAAAUAAAGGAAAAAAAAGGAAAAUAAUUAAGGCAGUUGUUGUUCCAAUUAAAUUGGAGUAAACAAUCAUAACAUACUUUGUACAAUUGUUACUUUUCUAGUACACCACAACUAUAUAUAUAUAUAGCGUUUUAAUAAAAUUAUAAGUAAAAUAUAUAGGUAAUUGUUUUAUGAAAUGAAGUAAUUGACACAGUAAUAAAAAAAAAUUAUGAAAUCAUGUGAAUAACAACUUCUAACACAUUCAUUACAUGAAAAAUGUCGAAUUUUGACUUUUGUAUAAUAUUUAACAGUUAAAAGCCUCAAAGGGGAUACUCCGAAAUAUCAAAUAAAUCCUGUGAAUAACAAUUUCUAACACAUUACACAUUCAUGACAUGAAAAAUGUCAGAUUUUGAUUUUUGUAUAAUAUUUAACUGUUAAAAGACUCAAUGUAUUUGAUACUCCGAAAUAUCGAAUAGAUCAUGUGUAACAACUUCUAACACGUUACGCAUUCAUAACAUGAAAAAUGUCGGAUUUUGAUUUUUGUAUAAUAUGUAACUGUUAAAAGACUCAAAGUAUCCGAUACUCUGAAAUAUCGAAUAGAUCAUGUGCAACAACUUCUAACACGUUACGCAUUCAUAACAUGAAAAUGUCGGAUUUUGAUUUUUCUAUAAUAUUUAAUGGUUAAAAGACUCAAAGUAUCCGAUACUCCGGAAUAUCGAAUAGAUCAUGUGUAACAACUUCUAACACGUUACGCAUUCAUAACAUGAAAAAUGUUAGAUUUUAUUUUUUGUAUAAUAUUUAACGGUUAAAAGACUCAAAGUAUCAAAUACGACGGAAUAUCAAAUAAAUCCUGUGAAAAACUUCUAACAUAUUAUACGUUCAUGACAUGAAAAAAUUCGUAAAGUGAACGGCAUUGUUUAUAUUUCAUAUGCUAUACAUAUGAGUAUCAUUGUUAUUUUAUAUCUUCUGGUAAACUUCAAAUUCUCGUUUUCUAUGGAGUUAUGUCGGUACAUUUUUUGUCACUAUAUGUUUGUGGUAAUUAAUAUUGAGCAGAAGGCUACAUGGUGCCGCCUAGCAAAUCAGCCCGUCCAAUUUCAAAGAACCGUCUCAAAAACCAAAUAAAUUAGUAUUGAUAUUUGUGGAGAGUAGUUUAGGUAGUAAAUUUGAGUUUAAAGAGAUAUUGAUAGUUUAAUUAAAAAUGAUAUGAGUGUAGAGGUAAGUUAUAUGAGUUCAAAUAAAAUUUUCCUAAUAAAUUGGUAUUGAAUUCACCAUUCACGAGCUUUAAAUGUAAGGCAUUCAUUUAUAAGUGAAGAUAAAACAAAACUACAUCGUAGUACUAAGUGUCGUGUGAAAUUAAUCAUAAAUUAAAAUCUAAAUUGCUGAAUUAAUCAAAAUUAAGUAUUGAUAUUGACUACAUAAUGAUCAAAGAUUGACAACAAUACAAUCAAAUAUUGAAGACAUAUACAAAAUUGGCCGUUUUAGUAACUAAAAUUUGAAAAAUAAUCAUUUUAGUCAAUUUCUCAAAUAACUUGACAUUUAAAAACAUAAGGAAAAAAUAGAGAAAAUAAUGAAACAUGAGUAAUGAUAUGAAUGUAGUUUGUUUGUUUGGUUGUUUAUACUCCAUUUCAUCCAUGUAACUUCACUUCAAAUUCAUAAACAAUGUAGUUUCUUCAACUUACGACGUUGUUAAAACGAGAAGAACUAGGAAUAAGAAUUAUUCGGCCCAUCCUUGUCUAUCAUUUUUGGACGAGGAAAUAUUGGAUGUCAUUGAAUAUAAGGCAUAAUCUUUAAAUGAUCUCUCAAAAUUUAAUUUACAUUUCAUUCCAGCGUAACUGCAAUGCUUAAACUAAUGAAAAUAGCUUGAAAAUUAUAAGUUUUAAACUACAACCAAUGCUUAAACUAAUGAAAAUAACUUGAAAAUUUUAAGUUUUAAACUACAACCAAAUGAAACGUGUAAAAAUAAACCGAAACGUCGUCGUCUGUUGGCUAGAGUACCAAAAUGUCGUCGUUGUGAGAGUAAACGACUGAGGCGAUGUACUUGAAGAAGUCGCUAUGGAGUGAGGGGAUAACGCCGAAGCCCUCGUCGGAAUACGAACCAGAGCCGCCGUCCACCGCCGUAGGCGAUCUGGUCAACUCGUUGACCCGGCAGAGAGUGUACCGCGAGGUCGUGCUCGCGCUCCGGAGCGGCCUCCGCGAUGUUCGCGCCGAGUUCUCCUUCCUCCGUGUCCGCGGCCUCCUCAAGUUCCUCCGAUCGGUCGCCGAGUCCGAUUCCACCAUCAACCUCUUCUCUCAGACACAAUCGCUUCCUGAGCUUCAAGGUAAUCAGAAAAUUACAAAAUUCCUAGUUUCUACUUAAUCUUUUGUUUAAUUUUUCUGAUUGUUGAAGUUGAUUUAAUUAUCGUUUUACAGUCGUGCCGGUUCUGUUUCGGCACUCGCUGAACGAUUCGGACGAUGAGAUCGUACGGAAUUUGGAUCACAUAUUCGGCGUCGAGCCGCUGAAGAUCACAAGCCCUUCAACCGAUUCCGAGGUUUCGCUUGCGCUUAGGGUUUUGGAGGGUUGCUGCCUGCUCAUCCGGACAGCGCGGUUUUGGCUCAUCAGCACUAAAUAGCUUAACCAAAAUCUAUGGAGGUUGGAUUACUGAGAUGAGAAUGCAGUUUUUUGUAAUUGGGUUUUUGUAGGUUUUGAUGAAUAUAUUACCGACUUGCGGCGUGAUUGAGCAAGGAGCUUGUUUGGAUGCUUUGAUUGCUAUUAUGUUGGAUUCAUCAGCUAAUCAAAUGGUAAAGCUUCAAACUUCAGUUUCGAGUCAAAUUUAUGGAGUUUAAUUUUUGUAGAGAUUUUAUAUAAAGUUUGAUUCAAUUUCCUCGAAAUCUCAUGGAAUACGUGAGAUAUGUGGAUGCUUAAAAUACACUACGAAAUCUUUCCAAUUCCCUUGAAUUCUUCAACUUUUUAAAAUUCUUUAAAAUCAAUUUCUAAUUGAAUACACCUAAAAUGUUAUAAACUUCUUUAAAAUUUUAAUUGAAUACACUCGGAUUUCUAAGCAUUUCAAUAAACUAUCUCAGAAUCUUGAUUGAAUACACUUCGAAUUUCAGAAGAUAACUUAGAAUCCUGAUUGAUGAUUGAAUACCCCUAGAUUUUUUUAAAGAAUUAAAAUCCCACAAAAUCCCAAUUGAAUACACCCCUUAUUGUGAUUGGUUUCGGAGCGGUGAUGGGUUUUUUUAUGAUUCGAUUGUUUUCUUGUGUGUAAUGUGUAGGAUUUUGAGGCUUUUCAUGGUAUUGAGGAAGUUGCAGGGCUCAAAAGGGACAAACAAGUUGAUGAGAAUCUCAGGUUUUGAUUUAUUUCUCUUUGCUUGCUUGAUUCUCGUUGUCAUGAGUUGUGAUUUAAAGCUCUAUCUGGAUAAAUUCUGGGGUAAAUGUUAAAGUUUUGGCAAAAAUAGGUUUGUUCAUCAGACAAUUCUUAAUAGAAUCUCGUCUUUCCUUUUUUUUCUAGGUUUUUAGUUAAGCUAUGUCCUGUUGCUCAUUUUCAUGUUUGUCAAUUGAGUAACGAGGUCAUCUGCUAGGAAUUAAUUAGAUUUGAGGAUUCUGAACACUGGUGUGCCUAGGCUUGGUCCUUUCUUUGCUAAUAUAAUGCACACUGAAGAAAAACACUGUUGCUUUUGUUUAGGUUGAAGUGGAGAGUUCUUGCUGCUUUUGAUUGGUCAUGUAAAUGGGAGGGAUAGGCCACCGUUGGCAACCGUACAUGAGGACAUAAGACAUUUUUGGGUGAGAAAUCUGCUUCCUUGAUAUGGCCAGCGAGUCAGUUUGGUUCGACCCUUGAUCCGGAGCAGAGACUAACUGCUCAUCACAUCCAAGCUCGUCGUGUGAUAGUGUCCUUAGAUUUGUACUGAAUCUGAACAUAGAAAGCACCCUAGGCAUUUUGUUUUGUUUUUCUUUGUAUUUCAGUGAAAUACAAUCAGUAAUUUGUAAGAAAAUGGUCGUCUUCAAUGAAAUGUUUGCCUUGACAUUUUGUGCAGUAUAAUUUCAAAAUCAUACAACAUUCUACGGAGUGCCAUCACGGUAGCUAAAAUUCCUCAUGCGAGUCUGUGCCGACAUUCACCUCUCCCAGACCCUGCGUAAAGCGGGAGCCUUGUGCACUGGGUACGACCUUUAUACAACAUUCUACGGAGUGCCGUCACGGUAGCUAAAAUUCCUCAUGCGAGUCUGGAAGCCCUCGCAUUAACAAUAAACGAACAGUCACAAGUGAAUAAAACGCAAGGAACUGUUGUCGCUAAAAGUAAAAGACCCAAAAUCAAUAAUAAUAUGAGAGUGUUCAUGAAAAGAGCUUGGGUUAAAUUUAAUUUAAUAAAAAAAUCAUGCUAUAAUUUUAUUUAAUGAAAAAAACUUAAAUUUUAAUGAAAAACCCUUAACUUUUAAUAAAGAGGACAAAAGAACUUAAAUUUUAAUAAAAAUGACAGAAUUUUAAUAUUUAAAAAAAAAACUUGACGUGCCUAGGUGUGCGCGUCCAUCAUAGACAUUAUUUAUGAAAUAAUACUACACUGUUUAUGAAACUUAACAGUACUAUACUAUUUAUGAAACUGCAGUGCUAUACUAUUUAUAAAACUAAACGGUAUUACACUAUUUAUUAUCCAGAUUCAUAAAUAGUAUCUAGUUCUUGGUUCACUUUUGUAAAUAGUGUUUAGUUAUUGGAUCCUAUUUCAUAAAUAGUUUAUAGUAAUUGGUACAGUUUCUAAAUAGUGUCUCAUUUUUUAUCUGGUUUCAUAAAUAGUUUCUCAUUUUUUAUCCAAUUUCAUAAAUAGUGUCUAAUUCUUGGUCCACUUUCAUAUAUAAUGUCUAGUUCUGGAUCAUGUUUCAUAAUUAGUGUCUAGUUUUUAGUCUAGUUUCAUAAAUAGUGUAUAGUAAUUGAUACAAUUUCAUAAAUAGUGUCUCUUUCUUGGUCUUGUUUCAUAAAUAAUGUCUUUUUCUUGGUCCAGUGUUUUAUAUUGAACUCUUUCAAUUAUUUAUAUUUUCUAAUUAAACAAAGAACCAAUUAGAAUUGGAGGUAAUUGAAAAUUCAUAUGGUUCACAACUCAAAGUCUUUUGUUGGAGUUCCUUAUGUUAUGUUAAUGAACUCCACAAGUUCUCUCUAAGAAUGCUUUUAAGUUGGUCAAUUAUUGUGUGUCUUCAAAUCUAAUAACUCCAAGACUAAAUUUGUAAAGACCCCAGUGGCGAUGGAAUUAUUCGAAAUACCAGAAACUCUUGAGACCUUGCUGUCAAUAACCUUGAAGUAUCGCAUGGAGCAUGCAUUUCCACUUGCAUUGUAGAAAUUUUGAUUUGUUGGUCCUUCUUGUUCUCAACUUGUAAUUUACUUUGAAGUGUGAUUAAGACAAAUGACAAACGAAAGUGGAGAAGAAUCAUCUAUUUUGUUGGAGUCAUUCAUCCUUCCUCUUAUCCUCCAAAACGACUUUUGUGUUGAUUGUUGCAGGCUUUGUCAUUAUUUUGGAGAGACAAGUCAUCCUUUAAUUACUACACCUACCUACAGAAAAGUAGCUGGUCCACUCACACAUGUUCCAUACUUGACCAUUUAAGUCAAUAACCUUGAACUAUCGCAUGGAUUUCCACUUGCAUCGUGGAAAUUUUGGUUUGCAGGUCCCUAUUAUCAUCAACUUGUAAUUUCCCUUGAAGUGUGAUUAAGAUAAAUGACAAACGAAAGUGGAGAAGAAUCAUCUAUCUUGUAAGAGUCAUUCAUCCUUCCUCUUAUCCUCCCAGAAUGACUUUUGCUUUUUGCAACUUGUGGAAAAUAAAUGUGAAUAUAUCUCUCAAGAGCUAAAGCGUUUUCCGUGUAUUUUAGCCUAGUCCAAAUAAUGUGAAUUUCGCAUUUUGACUGUUUGCAACUUGUUUGGAAAAUAAAUGUAAAUUUGUUCUCUUAAGAGUUGAGACGAUUUCCGCGUUUUUUAGCUUGGUCCAAAUAACGUGAAAAAUUUAUGGAGUUUAAUUGAUUUGUAGAGAUUCCAUAUAAAGUUUUGAUUCAAUUCCCUUGAAAUCUCAUGGGAAGACAUGACAUAUUUGGAUGCUUAAAAUACAUCUCAAUUGAAUACACCCCCUUAUUGUGAUUGGUUGCGGAGCGGUGAUGGGUUUUUUAUGAUUGGAUUGUUUUCUUGUGUGUACUGUGUAGGCUUUUGAGGCUUUUCAUGGUAUUGAGGAAGUUGCAGAGCUCAUAAGGGACAAGCAUGUUGAUGAGAAUCUCAGGUUUUGUUUUAUUUCUCUUUGCUUGCUUGAUUCUCGUUGUCGUGAGUUGUGAUUUGAAGCUCUAUCUGCUUAAUGUCUUUUGAAUUAGUCCUCUUGAUUAACGAACAGUCACAAGUGAAUAAAACGCAAGGAACUUUUGUCACUAAAUGACCAAAAGUAUUGUCUUGAUCAAAUGACAGUGAUGAUUCUUCACUAACAGCAAUUUAGCAUAAUUUCUAUCCAAAUACAUUUAAGUCGGUCAAUUAUUGUGUGUCUUCUAAUCUAAUAACGCCAAGACUACAUUUGUAAAGACCCCAAUUGCAGCGUAAUUACUCGAAAUACCGGAAACUCUUGAAAACUUGCUGUCAAUAACCUUGAAGUAUCGCAUGGAGUAUCGCAUGGGGUCCAAGACAAGACAAUACAAUUCCACUUGCGUCGUGGAAAUUUUGGUUUGCAGGUCCCUAUUAUCAUCAACUUGUAAUUUACUUUGAAGUGUGAUUAAGACAAAUGACAAACGAAAGUGGAGAAGAAUCAUCUAUCUUGUGGGAGUCAUUCAUCCUUCCUCUUAUCCUCCCAAAAUGACUUUUGACUUUUUGCAACUUGUUUGGAAAAUAAAUGUGAAUAUGUCUCUCAAGAGUUGAGGCGUUUUCCAUGUAUUUUAGCCUAGUCCAAAUAAUGUGAAUUACGCAUUCUGACUGUUUGCAACUUGUUUGGAAAAUAAAUGUAAAUUUGUUCUCUCAAGAGUUAAGACGAUUUCCGCGUUUUUUAGCUUGGUCCAAAUAACGUGAAUUACACACAUAUAUGUUGUUUUCUAAUUCCACAAAAUACAAAAAGACUUCUAAAAUGUAAACAGAACAAAACAAUCAACGCCGAAUUGUGUUGAUUGUUGCAGGCAUUGUCAUUAUUUUGGAGAGAAGAGUCAACGUCUAAUUACUACACCUACGUACAGAAAAGUAGCUGGUCCACUCACACAUGUUCCAUACUUGACCAUUUGAGUCAAGACAACUCAGUGUGUGGAUCGUAUUGUGAACUAUUACGUACUCACCCAGCCUUAUAAGACACUCGCAUCUUUCCUUGUGCUCCUAAAUCAAUUCUGAUUGUACACUUCUUCUUCUUCGUUCUUCAAUCAUCUUUGCCUUGAUUUUGUUGAAUUAAGAUGGAGAAUGACGGAAUCAGGUGCUUGAAGAAAUUCUUUCACACUUUCAUUGUGGUGCUACUUUUUCUACAAUGUUUCAACCCUUCCCUAUCCUCUGGAUUCUAUAAUGUUUCUUUCGGUUUCGGAGCAAUUGGCCACCGGGUGGUGACGAGGUGCAUAGAGAGUGAAAGGGAAGCACUCAUUUCUUUCAAACAAGGUCUGAUUGAUGACUACAAUCUCCUCUCCUCCUGGGGAAGAGAAGAACACAAGCAAGAUUGUUGCAAAUGGCUUGGCAUCCACUGCAGCAACCGAACCAACCAUGUUACUCAACUUGAUCUUGGAUGGUAUCAUAUGAAUGAAGUUUACUCACUUCAACAGAAAGGACAGCAGGAGUAUCCUGAAUAUUACUUUCAAGGUAAAAUGAUGAGUCCUAAACUAAUUGAGUUGCCGCAUUUGAAAUAUUUGGACCUUUCUUCCGUUAACUUCACUGGGACCCAGCUUCCAGAUUUCAUUGGUUCUCUUUCCAAUUUAAGACACCUCAGUCUCUGGGAUGCUUCUUUUGGUGGUCGAAUUCCAACUCAGAUCGGAAACCUUACCCACUUGCAAUAUCUUGAUCUCAGCUCCAAUCACUUUGCUAAUUUUGAAAACCUGAAUUCAUGGCUACCUCGUCUUUCUUCUUUAACAUAUUUGGACCUGAGUUCCAACAAUCUCAGUAAUGUUCCUGACUGGAUGGAAGCAGUUAAUAAGCUCCCUAAACUUACAAACUUGUCUCUGUAUUCUUGCAGUCUUCCAUCUCCUCUAAUUCAUUCCAGUACUCUUUUUAACAUAAAUUCUUCUAAAU
RNAcentral lists this long non-coding RNA (125874 nucleotides) under Malus domestica (apple). Its description in RNAcentral is "long non-coding RNA (MDOM_LNC000770)". Lineage: Eukaryota; Viridiplantae; Streptophyta; Magnoliopsida; Rosales; Rosaceae. The record is from RNAcentral.